Molecule: non-coding RNA, 98845 nt
Organism: Pelobates cultripes (western spadefoot toad)
Lineage: Eukaryota; Metazoa; Chordata; Amphibia; Anura; Pelobatidae
Source: the annotation of a GenBank genome assembly
AGUGAACUGAAAGGAGCAUUGGACACGAAGACCUCACAUUUUUUGGAUAACGCCCAAGGUAAUAUACUUUGUGAGUUUCAUAUAGUUUUUUUUUUUAGCCGGUUGUUUUAAAUUGUAAAUAUUGAAAAUACCCUUCUGUUUGCUGCAAAUCAUUUGAUUCAUAAAUGAUUUACUGUAAGAUUUUGGAAGAUGCUUUUUGGAAUUGCAUUCGCAAUUUAGAAUUCUAGAGUUGCCAAUAUGCAAAGUUUGACAUGUUUAAAAAUACAUGCAAUCAGUUAACAUACUUUGCACAUCUUGUAAUACCAAGGUAAAGCCUGCUAUAGAUAUAGAUGUAUAUAAUAAGUUUAUAUAUAUAUAUAUAUAUAUAUAUAUAUAUAUAUAAUUAUUAUUUAUUUUUUUAAAUACAUUGUGUUAUCAAGCUUAUAUACCUAUUUAUAAAGAAUAUUUAAUGCGGAGGCUGAUUCCUAAACCGUAACUUUGUUUUGAACUGACUUGAACAUUUUUUGAUAAUAUAUGUACGUUAGAGAAAAUCUUAACAGAAAUGGUAGUUAUUUUUUUGGGGGGGGAGUGGGUCUGUUCCAACUCUAAUUUGAUAUUCACUGAGCAAGCUGGCUUGCAAUUCACCAUUAGUAGAUAGACCCACUUGAUAUUUUUGCAUUCUGAAAUGGCUUUUUGGAAGUAGUCAUGUUUUAUAAUGUCAGACGCCCUGUGCUCUAAGGAUUUUUAUAUGAUCGCAAACUUGUACCAGCCCAAAACAUGAGAAAUUACUGUUGCCAUGUUGAUAGCAGAAGCUACUAGAACUACCCAUCAUCUACAUCAUAGGCAAAGCUACGCCCCAUUAUGCAUUUUAUACUCAUGGCAGAACCUAUGUUCUCAAAAGAGGGGUUUCAGUGUCAAAAAUCUGCUUGCAGCAAAAUCCUGUUUUGCACAAUUGGGUUUAUUUUAAAACCUGGGUUUGUAUUAUAAAGUUAAUAACUAUUAAUUUUAUGAUGAACUUCAAAAUACUAUAUUCUGGAGCCAUAGUGUCAGCUGUAGUACAUGUAUAUUCCGACUAUUUUUGAAAGUAUAGCUUAUUAUAUAUUGGCCUAAAAUUGAGUGAAAGCAGGUAUUUAAAAACUGCCUUUUUCAAAAACAUUAUAGGAUGAAAUCUACUAUUAACAGGUAACAUUUAAUACAUUAGCAUGGCAACAAUAGCAUAUAGGUCCAGACAAAGUUAAUAUUCUGUCUAUUUGUUAAUUUGCGUUCUCGGUCUGUCUGUCAUGACUUUGUGUGCCGUUUGAUAAGUGACUACAUGCUCAACAUAGUCUUGUUUCCAGUCUUUCAAUGCAUGUUUUACCUGAUAAUAUUAACCCGUAGAUCCGAUCUUGUGGUGAAUUGUUCUACUCAAGCUCGUUUCUAUGGGUCUGUGUGAUCACGGUACUGAUUCUACGAUCCUCUCCAACUGUAAUAUCGUUAAAUCCGCAAAUGAUACCCGAAAGUAGUUACAAUUUUUAACAUUAUUUUCCAAGAAUUUCUUGAGCUGGUUUAUUAUGCAUUUAAUGUCUUUAUAUAUUUUUUCAUGUUUAAUUGGUAUCAAAAUAAAUGAUUGUGAUUGAGGGGUUAAAAAUAUUUUAAUGGCAUUUUUGUAAGGCAAAGAAGAAAUAUACAACUGCCAUAAAAAACGUUAUUUUUGUGGGGUAGUGAAAAUAUAUUCUAAAAUAGUAAAAAAAAAAAAACGAAAAAAAAAACCCCACAAACAUUUGAACUUAAAUAUACUCUGAAAAUGUUUACAAAGCAACAUCAUUGACAAAUAAUUUUUCAUUUUUUUUUUCUAACUUAGAAUGUGUGUCGAAAUAAAACUGUAGACGUAUUGGAAGCCAAUAUAUAGGCCGUAAAUGAAAUAAGACUAUUUUUUUCCUUUUUUUUAGAAAUGUAUGUCAUCCACUGUGGCAUUCAUUACUAUUGACAUUUUUAUAGUCUAUGACAAAGAAACCUAUAAAUAAUUUUUUAAAAAAUCAAUUAGCCAAAGAGUUUUUUAAUGCUUGUCUUAAUGUUUACUUUAUUGCAGGAGAUAAAAUGUUACUUAUUCAGCCACUUAGACCAGCUAGACUGGAAGGACAUGUACAUGUGCAAAAUUAACCAAAAAACGAGACAUAAAUUAUAAUUUUUUUUUUUAAUUACUACUUUUUCACGUUAAGCAAAGUGGUAACUUACUAAUUAGAUAAUGAGUUUUUGGUAAAUGUCAUAACUGCGCAAAUACUAGAUUCAUUAGUACAGUUUAAGAGCCCGAUAAUUUGUUCUGUUAACACUAUUUAAGCUAUUUUGUGAGGUUUUUAUGAGGAUUUUAUUCUGGUUUUAUCGCACAACUGCAAUUAUACUCCCUGGCUUCAUUUUUGCUAGCUAUAGCUGAAAUAAGGACAAUUUGACAGAAAUUGUUGUAAUUUUCUUUUAUAAACUUUUUUUUUUGUUUUGGUUUGUGGCGGGUUAAUAGAUAACCCCCAAAGUUCAUCAUGCCAAUAUUCUGCAAUGUUUGUAGAAUGUAAAGGAAUUGGCUUCAGGGUGUGCGACUCUGAGAAUCUUCUGACCAUUUGUCGGAGACAUUGGUAAACAUUCUAAGACCUCUUGGGUUUGCUUAUAUGAUUAAAAUCAUGUUUUUGCUUAAAUCUAUUUAAAAGUAAUAUUUUUUUUGUAUUGGCCCUGUCAGAUUCCAUUGUAUCUUGGUUUACAUCUGAUAUAUCCAGUGUCUUGAAGGGGUUAAAGAAUGUUCAGUAAUGUUUUUAAUAAAAUAGAAGUUACUGUGCUGAUCUACUUCAUUUUUUACAGAAAAUAUAUUUUAAGCUCUAUAACCCCCUAUUAAUUUCUGCUUCUACCUCAUAACUGUAAACCUGGGUGUGGCCAUGGCACAAUGAAGACCUGAAGAUGAGGACUACAAAGGAAAAUGUGUGCAUCCAGGUUGAGGUAGUAGGUUGUAUGGUUUAGAAUUACACCCUGGGAGUUAACUGUACAACCUUCUAGCUUUCCUUGGAGCACACUUGAACCAUCGAGGAAACGUCAACUCCAGAGUUAAAACAUCUGUCUAGCAUUAUGAACUUCAGCUAUUGCAUUCUAAAAGUUUUUUUUUUUUCUACUUUUGUUGGGGGAAGAUUGGCUGAUGACAACUAUACAAUAGUUACCAAGAGGGCUGCACAAAACCAAGAGGGCUGCACUCACCUGAACAUACAUACAUUAUAGGGUGCUGCUGGGGCCAAAAUAUACAAAAUACAGAAUCCAGCGCACUCGCUUAUUCACUAAACAAUGAUUUCAAAUCUUAGAGAUUGUAAUAGUUUUAUUUAAAAACACCUCACCUAGGCAAAACAUGAUGGGGGUUUAGUUACAUUAUAUGAUCAUACAUUGCAUAAGCCUGCCAACUACGUCAAAGUACCCCAUAUUCGGCAGGUCCUAUCCUAGCAGCCUAAUGCUUCCUCUUAUGAGAUUAAUCCACUUACUUGGGAAAUGCUUCCUUACUGGGACUCUCUGCAAGUCAAGGCUAAAUAGGGUCCUGGAAUGAGGCACCAGUGACAGGGAGGGGUGACAGGGAGGGGUGCAAAACCAAUUUGCUGGCCUGGACUCCCUAAUAUACAAACAAGGCUGCACUCACCUGAACAUGCAUACAGCACCCUAUAAUGUAUAUAUGUGUGUGUAUAUAUAUAUAUAUAUAUAUAUAGAUAUAUAUAUUAUGGUAAUCAGUUUACUGGAUAGCACUAUGUAUCUAUCCAAAUAACUUUUAUUUUUAUAUUUAACCUGCUGAUCUUGUGUUAAUAAAAUACACAAAAUAUUCAUGGAUACCAAACAAUUGAAAACACAACACAGGUUUAUAAAAAAAAUAUAGUUUUAAAUAUGUAUUUGGCAUACUUAUUGGCACCCUUUUACUUAAUAAUUUGUGCUACCUCUAUUUGACAAGCUAACAGCUCCUAGUCUUACUAUAAUGCCUGAUAAGGUUGGGGAAUACAUGGCAAGGGAUCUGAGACCUUUCCUACAUACAGAAUCUAUCCAGAUUUUAAGGAUGAUGUUGAUGGACUCUCCUCUUAACCCCCACAAACCUCCCAGGUUUUCUAUGGGAUUCAAGUCAGGUAAUUGGGAUGGCAAUGGCAGGCCAUCGAUUUUGUGGUCAGGAAACCAUUUGUGUUGAUUUCGAUGUAUGUUUUGGUUCAUUGUCUAUUUGGAAGAUUCAACCACAGCCCAUUUUAAGCUUUCGGACAGUGGUAGUCAGGUGUUAAUUUAUUAUCUGUUGAUAUUUGAUAGACUUCAUGAUGCCAUGUAUCUUACAAAAAUGUCCGGUUCAUAUUUAUACCCCUGAUUGAACAGUCAUGAAUGAACAAUUUCCUGUUCCUGGUUAUCCAGUUAUACUAAAUAAUGGAAUAUAUAAAUGGCAAUAUACUUCAAAUAUAUUUUUCUCAUAUGAAUUUAUAGAGGUGCCAAUUAUUGUGGAUAUAUACAUUUUUAUGAACCUCUGUUUGCAAUUAAUAUCCAUGAGAGCAUAGUACUUUUGUGUAUUGUUGGUACAAAAGAUAAAACGUUUAAGCAAUAAAGAUAAUUGUUCACAGCAGCCUUCUUUGCUCACAUCUAUUAAGGGUGCCAAUAUUAGUGGUGUGUGUGUGUGUGUCUAUUAAAAUGGACCUGCCAAUUUUUUUGUUUACAUAUGCCCAGUUGAGAUGUCCAUUGAAUAGUGGUACCCAUUGGUGAAAAUGGAAUGAGGUUUUCUCGCUUCUUCAUUCUUUAGCUCAUGGCAGAUAAAUAGCUUGCUUUUUCUAUAAUGCUUUCGGAAUGCUGUCCAUAUCCGCAUACAUGGUCUGUCAGUUUAUACUCUACUUCUAUUUGCAAGGGUCCAUUAAAACAGCCUGCACACCGCUUUCCCACCACUCUAUGGAUUGGAAACUAAAUAAGCCUUGAAGUCUUUCCAUAGAUAACUGUCUUGACUGAUUGCAUCAUCAGUGUUCAGCUGGCUUUUUGAUUGUGAGAAACAUACUGCAAUUAGUUUAGUUGAAUAUGCACUUUUCCAAUAUAUCUUCAACAUGCAACGCUUCAUCUAAAACACUUGCUUGUUCUAUAUCUGCAUCGGUGUUUGUGAUGGAAAGAUAGCUGUCACCUGUUGCGUACAACAAAAUGUAAGAUGCUCAUAUAUAUAUAUAUAUUCAUAAAAAAAAAAAAAAUAGUGUUGGAAAAGGCAGAAAAUUAUGUGAAUAAAUUAAAAAUAAUCUGAAUAUUCCUACAGAUGAUUUUUACAUAACCAACUGUUUAAUAUUAAUUGUAUUUUUAGUCGCAUGAUGCCCUGCAUUGCUGACAGUGACAUCUAUUUACUGUUCAUGAAAUAGCAACUGGCUUGUAAAGUAAAUAUCCUAAAUGUCGAAAAUCUAUAGAUUCUAUAUUAAUAUUGUAUUGUCUUACUGAUAUAUGGAAAAUGCAUCUGUUACAUACAAAUGUUACAUGUAACGUGUUGCGCAGACCCGCUACAUUUUUUAUUUUUUUUUCAUACUCUUCUGUCUGUAUUACCAACUGGAGAGCCUAGAUUUAAAAUUUAUACAAUUACUUACAAAUGAAAAUUAAAUAUUCAUUGUGUCUGUUUAACACAUUAUGAGGUGAUAUAUAAUUUAGCCAUUAAAAUAUUUUUCACCUGAGAAUCAAAUGGAAGAAUUUGUCGCUGUAGUUUUCCUCUAUAUUUGCUAACUAGUGUGUGUGUGUGUGUUUUUUUUUUUUUUUUGCUUUAUCUGUUAAUCUCUUGGUAUCUGCUCUGUUUUUAUGUAGGACUAGUAGUUCAAUGGUGGUCAUUUUAUCGGACUGCCCCACCGAUGAACCUCCACCAGAUAUAUUUUGUAUUUAUGGCAGUAGAAAUUUUGGAUUCGCCGUCUUCUAACUGCUGAGAGAUAUUCUCACAUGCCUAUAUGUUUGUGGAGGCAAGUGCUGAAUUAGGACUUAAAUGUAAAUGGCCCUAGUACAGUUUUAGGGACAUUUGUCACCAAUAGCCCAGUAUAUUCUGGGUGGUGGGAAGUAUUGUGCACUACAAGUAUCUGUCAAGUUUUAACGAGCUUGGCUCAUACAUUAAGCACCUUAUCACACAGCACAGGGAGCAGGGUUCAUGAAUGACAUGUGAUUCUAUGUAGCCUUACAUUCAAUACUACUUAACCCACACACCAUAAUAAGACCCCCCCCCAAAGCAUAUUUGUAACGGCAAGUGCAACCGUGUACAUAGUGUGAUCAAAGUGGUCUUCUUAUUUUUAAAAGAGGUCCCAAGGAGGUCCCCGAUGGUUUUCCUUGUUGCUGCUUUUUAUUUUUUAUUUUUUAUUGUUGGUAAAACAUUAUUGAUGCACAUUAAAUACUCCUUAACAUUUUCAAGUGUGGUGUUAAUCCACUCCUGCUAAAAAGCUAAUCAGCAUUAAGAGUACUCUGAGUUACUUCUAGACAUACAAUUUAAUAUCCCUACUUGCAGCAGCUGACUUGAAUGUACCUAAAAUAUUUCUAUUCAAUACACCUUUAAAAAAAAUACAAAAAUAAUUAGAUUCACCAACCCAUUAUUGCAGCCUUAACAGCUCUCUAGAGUCAACCAACAGCUACCACCCUCAUCCCUUAUACCAAAACACAAGACUUCACUAUUCGAAACGGGACAAGACAAGGCUGUCUGCUAUCCCCACUUCUAUUUGCCCUCUCCCUAGAACCCCGACUCCAAAACAUAUGAAACUCCCCAAAUAUCCACGGAUUGAAAAUCGGAAUGACAAAUAAAAAAUUGUGGCCUAUGCCGAUGACAUUCUUCUAACCAUCACCGAUCCCGAUCACUCCUUACCACCUCUAAUCACACUCCAACAAGAGUAUGCGUACCUUUCAGGAUACAAACUGAACCUGGAUAAAAUUGAAGCCCUCCCGAUAGGGAUCCCACAACCAACUCUGGACCAACUACAUCUGACACAACCAUUUAAAUAUAACACACAAAGCAUCCACUACCUAGGUACACACCUCCCCACAGAUCUCGCCAAACAUACACUCUAAAUUACAUGCCAUUACUUCAACAAGCACACAACGAUCUACAGAGAUGGAACACCAUGUCCAUAUCCUGGUUGGGCAGAAUAGCCUCUAUAAAAAUGAACCUCCUCCCCCGUUUCCUCUAUCUGUUCCAAGUCCUCCCCAUCCCCAUCUCAAAACAAGACUUCAAAAUACUCCAAACAAUAAUAGAUAACUUUAUAUGGUCGGCUACAAGGCCAAGGAUAAAGAGGUACAAGAUGUACAAAACUACUAGGACAGGAGGCCUCCCGAACUUCUAUCACUAUUUCCAAGUUGCCCAACUGGCGCAAACCCAAAACUUACAUGCGCAACAGGUAUGAAACUAUAGGUGGACCUCUAACAUGACCUUUUGGGCAGAGAUCAUCCAUCACUCCUCUUGUGGCUUCCCAAGAGGGACAGACCUAAAACCCCGGCCCCAACUACAUCCUUCCACAUUUGGGACAAAACCAUCCCAAAACACCCCUUGGCAAACACACCAUCACCACUCACACCAGUCCUGAGAAACAAACCAUUCCCCCCAGGCCUAACACCCCAAAACGUUGUGCACUUUGAGUACAAUGGGCUGCUUAGAUUCCUCCACUUCUUCCAUGACCAACGACUACUCCAAUUCCCAGAUCUACCAAGAAAGGUACCCCUGAAUACCUUUGAUAAUUUCUGUUUCCUACAUAUGCAGCUUCCUCAACGAACCAAUGAACACCGCUACGGCGACCACUAAACUUACACAAUUCGAAAAGGCAUUCAUACAUGCACCCAUUAAAAAGGGGCAGAUAUCCACAAUAUACUCCCUCCUGGACUCUCUCCCCAGCGGAUGCCCUCUCGUACACACGAGCAUGGGAAAGAGACAUAGGCCCUCCAAAAGACCCCUCAGAUUGGGUGGACAUCUGGGAAGCCACGGCUUCACUCAUGAUAUGUUUAAAUCACAAGGAGCAGGCAUACAAGACGAUGCUCCGAUGAUACCCAACAUCCCUGAGAUUAAAACAAAUGGGGCGAGCAAACAUGCUGGAAGGGUUGCAGACUCAAGGGCACUUAUAUCCACCUAUGGUGGGAGUGCCCUUUGAUUUCCUAGCUGUGGGUCGAGGUGUCCAACCUCACCUCUAAAAUCCUACAUAUAGAUAUACCCCUGGAUCUGGCUACUCUCCAGACCCCAAGACCCCCUCACUAGGGCACAAAACAAACUGGUGGCAAAAUUGGCACUGGCAACCAGAGGCACCAUUGCAGAACAAUGGGGCAACCAAACCAAACCCUCGCUUAUGGUAAUGCGUCACAAAACCGCAGAAACGAUGGCGAUGGACUGGAUCCUGGACCACCUACCUAAUCUUUCCAGGGAGGGACUGGGGUGUGCGGCCACCCCAUAGAGAAACCCCCCCCCAAUGCUACCCACCCAGCUCAACAACCUCACCAUUCCCCCACUAUCUGCAAGUCUUCAUCAUCCUCUCUCCCACCUAAUAUUCCCAAUCUCCUCUCCCCUUCCCCACACCCCUUUGUACCCAGCAUCCACCAGACACUGAUCCCAUUCUUGAACAGAAAACUUGUCCACUACAGCCACCAAAUUUAAAAACCAUACCCAAGAGACAGCCCCCCUCACGCAGACUAAGGCACCAAGACACCAUACACCACAACUAAUAAGCACAAAAGUGCAGAAACACACAGUACACCAUCAAAAAUAAAUGGGGGUAUGAAUCUUGGCAGAGACUGGAUACACAUUGCAUGACACCCUACCCCCCAACUCAAACCCAAUACCCCAACAUCACCUCAGGCUCUCACAGUACUACAAUUGAUUCACACUGCACAAUGAGCCUCAAAUCAACCAAUACUGUAGUUAACAAUAUAUUCUGUACUUGCCUCCAUAUGAAAACAGACCUUUUUAUCAAAGAAAUUGUUUCAAAAUAGGCUCAUUGAAAUAGUAAGGAAAAGAGCCAUAGACACAGAAUUUCACUACUAUGCCAUCACUGAUCUGUAUCCCUUCCCUUUCUUCAUUCUGUACCAUACCUAUGAAGUAAAAAUUUGAAAAUAAUUUCUUUAAAAAAAAAUAAAAAUCAUUUGCAUACUGUGUAGGGUUUUUUUUUCUUUCUUCUCUUUAACACUUUAUUUUUAUUAUCAUUAAAUCACUAUUUUAUUUUACACAAUGAUUAUUGAAUUAGCAGUUGGAUAUUUAACUCUAAGUUGAUAUUUCUAUCUUGAACACAUGAUUGAAGUUUGCCAGUGUAAUCACUUAAUCUUUUUAGUAUUAUCUGUCUGGUUUCCUUGGCUGAAUCUAAUUAAAGUGACAGUUGUUUUGAUCUCUAUAUAACGUGUGUAAAUCGGCAAUCAUCUGAUCAUCUGAGUAGCACAUACAUAGGACGUAGCUGAAAAUGUGGAAUAAACUAAAAAUGUCUUGUAGUAGCAUAAAAAAUUAAAUAAAUUAAUGGCUAGUCGAUUACAUUUUUUUUUAAAAAACAUUUAUUUUUUUCAGAAUUAAAUUCAUGCUAUAAUGGAAAAAAAAAUACUUUUUUGAUAUUUUAUGGCAAUCUUAAAAUGUCAAUACAGACUGGAGCUGAUAUGUAUCUGCAGGUGGACGCAUGAUCUUCCUCCUGUAACGUUACUGAGUGGGACGGAGGGCUUAUAGCUAUACUAAUUUGUGCUACAAAGAAAAACUGUUGAUUGAAGCGAAAGAGUGACUGGGGACCACCAUAACCUAUGCAACACUUUGAGUGUCUCUUAAAUGUAUGGCAUAUUUCUGUGUUGUAAUAAUCAUGCGCCCCCCAUUGAAACAUGAAAAAGAUUUUAAACUUUAAAAAAAAAACUAAAAAAAACUGAUGGUAUAGGGAGAUGGAGAGGACUGCAGUGCAUAGUGUGUGCUGAUGACAGAUGUAAUUUUUGCACGGAUUUCAUAUUGGGCAGCCCAGGACAGAGUUCUGGGCUGCCCUAGGUCACUUGUGCCGGGGUUGUAACUAGCCCACCAUUUCAAAAGGUAAUAGGUCUCUGAAUAUGCAGCUUUACAAAUUGAAAUGCUACUUACAGACUCCUACCACCAUGUUAAGACUCCUACCACCGUGUUAAGUAAUUCAGCCUUCAUAUCACUGAAGUGUUCAUGAUCUUUAGAGUAGCCCUUUAAAACCAUUCACAAAAGCCCAAAUACUGUGUCUAUUAAAUGUCUAUAGCCCCCACAACAUUCUAAAGUAUAAUAUAAUAUAAAGUAUAAUAUAUUAAUAUAUGCUUGAACAUAUCAAGUUACUUUGUAUUGAUGAUUUCCCAUUUUAACAACAUUUCCACCUAACUUCACAGCUGAGAGUGAAGAUUUUCACACAGAUAAUGUGGCAGUUAUGAAUGAAUAUGUAUGUACUUCAAGUAGAACCCUAUGUGAUAAUAAGAUGGGGUUCCCCUUUAGCUUUCUUAGUAAUUGGUUUCUUUAUAAUAAAAAAAAAAGUGUAUUUAAAAAAAUAAAUAAAUCGUUGAAACUAUAAAAUGAUUGUGGAUAAGAAAUAAUGUUGAAUAGAAAUGCACAUGCUAUUACUAGUAAAAAUAUAUUUGCCAGUAGUUUUCAUGAUGUAAAAAGAUAUUAAAAAAAAAAAAGGGCUGCGCCAAUAAACAAUAUAAAAAAUAAAUAGAUUUUGGAACAAACAAGGACUAAGUCUAUGUGAUAGUCCUCACAAAUAAUAGUCUCUUGAUAGUAGACGUUUAGUCUUUAGUACAGCAAGGACUUUUCUUUGGGUUGGGUAGCUGUCUUUAUUUUCUUGUUAAUGUAUAUAGAAAGACAAAACCAGAAAGGGUGGUAAUAGUGUAAUAUGUCAAAUCUAGUUAUGCAAUAAAAAUUGACAGUAUCAGACUCACAUUUUAUAGAGCCUUAGCCAGCUCUAGCGUGCGGUGGUAUAAUCCCCACUUAUUAGAUGUAUGGAGGUGUGCGUUUGGUUCACGAUGACAGGAACCCAGGGAGAAAUGGAUAGAGUGACCGAUAGUGCUCUCAAUAAAACAAGUGAUGUAUAUGAUAAAAAGUAUAAUAUACUCACAAAUAUAGAGCAGAGUAACUGCUCUAUGGUGACAGCGUUGAGUAUAGCAUUGGUGGUUUGAUCCCCACCUAGGAUUGCUUUGGAGUAGAGAUAAAAGAUGCCAGGAAGUAUGAAAACAGGAUUAAAACGAAAUAAAAAAAGGUAAUUGGCACAAGUGUAGUGACCAAAAUCCUUUAAUCGUUAAAAUACAAAGUAGUAACAUCCAUGAACGCGUUUUCACCAGUAUGGCUCUUUCAAAGGGAUUAAAAAGGUUUUCAUGCUGGUUGCCUUUUUGGACACCAAAACACCUGAUCGUGUAAACCUUUUCUAUAGUAUCAAAUGAAGAAUGCAUCUCUCUUAAGAGAGACUAAUAAUAUGUACUGUAAAAAUGUGACAAAAGAAUACAGUGAAUAUGAAUAUAAUAAAUCGCAUGAGGGAGCAGAGUAUCUACCAAAUCAUACAUCUGGUGCAUUGAUUAAGCAGUGGUUAACUGUGGAGCAUGGAAAAAUAUUGAAAUCAGAUAUGACUCUGAUGUAGGUAUUUUUUCAGAAUGCUUUGUCAUCAUUGGCAGGCAUUUACUUGUUUCUGAUUGGAACAUUCAUUUUGUCAUUUUGCUUUAGACACAUUUGUUCUUUGUGUCUAAUCUUUUGUGCAGACCACCUUCCCUUGCCCGUGAGAAGCUACAACUUGUAUUCAUUGUAGAGAUUAUGAUGCAAGGAAACUCUUGUUCUUGUUUCACUCAUGCUACUAAGUACUGCAGGGCUUUUCUAAAAUGUACAUGGCUACCAUUAAGUAAUUGAUGUCAAAGGGAAAACAUAGCUGUACAUAAUCUGUACAAGAUCUUGUAUGAUGUGUGCAUGUAUCUAAUGAACAAGUCAUGCACUUCCCAGGUGAUUUAUACUUGCUUUGCAUAAGAGAUUUGAAUAACUCUGUACAUCUGCCAUUAACUACAUACCCAGCCAUUAUACCCUCUGACAAUGACCCAUAACAUAACAUCCAUAAUCAAAAUGUGUAUUAAAUUGCAUAAUACAAUAUACACAACCACAACAGGCAAACCGUUUAAACAUUGUAGGGCUUUAUCGAGACACCCCUACACAACCAGGUUGAGAGCCACUGACUGGCUCUAACUUACUAAAUACCAAAUCCAACCAAGUGAAUAUUGGUACAGAACUUCCAAGCUUCCAGCUACCAUUCCUACCUACCCCAAAUAUGUCAACAUCCCCCGCCCACACCAGCCAAUAACAUAAGUGACAUACCCAUACCAAAAACCUAAAACGAGAGGGAGGGUGGGACAACAAGUAAGUCAGGAUUAGUUAAAAUGGCUCCAACACAAAAUGUCCGUUAUUAAUACUCCUAUAGGCCCCGACCUCCUUGACCUGUCAACCCACUUAAACCUUAACCCCUUGUAUGCCAGUCUCCUAGCUAUGUCAAGGCCCAUUCCACUGCUCCAUAGGCUACAUUCUGAACGUCUAUAUUUAAAAUCCAUGAUUUUAUGAUGUUUACCAACAUCCCGUCCCAGCCUAAACUCUUAAAUGCUUUAUUUGAUUUUGCUCUUUCUUUUAAUAAAGGAAACUUGUGAACCACUGACCAGGAAUUUUGAAAACCGUAACCAUAUCCUAAUUAUUGGGAAAAUCAUUUCCAAGUAUGUAAUGACCUCCGCUUAGGUUACAACUUUGUGGCUAUCCACAGGAAAUAAAAUAACAAAAAAGGAAAAAAAUAAAAACUAUUCAGUUGCUUCAGAGAAAAUUUUACAUAAUAAUAAACAAUUCUUUCCUGGCCACAAGAAGUGUUUAGAUUAAAUCACAAUUUCAGCACAUAGCAAUUACAUAUCAGUUCAUUUCACGCAACGUUUCCUUCCUGAGAUCAUAUUUGAAUUCAUUGUUUGUACUGAAACACGUUUUCCAUUGGUAACGUUACCUUAAAAGUGCCUUUUUGUUAAUAUUUGGUCUUUUGGCAUCGGCUAUAUAAUUUAUACCAGACAAUGUAAUAAUAAAGAAUAAAUAUAGCAUUAAUAUAUAUGGAUUUUUUUUCUGUUAAAUAUAGUUAGACCUCAUUGUAAUUACAAUGCACUAAAACAUGAAAUGUACUAGUUAUCUACAAAUUUACAUUUUUACUUGGUUAAUGAAAUUUAAAAUGUAUUUUGCUAGGCAAGUUUCCAGCAUUCACAUAGAAUAAUCAUUUUACUACAGAGUUGAUUUGUACAAAAAAAUAAAAACACUUUUUUCCCUGAUGAUGAUAUAAUAAUUGUGACAGAUCGACGGGCACCACCGACUGGGUACCUCCUAGCGCUUCCUGAGGGCUCCAAGCACUCCAGCCGACACCAUAACCACCGUAGACUCCUUCAGGUAGCAGAACAGGAACAAGCUCUUACAAGAAAUUAGUAGUGAUAUAGCAAGAGAGUAUGACUAGCAUAGCAAUCCCUUAUAGCAGAUUCCCCCAAUAUGAGACGGCACUCCAAAUUAAGGGUGAAGUAGAACUCAAACUUUUAAUCCAACGCUCUGCUUUUAUGCCCAUUUUACACACAUAGUACCGCCCACAGGGUUUUGCAGAACAACCAAUCAAUACGUUACAACACAGCUAAACACUCCCAUUCAUGACAUCAGAAAUCCUCCCCUCUGCCUGUGAUACAAUUAUCUCAACACAAUAGACUAGACUAACUUAAUUAUCACAGGCAGGAAAAAUAUACUUUUUACACAGUUACGGUAUCUUUAAAAAUAUACAUUCAAUCUUCAUAAAAAUGACAUUAUUAUUAUUCAGCACACUUUAAUUACAAACAUAUUCAAAAUUCAGCCAAUUCCAUCCAGGGGUUAAAAAGUUACGUGGAGGUCCCUUUAUGACCGACCACAAGCACAUUUUCAUGCCCAAAACAGUUCCAUAGAUUUGGGCUGUGCGGUGAGUCAAUUUCACACUGAAAAAAUGACUAAGUCCCAUUCGAACAUGCGUUCGAAUCUUCGAACGGGACUUAGUCUCUGUGGCUGCAAAAUCAGUGUAGGAGAAGGUAAGGGUCAGCGGUGUUCGUUGAAAUGUGUAGCCGAUUUCAGUUCCAUGAAUUUGGCUCCACACAUCGCUGACUGCAUUUGAAUGAAAAAAGAUGGCCGCCGCCACGUGUUUGGUUGCACGAAUGGCGGCCCCCCAGCGGUCGGCAAUUUACCUACAUCAGGCUCCCAGCCUGGGAUGUAAAUUGCCUGCACACUUCCACUUCUGGGUGGUUCGCCUGUGUGGUACUUGGUUCAGUAAGCCCCAUUUACUGAACCAAGUGGGAGAAAGCCAGGAACACAUGAUUUUAACAGUCUGGGGACACUGGGGACACCGUCUUAAAGGGGCAUUGUUCCCAAAAGUCACUAUGUCCCCAGAUGGUUCUUAAAGGGCCAUACACAGUCCAAAAAAAAGUCCAUUCACUGUGCUUAAGGGGCCAGUAGCCGCACAAUAAAAAUCCAUUAUGCCCAAAUACCACAUUUAAAGGGCCAAAUCUCCCCGGGACCAUAAUCACAUGGCAAGAGGCUGGCAAGUAGUCCUCUCCAGUUACAAGUGGUGAUGUUAAUUUCGCCACAAUUAUAGACAAUUAAAAAGGGUGCAACAGUUUCUGAUGUUUUCGUAUCGAGUUAUAUAAUAUAACUAGAUGUAUAAGAAGAUUAAUAGAUAUUUUAAUAAUGGCAUAUACCAAUAAAUAUUGAUUGUACGUGUAAUGUAAAGAUAGGCAGACUUGAAUAUCCUUAUUAAAAUCAUCCUUUAUAUUCCAAGUAGACUUCAAAGCUGUGAUAGAGUAAUAAAGUAGUAAUUGAAUAUUCCAGUGCAUAUAAUUAGGUAAUAGACCUGUAUCAUCGAGUACUUUGUACCACCACUGCUUGUAGUAUUGCUCGCAAUCAUUUCACAUGGUAUCUUAUCAGACUGGAAUGUCCUAGAUAUUGGACUAUAUAGUCUUAUUAACCUACCAAUACUAACCAAGACCGCUUUAUUUAGGCUUUGUAUAAAUGAAUCAUGUAGCACAAGUCUUAUCUAAUAUCUGCCCACACCACACGAUAAACUGUGAGUCAGAAACUUAGACCUAAGUGAUACACAAUAUUUUAGCCUGUUUAUUCGAGUGUUGAGAGUAAAUUUAUUGCAUCAAUCUUCGUGUUUUUUUUUUCCGAUGAGCUAUUAAAGUUAAAUUGAGUUUCCAACCAGUAGAGUUUGUGGACACUGUGCCUUUUUAAGGUGCAGAUAAUAUCAAGAAAAACAAACGCAUGAUUUCGUCUCUUGAUAUGGUGCCAUUAACAUUUUCCUUCGUUACUGAAAGGGUUUAAAUAGCUAGAAAAUAACGUUUGUCUUUAUCAUUGCUAAUGCAAAUUUUGGUAUGAAAAGUCUAACUCGAUAGCAGAACUUCCUAGUUCAUGAUGUGUAACUCAUCCCAGAAGUUUGUCAAUUGUAAGGCAACACUACAAAAUAACUGCAAAUCUACUACACCCUUAAAGGACCACUAUAGGCACCCAGACCACUUCAGCUUAAUGAAGUGGUCUGGGUGCCUGGUCCUUUUUUUUUUUAUUUUUAUAAACAUAGCAGUUUCAGAGAAACUGCUAUGUUUACACUGAGGGUUAAUCCAGCCUCUAGAGCCUCUAGUGGCUGUCUCAUUGACAGCCGCUAGAGGCGUUUGCGUGCUUCUCACUGUAAAAAUUGCAGUGAGAAGAUGCCAGCGUCCAUAGGAAAGCAUUGUAAAUGCUUUCCUAUGAACUGCCUGAAUGCAUGCGCGACUUCUGCCGCGCAUGCGCAUUCAGCCGAUGACGUCACUAGGAAGGAGAAGAGGAGGAGGAAAGCUCCCCACCUGGUGCUGGAGAAAGGUAAGAUUUUAACCCCUUCCUCUUCACAGAGCCCAGCGGGAGGGGGACCCUGAGGGUGAGGGCACCCUCAGGGCACUAUAGUGCCAGGAAAACGAGUGAUUUCCUGGCACUAUAGUGGUCCUUUAAUAUAUGCAGAAACAUUGUUUUCUAGCCAAAUGUAUCUAAUUUUUUUUUUGUUUGCUUUGGCCAGAAUAAUGUGCACACGACAACUUACAAACUCUCCCCCUAGGCCCCCUUAUUAGACAUGAUGUUAUUUCCCUGUUUAUAAACGUGCCCAUUCUUUCUCUUUGAUAAUCCAUGCCUGUCUUCUUUCUCAUAAAUUGUUAGCAACCUUCCAUUUCUUUUUCUGAAAUUUCAACACUAUGCGAGAUCAAGUAACCUCACCCAUGACUAUAUAUUCACCAGACUAGAUACUGGUUAUUCUACAUAAUGAUUAAUAUUUUUCGAAGUGAUUUUUGUUGGAUAUUGAAAUCCCUUGAAUUAAUCAUAUGAACCCAAAGGCAUGUCUGUUAUUUUAUUUGCACUGUGGAAGAAAAUAGUGCAAAAUCUAUUUCCUAUUCCCCUAAUUAAACCCUUCUGCUCCUCCAAUUCUCAAAAAAUCUUAUGCAAUGUAAAAUGUCUGUUUAAUGUGCAAACAUCUACCUACUCUCUUAUACAUCUGUACAUACAGGUAUGUAGACAUGUAAACACUUUCUGUGUAUGUAGCGGUGCGAAAAAAAAAACGAAACUUUUUUGCUCAGUAUGUAAGCAUUUUUUAAAUGUUCAUGUUAAAUAUUGGAACACGCAUUGGCAUUUUGUUACUGGCACUACCUAUAUUUAUGCUGUUUAGAAAUAUGUUUAAAUAAUGCAAUAUGAGGUCAAUGCCCACCUGCAAAGUAAAAACCAUUUAUAUAACAGCAAAUUAAACAUUAACAAAGGUCAACUGUGAUUAACUACAUUACCAUUAAAUCUUAUGAGAACAAGACCAUUUCAUUUUGUUCAUCCAAUAAAUUCUGAUUACGACAUUGUAGAAUCCUAUAUCGAACAGUCAUUUCAUUUCAAAUGUGUUUGUUUUUUUGUGGUUUUUUUAUUGACUUUUUGCCAAAAAUGAUAGAAAAAAACAAUGGAAAAGGGUACAUAUGACAAAAAGGGAAACACUGGCAUAAACAGAUACUCUGUCCCCAAUCAAUUAUUCAUUAUACAUGCAAGUGAACACGGGACAUGUCAAGUGAUAAUGACAUGAAAAAUAUAUAGUACGGUCAUUUCUAAUCAUUUGAUAUACAUUUUUCACAUUAUAUUAAACAUACAGAGGCUUAACUAGAAAUUAAAUGAAAUAGCCCUGGGGCCCCCUGCCCCUUGAUGUGUCUUUCUCCCCCUCUCCAGCUCCUCCAUGUGUCUCCACCCCCCUCCGUGUCUUUCUCAUCCCAUGCCGCUCCAUGUGUCUGUCUCCUUCAUGCCUCUCCAUGUGUCUCUCUCUUUUUCGGUAAUCACCAUCACUGGGGAUGAAAGACAAACACUAUUUGUGGGUCCCCAGAUUCCUCUUGUGUUUUGGAAACCCUGUGCCCAGUAUUGGUGCAGCGUAUGUUGAAUUUAUUGAUCGUCUGUGCCAUUUCCCCUUCCCCUUUUUCCUGUCCUAUUGUUUCCCAGCAGAGCCUUGUCACAGGGACACUGCCAGACCAGUAUAAACAAGCUGCCCUGUCCCUUCUCAAUCUCCCAUCAGCCCUUGCUAUUGUUUGGCCCCAUCCUUCCAAGUACUAUAGUAGUCUAUUGACCCUAUUGUAUGUAAAUGAGGCUAAGGGCAUAAAUAUGUGUGCUAUGUAUAUUAAAGUUGUUAUUUUAACCAUAACCACGUGUCGUCUGGAGUUUGGGAAAAGAGCUCUGAUUACUGCUCUGCUUAUGGAAAUAGUGUCCAGGGGCGUACCUAGAGCUUUUGAGACCAGGGGCGGAUACUAAAUUUGGCACACCCCCUGCUCCCAACACAAAAUAUUCUAAUGUAUUUAGCACUGGGCAGUAUUUGUGUAUUUGUAAUGUAUUUAGCACUGAGCAGUGUUUGUGUGUGUUGAAUGUAAGCAUGUUAUGGUAAGGAAUGUGUUUUAGUAUAUUGCACAUGGAACUAUAUUGCACACAUGAUUAUAUUGCAUUAUGUACAUACAAGUAUAUGGCACAUAGAACUAUAUAGAACAUACAAUUAUAUUGCAUAUAAACAAAGCAAAGGAGGUGGGAUUUACUGCCUAUCCUUUGCUUUGUUUUAUAUGCAAGAUAAUCAUGUGUGUAAUAUAGUUCUAUGUGCAAUAUACUCGAAUUACUGUUUUGUUUUUUGUCUUUAUGUCUCAUUCUGACACAGAACGUUACCGCACAUUACAAGAUAAAAAGGCAUGAGAUACUACAAUCAGAAUUAACAGUCCGCUAGUAUAGUCAGAACAAGCGAUUUUGUUAUUAUAGAAUUAUACUGCUUUUAUCCUAUUUAUGGAAUAACAUUCUUUUUUUGUUUCAACAUCUUUGCACUAUAUAGUGAUAUGUAAAUGUAUACAGGCUAUAACAGAAUUACACUAUCUAUUUUUAUCCCUUCCUUUUUUCCACAUUAUCCUGACCAGCAAUAAGUCAUCUAUAUAAGGAUCUCUGCGCUCCACUUUUUAUUAUAUUUUUAUAAUAAAAGAUUUAGAAAGCCAUUGAUCCAGAUCUUAUGAAAAAAGAUUCAUAGUUAAAAUAUGUCUGUCCCAUUAUUAGUAUUUGGAUUAACAUUUACUUUGAACUCCUGUUUAGUGUCUUUAUUAAUAAAAGAACAGGCAUUUCUAAGAAGUGUAACCUCAAAAUAAAAAAAACACCCACAAAAUAAAUCAAAAUAUACAUGCACUGUCCACUGGUCAUAAAAACCCCCCAAAUAAGUUGGUGUAUUAGAAGAACAACAAUAAGUCUUGUUUUGUACAUUAUCUAGGAGUGGAUGAAUACGUAAUCUUGACUCAGUCACCCACUAUUAAUUAUUUUAAUUUUCAUGCACAAUGUAUGCCUUAGCUGUAUUGUAAUAAAACAUCCGUAGAGGUAAUAUUAAUAUAAUCAUAAAAAUUAUGAAUUGAUCUGCAGGAACUUGCAGAGUACUAUAAAGUUAAUGUAGUGCAUGUUUAAAAAUUCUACAAAUGAACAUUAUUUCAACAAACGGCGUGAAAAAUAUAACAUUACUGCUGUUGCUUUGAUGCAUUGCUCUGCAGUUAUUACGGAAAACAUUUUUAGUUUUAAUCAUUGUUCUGUAAUUAUUUUAUGUCCUUUUUCUUUGGGUAUAUUUCAUCAACUGUACAUCCGUUUCUUUGUACAGUGUAUCAUGUAAGUUAGUUCCAAACCCAACGGAAUGUUUGGAGGAAACUGGGAAAACCUGAGUCAUGGACAACUUGUAUGUAUGUACGUAUUUGUGCUAAUCAUCUAAUUAGUGCAGAAACGCGGGGCUGGGAAAUUUUGGCAUUAUGGGUUUAUUAACCGAGCAAAACAAGAGCUAAACACCACUCCCCACCAUAAAGGUCUUGUUUUGACUAGAAGAUCACGUGAUCAUUUGUCAAUCAAGAAAGAAGCAGAGAAGGAAAGGACCAAAAGGAUUUACAUUUUAUACCGAAGUAGCUGAUAUUUUCAAAUUCAUUGGAUAAUGCCAAGAGUGAUUAUCUAAUAAUUUCCAUAGAUAAUUACCCAAUGAUAAUUAUUGACUGAAGGCAAGUUGCAGUGUAUGUAUAUCAUAUCCUGAGAGUGGACAUCUUAACUUUAAUUGUGUUUUUUUUGUUUGUUUGUUGCUUUUUGUAUGUAUGAACACAAUUUAAAAAGCAUGCAGUCUUUUUAUGGGAAUUUCAGAGAUCAGCUCUCAUUUACCAAGCCUUAUUUUUGUCCAGUUGAUUUUUUUUUUUUUAGAUUUUUUUCCCCCUAGUUCGUAUGUUCCACUUUUGCCAGAUUGUAACUGUUAAAGGACCACUAUAGUGCCAGGAAAACAUAUUUGUUUUCCUGGCACUAUAGUGCCCUCAGGGUGCUCCCACCCUCAGGGACCCCCUCCCGCCGGGCUCUGGGGUGAGGAAGGGGUUAAACUUACCUCUUUCUCCAGCGCCGGGCGGGGAGCUCUCCUCCUCCUCGGCUGCAUGCGCAUGUGCGGCAGGAGCUGCGCGCGCAUUCAGCCAGUCUCCUAGGAAAGCAUUCAUUAUGUGGUUUUCUUAGUGAGAAGCACGCAAGCACCUCUAGCGGCUGUCAAGAGAAGCCUCUAGAGGGUGGAUUAACCUAUUUAUAAACAUAGCAGUUUCUCUGAAAUUGCUAUGUUUAAAAAAGAAAAAAGUGUUUACAUGUCUACAUACCUGUAUGUACAGAUGUAUAAGAGAGUAGGUAGAUGUUUGCACAUUAAACAGACAUUUUACAUUGCAUAAGAUUUUUUGAGAAUUGGAGGAGCAGAAGGGUUUAAUUAGGGGAAUAGGAAAUAGAUUUUGCACUAUUUUCUUCCACAGUGCAAAUAAAAUAACAGACAUGCCUUUGGGUUCAUAUGAUUAAUCCAAGGGAUUUCAAUAUCCAACAAAAAUUACUUCGAAAAAUAUUAAUCAUUAUGUAGAAUAACCAGUAUCUAGGCUGGUGAAUAUAUAGUCAUGGGUGAGGUUACUUGAUCUUGUAUAGUGUUGUUGAAGUUUAAGAAAAAGAAAUCGAAGGUUGCUAACAAUUUAUGAGAAAGAAGACAGGCAUGGAUUAUCAAAGAGAAAGAAUGGGCACGUUUAUAAACAGGGAAAUAACAUCAUGUCUAAUAAGGGGGCUUAGGGGGAGAGUUUGUAAGGUGUCGUGUGCACAUUAUUCUGGCCAAAGAAAACAAAAAAAAAAUUAGAUACAUUUGGCUAGAAAACAAUGUUUCUGCAUAUAUUAAAGGACCACUAUAGUGCCAGGAAAUCACUUGUUUUCCUGGCACUAUAGUGCCCUGAGGGUGCCCUCACCCUCAGGGUCCCCCUCCCGCCGGGCUCUGGGGAGAGGAAAGGGUUAAAAUCUUAGCUUUCUCCAGCACCAGGUGGGGAGCUUUCCUCCUCCUCUUCUCCUUCCUAGUGACGUCAUCGGCUGAAUGUGCAUGCGCGACAGUAGCCACGCGCGCAUUCAGGCAGUUCAUAGGAAAGCAUUUACAAUGCUUUCCUAUGGACGCUGGCAUCUUCUCACUGUGAUUUUUACAGUGAGAAGCACGCAAACGCCUCUAGCGGCUGUCAAUGAGACAGCCACUAGAGGCUCUAGAGGCUGGAUUAACCCUCAGUGUAAACAUAGCAGUUUCUCUGAAACUGCUAUGUUUAUAAAAAAAAAGGGUUAACCCUAGCUGGACCUGGCACCCAGACCACUUCAUUAAGCUGAAAUGGUCUGGGUGCCUAUAGUGGUCCUUUAAGGGUUUAACGAUGUAGUAACCACUCCUAUACAUUUUUAAAGUAAUCAGGGAACUGUAAGAACGAUGAUGGCAUACUUCCCAACAUUUCACUAUGUAUCUUGGCUGAUUUAUAAAUAAAUGUGUUGUAGUUUAAAUACAUAUUAAUAUGAGCAUUGUUGCUAUAGAGCUCUGUUCUACAUUCAGACACACCAACAAUAUGGAGCUUUUAGAGGGACAUUAUGAUAGAAAAGAAGAUCAGAGGGAUUUGUGCUACUAAAUAAGGACACUUGGGAGAUGUGGCAUGCAAGAACUACUAAAGAUCCUCUGUGUCUGUGUGGGGGGUUAAAUGAGUGGGACUGGUUGACGGAAUGUGAUUGUGUGCGGGAGUGUGUAAUGUUAAACCCACUCCUGCUUACUGAUUUGCUGGAAGUUGGAUAUAACCCAUAUGGUCUCUGUAGCAGGAUCCCUGGUGGUUCACUGGAGGAGCAUGUGGUCUGCAUCUCCAGUGGAUGCAGACCACAGUUGAUGCUCCUCUGGUUGACACUCAUCCAGUAAGUUAGAGCAUUAUCAUGGUAACCCAAUACAAUACUCUGGCUCAUUGCAUUAGUGCCAGGACCACCAGAAGGGAGCGCUUACCGAUCUCUACUUCACAAACUUUAAUUGUUUAUUUCAAAUAUUGCCACAAUAGUUGUUAUUGCCACAAGAUGUUCAGAGAUAUACCUCCAUUGGCAUUUUUCUUAUUCCAGGAGAAAAUCGCACUACAGUGAUUAUAGCUCUCCACAGACACUAGAUGACACACAGUGCUGGGGAUAAGACCCAACUUUAUUGCAGCUGUUCAGAGAUAUUUAUACACACAGAGGGAUAUUUGCAUACAAUACGGUAAUAAACAGUACAUGAAUUUCCCCAUCAAGUCUUCUUCCCAUAAUUACUUGUUUUUUCUUGCUGAAAACAACCCUACCAAAACAAACAAAUGCUCGGCUCCAUUUUUUCCAUAUAAUUCUAACAUGAAACGAAGGCUCCUUGUAAAAUUCCCACCCAAGCAGGAGGAAGCCCUACCCUGCAACCCUGGAUGACAUGAUCUGUCACAGGCAAAAUAUUAAAUAACUAUUUUGAAACCGGAGGCCCCUGACUGGCCAGAUCCUCCUUCACUGGCAGAACUCCUGGGCCUGGUUGCAAUAACAUUUAUUAAUUAUGCACAUCUAUAGUCAAGAUAAGAUUGCAACUAGGAAAUAGCAGGUCCUGGGGGAUUAGACCAAUCUAUGUGCAUAUGCUUAUAGUUCUUCAUGUUUUUUUUUGCCAUCAUCGUUCAUAAUCCACCACAAUGACAUCAUUGUAUUCCAUUCUAUUGCCGCUACCAAACUCAACCCCCUUUUUUUUUCAUAUUCUGGAUCAAGUUUCUAUCAGCUUAUAGAUCCUGCAUAAUCAAACCCUUAACAUGACAAUUUCCUGGACAAUUUUUGGGGGAAAAAGUCGGAACAUCUCCUACUAUUUUUCCAGAAAAAGUACAAAUUUAGAUAUUUGGAAAACGACAUUUUCUAUGAAAGCCCUAUCUACAAACAUCUGGAAUACGGUGGUAAGCCAAUCGGUGCAUUAACCUUGACAUCACAAACUUACCAGAUAUAAUGUGAUUCUCUCUUGAUAAUCGGUUACCCCGAAUUUGAUAUUUUAAUACACCCAGGGCAAACAGAAAAGUCAUUGUUCAUUUUGCUAUUAACAAAAGCUCUUUACAAAUGUGAACUUAAUUAAAAAGGGUGAGGUCAUACUUCAAAGGAUGCAGUGGAAUUACUUGCUCUUGAUUUAGGCUCUGAUAUAUUUUGGGCAAUCUAUACAAAAAGCUGUUUUAACAAUUAAAACAAUUUCAAUGUGCUGUGGUGACCUGCGUUCAUCUGGCUCUGACCUUCGCUUAUUCUGUAUUACAAAAUGUAAAGAUUUGUCAUGCUUGAUGUGACAGAUUAAUGUGCUUUACAGUGAACGAUGCAGUGGCUUUUAGCACUGAAAUUGAAAUGACAUAAAAAGAAGUGACCAAGACUGCUUAUUAAAUUGUGAGUUGGAUUAAAUGUACCACUAUCUUCUAAACCAUUGUAAAUAUUUAAUAUAUUACUGUUGGCCGUACGAAAAACACGCUCAUGCGUUCCUUGUAUUGUAAUUUUGCUAAUGUUUAGCCUUUAUACAUUAUAUUGGGCCUAUAAAAGUGUUAGGAACUUGGAUCACAGCUGCCAGUUAUAAAAUUAAAGUGAACUUCUCACCUUACAAAAACGUUUGUCUUUACGAACACUUUUAAAAAAACAUUUCUAUGUUGUAUAGGCAGGUUUUACAUUUAUUCUUAAUAAAACUUCUGAAUUUGCUUUGGAUCCCAUUACUUGUGUGUCAUUUACAACGUGCAUAUAAUUAACCUCCCCUGAUGCUUUGAAAGACCUUUGUUGUAUAUUUUGCCACCAUGAAGGGAAGCCCGAUCAGCUGCAAGUUAACAUUCUGAGAUUUCAACGUCUGUUCUAGGUUACAUGAAUGGAACAUGUAGAUAGCAUUUAUUGCAAUCCUCAUUAUCUUAAAGGGACACUAUAGUCACCAGAACAACUACAGCUUUACUGCAUUUGUUUUGGUGAGUAGAAUAAUUCCCUUCAGGCUUUUUACUGUAUACCCUGUCUGUUUAGAGAAAAUGCAGUGUUUACAUUACAGCCUAGUGAAAACUCCACUGUUCACUCCUCAGAUGGCUGCCAGAGGUGCUUCCUUGGGCAGUGCUGCAGAGUAAGCAGCACUGCCAUUCAGUGUCUCCACCCUCUGCCUGCAGACACUGAACUUUCCUCAUAGAGAUUCAUUGUUUCAAUUCACUUCUAUGAUGAGAUACUGAUUGGCCAGGGCUGUGUUUGACUUGUGCUGGCUCCUCAGCCCCUGAUCUGCCUCCUUGACACUCUCAGACAAUCCUAUGGGUAACCAUUGUGAUUGGCUCAGGCCACCACUCCUGAUGAUGUCAGCAGACAGAAGCAGGUCAAGGGCAGAGCCAGAAGUUUAAGACCUGAACACCAGUAAUAUUUUACUAUAUUUUCUUUUAAGAUCUAUAUAUAUUUAUUUUACUGUUCCUCUAUUGCUUGCUUCUUGAUCUGUGAAAAAAAUUACUGGCUGUCCCCCUAGCCACCAAACAUGUUGAUUUCACAUCAAUCUAUCUUUUAAUUUUUUUAUUUCCACCGGGAUAAUUGCAAAUCCCAAAGCAUAUGAGCUUGCUCAUCCAUCACAUUGGUCAUUUGCUUGGUUAUUGGAGAUGAGGCUUUGAAGAUAAGGCUGCCAAUUGCCUUAAAUGCCGCUGAAACGCUAUUCGUCUGUAACCAAAUGCACAAGUCAGAUAUGGUAAACCAGAUAUGGUAAAUUUAGAUAAAGUAGCUGUGAUGUGCCUGUAGUUGAGUUGGAGAACUUUUCCAUAUUGGCCAUUGUUGCCUAACUUUUACAUUUAAUUUUUAUUUAUUCAUUUCUGUUUGUUGUGUUAGUGCAGAAAAUCUUCUGUGUUUGUGGUGAUGAGUAGCAUAGAGAACCAAAUGUAAAGUUUAACUUAUCUGGAAGAACAGACGAUACCUAAUCAGCACAUUUCAACAUAUUUUCUUAGCAUCUAGAGACUCAAACAGGUUCUUUGUUUUUCCAAGCAUUUGGUUUCUUGUGGGUUUUUAUGACUUUCGUUAUGCCUGUAAAAAGUUAUUUUCCGUGAAGUUAUCAUCCACUUUGAGGCAGCUCGAUGUGAUACAAAAUGCUCCAGGAGUGAUACAUCGAUUCUACUUUACAACAUGCUAUAUGGGAGGGCCUGCAUUGAGUCAUUGUUCACACAAAGGAUUUACUUUUCGUUAUGUGAUUCAGUGGCGGUAACCAUGGUGUUUUGCUGCAGGUACAGAUGUGUCUAUUGAGUAUGAUGCUCAGGUGUUUCUCAUUUUAAUCCCUUCUUGGUUUGGCAAAGAAUGAUGGGAAUACAGUGUAGCCAAACAGCCUUUCACAUUAUGUCAAUAAUUUGGGCUAUAUUUCUACGUACAUUACCUCCUGUCACAAAGAUUCAUUAUCAUCUUAAAGUUGCCAACAAUGAAUGCUCAGUGCCCACCAAAUCCUUUAAAAUAAAGUUUAUAAAUCCAAUUUAAGUACAUAUUUUAUUUAAAACCCUUUAAUCCUGACUUUAUACCGUGCACCGCACUGCAAAGACCACUGGCAUUCGACCAGUAUAGCAUUUUCCAGUCAUCUGUUACUUAUAACAUGUUGGAAGCAGUGGUGAAACUGUCAGAUUUCGGUUGUGAGCCAUAAAUGCAGUUUAAAUAUUUAAUGAAAGGAGGCACAAGAGAAGGGAAGUGAGAUCUAUUUUAUGGAUCGACCUGCAUGUUCAGUACUUGCAAAAUGUGAAAUUGCAAUUCCAAAAGCACAACAAAGGCCACCAGUGAGAUUUUUAUGUCCGUAUUGUGCAGUUAAACUAUAGUUAUUGAAUUUGGUCCAAUUACCUAUUUGAAUUAAUGUCUACUUCUUUAUUUAAGUAUUUUGUUUUUAAAUGGGUUCUUGACGUUUUAAAAUUCACUUUAAAUCCCUGACAAUUUACACGUUCGUGAAUAACCCUGAGAGAGAACUCUAUAGAAUAGUGAUGGGCUAACUGGUUCUGCAGCUGUGGUCAUGUUCAGUGCUUGAGGGCCAUUGGAAAAACUUCGGUUUACAGUGUAAAAGUAAACACCAUGAUUUUUUUUUUUUUUUUUUUUUAUUGUAGUGAAUUGUUUUACUACAAAUACGUCCCUUUUGUGAGAUCUCAGUAAGGACAGAUCUCCUACCUAAACAAUUAUUCUAUGUGGAACAAGAAAGCUUGUUUUUGUCUAUGUGGAGUAGUAUCCUAGAAUUGGGUAAAAAAAAAAUCAAUUUUUACCUUUUUUGUCAUAUUUUUGUUAGAUUGUUUUUCUGGAAAUGUAAGUAUACACAUAUAUGCCUUGAGCUCUUACCAUGUAAAAGGACAAAUCCGAGCACCAUAAAAACUUCUUUGCAAUUAAGUUGUUCUAGUUAAAGGAGGUCCUGGGCGCCAUUUUUACAUGAAGGCUUUAAACCGCUAAUGAGUGGUUGAACCCCAUGGUUGAACCCCAAACUUAAUGAAAUGUAGCCCAUAAAGUCUCACUUUCCUUUUUGACAAUAAAUAAAUCUGUUCGGACUUUCAAGAGACACAUUUCUCUAGGAAAGAUCAGUCUAUCCCAAUAAAUAUCUGCAAGAGAGCUGGAAAUUGUAUACGCAUGCUUCCCUCCUACCACCCAGUAAGGUCGUUUGAAAUAGAAACUACUACUGCAUUCUAUCCAUCAAUAAAGUAAGGAGGUAGAGAAGGCUCAAGGUUGAUGAUAAGAAAUGAUACAUAGCAAGAGCUGGGGCUAAGUUAUACCCAACACCCCCAGACAAUAAUUGCCAUCCAAAUCCGAAUAAAAACAUCAGAAGGAGGGCUCUCAGUCCAAGGAGAGCACCAUUUUUGUCAUAUUGCUCAACAAUUGGACUGUUUGCAACUCCUUGCAUCGGAACUAUAAAAAUAAUUUGUAGUGGUUUAUGGUCCUUGUAGCAAAACUUUCAUUUCUCUACAUACAAGACCAUGUUUACUUACUUUUACAUCUGUUUUAAGAUGUUACUCCAACCCUUUUUUUUUUUUUUUAAAGCUUCUUUAUUUUAUUUAAAUAUCUUAUGGUAGACUUUUCACUUAACCUCCUUCCCUAUUUUUUUCUCUAAUAACUGGUAAAAAAAAAAAAAAAAGUAAAAACUUACCUUGAAUCUAGCAUGUCUAAGUAGUAUGAACCAUGAAGAAGCGAUGGUUCUUAAUAUGGAAUAAGAUGUGAAAAGGUUUUCAGUCAUAUGUUUCUCAAAGGGAAGCAUUGUUGGACCUUGGGUGCAUGCGUGGGAAGGGUGGUGACCCACUGAUCAGCUUCUUCUGAAUCCAAUGCUUCUCUACCAGAAGCAGUGAACACUACACCAUUUAUGCACGCGGUGUGUGCAUGCAUGAGCAACCAGAUGAGCAGAGUGACAGGAGAGGUAGGAGGGCUGGCAUCCAAGAGCAUGCUUAUUUCUGAACAGAGUUCUGGGCUCACUAAGUCAUGUGCUAUACUCUGGCAAAAAUUUACUGAUUUUAUCUGUAAAAGAAGUGUUUUAAGCUUGCACCAUGACCACUUCUAAAUGUUUGACAAUUUCCUGUGUUUUGUUACUAUUACAGGGUAGGCGCAUAUAGAUUCUACCUGUGACGUGACCUAUUGCUGGUGCAAGAUAAAUUCUAGAUGCCAAGGAGAAUUCCUUGCACAUUACCAAUGCAAAAAGGACAAGCCACGAUGGUGCUUGUUUAAUAUCAUUUAUUUGUAUUUCAUUGGGAAAAAAAGGGAAUCAUUAUGCAGUACUUGCAAAGUUUGCAUUAUUAGAGAACUCUUUGAACAUAUACUAGAUGUACCUUUUUAGAAAAAUGUAGAUUAAAAAAAUAAAAAAUAAAAUCAGACUCUACAGGGUAACACAAUGGUUUUACAAAAUGCUUUGUGCUAUUUAAAGAAUUUCAAGAAUGUUGUCAGCAGGCAGGCUAUGCAAUACAAUAAAAAUAUCAGCAUUCAUUAUAGGCUUCCUUUGUGAAAAGAUAUUUCUCUGUUAGAAAACUUUCCCUUUUGAAAUUUGGCAGAGAUUUGGGAAAACACUGCAUACUGUGGGUUCAUAGAGGACACAUGCAUAUUUAUUCCUGAGAUGAUGUUCCUCACAUGAGCCAGAUCAAGAAAUAAAAUUCUAUAUUUUGAUCAUAGAUGUAUAUCAGUGUGCUUUGAUUCUCGUUUUGUGUGAUUUAAAUGAUUAUCGUAUUCUUGAAACGUGCCGGCCUUAUGCAUUAUCCAUUACAUGAUGAUUUGAUUCAGGUGAUCUAUUAACUAGCUAAAAAAUAAAAUAUAAAAAUAUACAACUUACUUUUUUCAUAAUGAGGGGGAAAAAAUAAACAAAUCAAAGUAAGGUGUUUAGAAUAACUAUGAAUUUUAAUAUAAAGUCUAGUCUGUUUCUAAUGAGAUUGUUCAUUUUACAGUUUUGAAUUGUAUUUUAAAAGUAAAUAAAGUAUGCAUUAGGACCAUAUGAUUGUUAGGAGUACAUAUGCUAAGAUUAAGGACUAACAAACCACAUUGGAUUGAGGAGUAUCAUAGUUAGGACUUCUUACCAAGUCCUGAUAGUGGGUGUAAGAAGUUAAUAGCUGGUUAACACUCCACAGGUUAAUCCAUCUUACAGUUGAUAAGGUCACACCAAAUUAAGGUAGCAUUCCAAACACCAUAAACACUACAGCUUGCUCUGCAUCCCCAUUGUAAGUUGUCAUGCCAUUUUAAUAUGGUUUGACUUUUUACCUGGGGAUCUGCCAGACACCGCUCCUGCCUCCACCACUGACAAAGACCCCAAUGGCAUUCCAAGCCACACGUCUAACUUACAGCAGAAACAGGAUGUAAAAUGAAUGUUCAAUUAAAUAGCCCAAACAAGUGUUGGCAGACCAUCUUUGCCUUCCCGUUAAUUUUAGUAGGCGCAUCUUCCCUAACACCCUGCUUACCAAAGAUUUAUUGAAUAUAAAGUUAAUGCAUUUCCAUUAUGCAGAAAACAUUAUUUGAACGGUUUCCCAAGCUUCAUAGAGGCAGCGAAUCAGAUUAUAAUUAUUAUUGGCACGUAUAAAGCACCAAUAUAUUCUGCAGCACCAUAUAAUUAGGGGAUACAAAAAAAAAGGUACAAUAUACACAAACCAAUACAAAAGGUUAAUAGGGCCGUGCCUGUGAGCUGAGAUCUAACAAUUUGAAGUUUUUAUACAAAGUGCUUACUUAGCCAGUGAGCUUACAAUCUAAAGAUGAGGUAGGACUAUGUAUAGCAGUUGUAGGAAACCUGCAACACACCAGAUGUUGUGCACUACAUCUCCCUGAUGUCAAUAUUAUGGGUGUAAGAGCAUUAUGGGAGAUUUAGUCCACAAGAUCUGAAGUGCCGAUGGUUGCCUACCCCCAAUAAAGUAUAUGCAUAGUGCUGGUCUGCCAACAUACUGAAUAAGUUGUUUCUAAAUGGGCAUGGGGAAGUGUAGAAUCCUACUACACAUCUCUAAAUGAGGGCGUAUGCUUCUAGUUUUGGGUAAUCUAUGCAUCGUUCUGUGUUGCAGAAUGCUACAUUAUGGGUGGUUGAAUGAAGAGCUUGGAGUUGAGGGUCAUUGUUGCCUACCAGGUGGGUAACUGUGUCAUGGUAGCAAGACAUCUAGUUGUACAUUAACAUUUUCAUGCCUACACUGCUUAUAGUCCAGGCCAGAGCAAUAGCUGGGUCCUCAACCUAUGGCACUGAAAGCAGCAAGUGGGGUUAAAAUAAUCAACAGCCAUAGUAUCCGGAAUCGACUCCCUGGUUUGAAUCAAAGUACAAGAAAAGUUUUUUGUAUUGUUCUUAUUAAGCUCCUUACUGCUGCAAAGAGUUUCUGACUCACUUUUCAUGGAGCUUCUUUAAAGUCUGAACACGUCGCCUCCUGGUUCUAUUGGAGACUUUUGAUGAGUAGAAGUAAUGAUUGAACGCUGGUUUUAAUGAAUUCCUCUGGCUUGAAAUACAUUAUCGUUUUAAAGAGAUUGUGUUUGCAAAAAGUUUGUUUAGAAAAUCAUGUUCUUACCAAAAUUCUAUAUCACAUUAUUAUUCUUGCUCAAAAGAUUAUUGUGACCAGCAGAUUAAAAAUAGGUCACGUUUUAUGAGAAAACCCAUUUCUAAUGAGAAAAACUAGAAAUCAUAUUAUAACAAACAGAUCAGGUUAUGCUUUCCUAGAUAGAUUUUCUUCAUAUGUUCCUGCCUACUUUUAGCUCUGCUUAAAGUAUAAAUAUGAUGUAUGAAGUAUAAAACCUAGCCUUUAUUUCAUUUACAACGUUAUUACAAAACGCUUAGACCCAAAAGCCUCCAUGCAAAAACACUAAAGACCAACAAUUACAACAGCCCAUAAAGUACAAACAUACCAUUAGUUCAUCUUAUUCAUUCAUGCUUGUAUCACCACUUAAAUUGAUUCUCUUGUGCCAGGAAAACAAACCUGUUUACCUGACAACGUUGAAACUUACAGUGCCCCCCUCCUUCCCACCACCCAUCCCACAUGGCUGAAGGGGUUAAACACUUACCUGAAUCCACCACCGAUGUCCCUCAGCGCUGGGUCAGGCGGGGGAGAACUAAUGUGCAUGCAUUCAAUUCUUUCCUAUGGGGAUUCCGGCGACGGUGGAAGUCCUCAUGCAGAAUGUCCUCACGCUAUGCAUCAUUUAGACAACCAAAAGUCGUCUAAGCACCUGAAAGCCACUCUAGUGGCUGUCUUGUAGAAAGCCACAGGAGGAGGACUUAACCCUGAAAGGCGAUUAUUGCAGUUUUUUAGAAACUGCAAUAAUUACCACUGUAGGGUUAAGUGACAUGAGAUAUUGCAACCAGACCACUUCAAUGAGCUGAAGUGGUCUAGGUGCCUACAGUGUCCCUUUAACCAUAGGUACAAAGUAAAGGGCUAUAUUCAUCAAUGGCUUUUCCAUAACUGAUAGGAUUUUGGAAAGCCUUGCAAAUAUAUGCAUAAUACACAGAUCAGGAAGAAAAUUGCAGGCAAGUAGUAAAUUUAUUUAGAUUUGCUAGUAAUUUAACUGGCAUCAUAAAUGUAUACUUUAAUGUAUUUAAAUGUUUGUAGUAAUUUUUGGUUAAGUCUUGUGUAGUUAUGCAUAUAACUACAGUAAUUGUAGUAUUAUUUACCUGUGUGAUGAUCUGAGGUGUCUCCUAUUUGAAUAUACACUUUCUCUAAACUAGUUGGAUACCUGACAUGCUAAUGUAUAAAGAGGGAUUUUUUUUUAAUCUUCUCACUUUUAGAUUUAUUCCUGUUUCAGGUUCCUUUGCCCAUGUUUAGCUCUAGAAAUGGCCAAUUUUCAGAAUAUAUACUAGUUUAUUUUAACACAUUCAGUAAAAUAUUUUGACUGGAAGAAAAAAGAGCUGUACACAUCAGAGCCAGUUCAAGGUAUCUAUCAACUCAGUGUAGGCAGCCUCUAUCCUCCUGUAUAAAAGACAAUCAACAUUAUGUUGGUCAAUACUCAAACCUGGAAAUUCUCCAGUCUUCACCCAGAGACUCCUGGUAUGAUGCAAGUCAGUAGAGAUUGGGAGGAAUAACAUUCUGUGGAGUACCACCUACGUUUGAGUGUAUCUCAUUUGGGAUGGAAUGCACUGAGCUAUGUAUUCUAUAUAUUACGCCAACAUGUUCCAUCAUGCUUCCGAAUGACAUUCUAAGGAUAGAAUGCAACAAAAUAAUUGACAGUCAAGGGGUGAAGAGGGCUCUGUUCACAUGAGUUUACAAUCUAGAAGAAUGAGUUUAUAAUCCAGAAGGGAUUACACUUUGGUUUAAUAUCCUUCAAACAGUUCAUUAAUUUAUGUGUCCUAAUGGUAAGCUGUCACUCAAAAAAAUGAUUUGACCAUCGUGUCUACAGAAAACAUAUUGAUCGGGAAAACAAAUAUGGUGUUCUGUGUCUGGAGCGUUCUUUUCUUUAUUUCUUUAAUAACAAACUGCUAUUGAUACACACCAGUUAAUCCCCAGUGAAGAAAUCCAUUUGUACAUGAGCUCACACUGACAAAAUCACAAUGGAGGUGUAGCAACCAGAUUUUAAACCACUUUUAGCUUCUCGUCUAUACGUUUGCCAACAAUAUAGCUAUUCUAAUGAGGAUGUAAAUUACUAAUGAUCUUCUUGAAUAGGUAAUGGAUAAAAUGCUAAUCUGUUGAGUUUUCAGUCUGCUUUUUUCCCUCUGCUUUUCUGACAGUUUUUGUACAUUGUAAAGCUGAUGAAUAUAUCUUUUGUAUCUGCAUUGGAUUUUCUGUGUUUCCCAACAAUGGGACAUUGUGACACGAGUGUGCCUGCCUGGUACAUACCUAUAAUUAGAAUUUUAACUAGUCAGAGAGCACUGUUAAAAUAAAGGGGUGUACCUGCAGGUGUAACCAUUAAGGAGAUGACUGUUUUGGAACACCACUACUUAGCGACUGGUUCCAGACUAGAUAGUAACUCUGUUACUCAACCAGCUGCUAACCCAAAAAACUUAAAGGAACACUUUUUAGUGUUCGGUAUACACCUUUGUAUUCGUAACACUAAAAUGUCACUCUGGCCCCAUGCCCCCACCCAUCAUUCAUGCAAUGGUUUAAAAAUAACCUUUAACUCUCUUACCAGAGUCCAGCCAACGGGAGGACCUGUUGCACAAGUGUGGCAAGCAAGUUGCAAACAUUACACCCUCCCCGUAGGAAAGCAUUGAAUCAAUGCUUUUCUAUGGGGUUUUGCUUUAUGGUGGAUGUUUUUCAUUUAAGAUGUGAGGAUGUCCAGCAUUGUUUUAAAGAGUCAAACUGUGUGAAACUGCAGGAAGCACCUCUAGUGGCAUACAAAGGGGGUGGCAUUAGAUGUGGAAAUGGUAGAGCAAUUAAGUUUAAGUUAUCCAUAAAUCUCGGGUGACAGUGAUUCUUAGCUCACUCAUGCCUGUCAAUCAUCCCUAUAAGCUCUGUUUUUUUUUGUACCAGGCAGCCAAUCCACAUAGACAAAGUAUACAAAGAAGAUGAGAAAUGAAACAAUGUUUCAAUUUCUCCUCCUCAUUUGCAAUGUAUGCCCUGGGUGUGCCUUGGUUGAACUAGAUUGUGAUAUUACGUAAUUUGCAAAAUCUCUAAUAUAAAUUUACUAUAAAAUGGGACAUCUCAUGGAAAAAAAAAGGUUAACCUGAGUUAUAGGUAAAUAAACAGUUCUCCUUUAAGCACAAGAAUAUUAUAAUUUACAUAAUGUAAUCUACUUCCAUUUUCUCUUGCCUUUAUAGACAUAUGGUAUUAUUUUUUUCUUUAAUUUUUGAAUGUAGCAAACUUGAGUCUAUCAACAGCUACAUCAAUUAAUAAUCAUCUAAAUGUAUUAUUCUAUGAAAACAAGUUACGUUUACGUUUAGUUUGUUAGGAUGGUUUUGUGAGCAAAGAUAACUUACUCUUUAGUACCAUGUUAUUAUUUUUACACAGUCUCUGGUAAAGCUUUUAACCAAAGCAUGUAUCUCUGAAUACAAAGCCGGUAAAACACAGGCACUGUUCAAAAUAUGAACAAAGCACUGAUGUAUUUUUUUUUAUUUUUUUCUUACAAUUUUACAAACCGGCUUUUGAUUUUGUAUAAAAAGCAGAAAAACAUGUCAACACAAACUUUGCAAUGUAUCGCAGAGUUUCCUAGAAAUAUCCUAAAUAAUGAAAAGGUCUCAGUACAUGUAGUUCUGCGGGGAAAAAAACACACAUAUAAAAGCUCUUACAAGUCAAGAAAAGAUUACCUUUCUUAAAGGCAGGAAACAAGGCAGUGCGUAACCUAAAUGGAAAAUAGCGCAUGUGAAACACAAAUCCAUAGAUCUGCACAUAGGCAUUUUCUGUUUAUAAUGAUAGGUAUCAAAGAUAAAAUAUGACUUUCGUUUUGUGAACUCUUCCCACAUAUGUGUCUGUCUGUCUAUCUUUCUCUCUAUUACAUCCAUCUAUCAUGCCUCCAGACCAUCAUGAUUUCAGAGCGACCGUUACGAUUUUAAGGUUUUGACCCAUCUUUGUUGCCUGGUGUCCCGCUUUUGGGGACACCAGAGAACUGUCUCCAAAAUAGGUAGCAUGUCAACAUCUUUAGCCGCACUUUUAUGACACUAAGGGCUCUAGGUCCCAGCGGAGAGUACUAAAACAGUGCUCCCAGUUCCUCUACCCCCUGCCGCAGUGUGUUGCCUCUAUGAUUGUAAGACAGCCUGGUGUGUAUUUAUGCUAGGCUACCCUGUCAAUUCUUUGGGCACUUUUGUGGACUGGUAUGCACCCUCUGUGUGCGCAAGUAACACAAUACACGUGACUGGCCUGCCCCUUCUACACUGCCCACAGACGUCACGCUUCACAGGAUGCCAAGUUGGAAGGUGUAAUCUAUCCAUCUAUCAAUCUGUCCAUCUUUUUAUGGAUCUUGGUAAAAAAGUGUUUAGUAGACAUGUGCAAUUCGUUUCGGUCUGAAUAUGAAUUUGGGCGAUUUUUGGGCAAUUUGUACAUUCGGGUGCCGAAUUGCAGAGGUUCCGAAAUUACCGAAGUGUUGAAGUUCCGAAGUUGCCGAAACACAGUAUUGCCUAAGUACUAAUAUACUUACCCAGCGAAAGAAGAAGAAUGUUACAUUGUAUACAAUUUUAAAUAAAAAGUAUUCAAACAUAGCCAGGAUUCAGCUGUAAGCAUUUGCAACACUUACAACAAUCAAGUGUAACACAUUCAUAUAAAAUGUAAGUUACUUAGCCUGUCAAUGUAAUGUCCCCCCCCCUUAUUAGUAUUUAGGGCCCCCACCCACCGCUCAGGGGUGGGGGUCAGGGGGAGGACAUUAGGUCCCCCCUUAUUAUAAUUUAGGGCCCCCACCCACCGCUCAGGGGUGGGGGCCAGAGGGGAGGACAUUAGGUCCCUCCCUUAUUAUUAUUUAGGGCCCCCACCCGCCGCUCAAGGGUGGGGGACAGAGGGAGGACAUUAGGUCCCCCCUCUAAUUAGUAUUUAGGGCCCCCACCCGCCGCUCAGGGGUGGGGGCCUGGAGGGAGGACAUUAGGUCCCCACCCUUAUUUUACUGUAGGGUCCCCACCCGCCGCUCAGGGGUGGGGGCCGGGGGAGUCAAUAGGGAGGGGGGACGCUAUUUAUUUUUAACAGUGAGCAGCCACAGACUACUCACUAUUUACUAGACAUGCCCCUACUUGCGGUAUAGCGAGUAGGGGCAAAAUUUACUAAUACUAAGUAAUGUUUACUUAGUAUUAGUAAAUUUGGCUGAAAGACCAAUUCAGGUCUUUCAGCCUUUUGGUAGAUAACUCCCUAAUACCGUGGGAAUUAGGGAGUUAUCUACUAAGCGGCUGCAAAAGAAGUGCCGAAUUGCGGAAGUCCCGAAUUUCGGAAUGCCGAACCGAACCAAAAAUUUUCCCCAUGCACAUGCCUAGUGUUUAGACUUACUGGUUGUGCUUGCAAAAAAAAUAAGUGUUAAACUGAUACUCUCAGAUGCUUGCAGUUUUUGGUAUGUUUAAAGCAACAUGUUGGUCACCCAGACAAUGUUUCAUAACAUCAAAGUGUUCACAUCAUGCUGUUGAAUAGUAUGGGGGGAGGGGAGUUAUCAAACUGCCAUCUUUUUAAAAAGUGGGUACAGUUCUAAAAAAAAUUGUACAAUCACUAUGGAAACCAAUAAACCUGUCUGCACAUUUCAUUUGUGAUUAAUUUGCAGUUCAACUUUGAACAACUUUAAAAAAAAAAAUAAAAAAAUACUUUGGUAAAUAAUCCCAUCCCUAAUUUUACUUAGAAUAAAAAAAAAACAAACAAACAAAAAAAAGCAACAUGUGUAUUAUAAUGCAUAUUAAAAUGUACAAAUUAUUUUCCUUUUGUGUGUGGACAUGCUUAUAUUGUAUAAAUUUAUAUAAAUUGUAUUUAUAUACACUAUACAUUUGGGAUGUGCAUGGGCAAAAAAUUUGGUUCAGUUCAGAACGGCACCUCUGAAAUUCAGGACUUCAGGAUUUAUGCACUUCGACAAUACCCUUACCCCAACCCUACCCAUAGUAGGGGUAGGGUUAGAUUCCUGUCAUCAUUCCUUUAAUUUUCCCUCCCUCUCCUGUUUUGCAACUUUUCAGAAAUCCGAAGCACUUCAGAAAUUCGGCACUUCAGAAAAUUUGGCAAUAAGGUUCGGUUCGGCACUUCAGAAAUUCACCCAUUCGGAAGCAUCCCAAUGUCCGAAUUGCCGAAAUUCGGCCAAAUUUAAAUUCGGACCAAAACGAAUUUCACAUGUCUACUAUACAUUAUAUUUAUUUAUGAUUUUACAAAUCCAUAUAAUUCUUCAUUGCACAAACUUGUGUGUGUGUAGGGGAAGGGAGGGGGUACAUCACCAGCAUAUGUCAUCAUGCCAAAACUUCAAUAAUGCUUACUAACUCUUAUUUAUGAAUAAUAAUCAAAAGGUUAAAAUACAUUCUCAACAGGUUGGGAAGUGACUCAAAGCUCUGUCAAUUCUGGUGUUCCCAUACCUUAGUAUGGAGCAUUGUACACACCUCCAAAACACUUGCACAGCAGAAGUUUAUGGGAUUAUAGUUUUAUUGUCAGAUUUCUUAUAACAACUGUAAAGUAUGUGAUAAGAGUUUCCUCGACACAAAUAGCUUAUUUAAUUUUUUCAAAAUUUUUUGUUUAAUGUUUUUAAAUAAAACCAGCUAAUUGCACCUGGGUCUGCUGGAGAGCUGUACAGCUCUGGCCAUAAUUAACUUCAUUCGCAAAAACCAUGAAUGAAGCUAAUGUGCAAGGUAAUCGACACAUACAGGGUUAUUUACUAAAUGGAGAAUUGUCCGGACGCCAAAGUAAAAUAUGAAUAAAAUAUGAGUGAACCCAUGCGGCCUCUCAGGAUGAUGGAGUGAUAUGUGAUGUCAUGUGCAGCUGUACUUUUGAAGUGAAAAUGGAAAUGUUACAAUUAGAGAGGGAGUGACAGAAGGGGUGAAAAUGAGGAAUAAUAAUAAUUUUCAGCAAAAAAUAAAUAAAAUUUAAAAAUAUAUGUGUAAUGGAGCCAUACAGAAAAUCUUCCUGGAGAGUCUAUGGCCCUUGUGAUGAAAGAUUCUCCUUUUAGCUUCGUAUGAGUUAACGAACAAAGGAGAUGUACGAGCCAUGGAGAGUUAACUGUGUAUGUGCACACAAAUACUCUUACUCAUGUUACAUUAAUUAACACAUAUGGACACUGUGAACAAGUACUUGAAGAUUUUUGACUUUACACUUUAGAUCAAAGUAAUAAUUAAGAAUUAAUGUCUGUAGAAAAUGAAGAACCACAAGGAGUGCAUUUUAUGAUGGGGUAUUGCAUUUGUUGUGGCGCUGACGACCUCUUCUGAAGCCACCCAUGUGUUGGAUCCUGGGAGGUUGAAAAGGACGAUUUUGGGCUAGGCCAGCCUUACACAGACCUUGGCUGGUUUUGCUCUGCUUUCUGCCUGCCAGCCAGCCAAUAUUUGCAUAUACAGGGACAAAUUUAAUUCAGGAUGUCUUAAAUAAGUAAUAACCAAACCAAGUUAUUUAGGCAGUCCGCCAACAUUGGGUAUAUCUAUAGCAAAUUGAGUCAAUUUCUUGUAUUUACACUAGCUUGUAUUUGGGUCCCUCCAAAAUUUCAAAUUGGAACAGAUGUAGUAGGGUUGGAUUACUGCAAAUUGUAUCCACAGCACCACAUGGGUGUUUGGUGACAUCUCCUGUUGUUUGAUUUUGACCCUAAUGAGAGGAUAAUUUGGGUAGCUUGAGCAGUGGUGAUACAAUGUAGAUCUUAUACAAGCUUUCAAUUAACUGCGCAGGAAUGACAAAUUCCACAGGAAUGAAGAAUUAGUUGUUUUUCAAAUACAUAAAAAUGAAGUACUGUUUUCUGCUUCAUCUUAUAUAUGUUGCCGCAAAGCUAUAUGUUUGUGAGUCAGUGUACUCUGUGUUUACAUGUCAGUCCUCUGUGUGUAACGAUUAUGUGUGUAUUUUGUUUUUAUUUUAGGACUUUUAUACUUCAAAUUAAUACUUCUAACACUCUUCCUUACAUCCACAAUGUUCACAUUACGGCUUAUUUAUUUUAACAAUAUUCAGGUUUGUUCUCCAAUAGGGGUUCACUUCAACAUUGGUGUCAACACAUUUCAUUUGUAAUUUCAAUCAAUAGAAAUUACUUUCUCAAGGCAGGAGUACUUGGGAAUAGAGCCUCCGUAAAAGGCUUUAAUUGGUUUCCACUAUGCAACUAUAGACUCCUUUUUAUUAUAAUCUUGUACAUGGGAAUGAAGUCGGAAGAGCUAUUUAUGACUCCAUCUAGUGGUUGAAGGGUGGUUGUGCAAUACUAAAGUUCAGGUUGCUGGACAAGUAGAACUAAGGUUCCAGGUUUCCGUGUACCUUCUGAAGGGUGGCAAAGAUAAGUGUGCAUUAACCGCAUCCACAGAGGAACUCUAUCAAGUAUCCUAGACCAUCUAUUGGCACCCUAGCAAUACUUUAAUGGACUAUCUACCCUUAUUUGGCGCAGCCCUACCAUAUCUUUUUGUUAUUAACUGUGCAAGCCAUGCUGUGGUGCAGGGGUACCCAAAAGUAGAUCCCCAUAUGUUGGAGAACUAAAACUCCCAUGAUGCUGUAAAUGCCUAUAGAAUACCAAAGCAUCAUGGAGGUUGUCGUUUUAAAACAUCUGGGUAUCUACCUUUUAAAUGUGAAUGGUGUACUCCAUGCUCUAAAACAAGGGGGUUGUUUUAGAGCAUGGAGUACACCUUUCACAUUUAAAAUUUACAGCUAACUUUAAUUUAGCCUCGUAACAUAAAAAUAAUACCUGUCUGCCGAAAAUAUCAUUAUCGAUUUAUGGUAAAGAAUAAUUGAUGUAAAAUCUGCUUAAAAUCUAUGUGAAUUGUAGCAAUGGCAUUAAAUUAUUCCUUUACUCUUUACUUUUAAUUACAUCAGUUCUCUAACUUCUGUAUUUUGACAGUUUGGAAAUGAUCAAAAAGUAAAUAUCAAAAAUAUCAAAAAGUAAAUAUACUUAUGUUAAAAUAUGUUUAGUAAAAUGUAUUGUGUGUAUAUUACAAGACAUCAAAUCCUGUUCAGACCACCAGUCUUAUCAGUAAGUGUCUUUGGAUAAGACACCUAAAAUAAAUAACCUCAAAUAAACCUUGUCAGGGAAUAAGAAACACAUUUAUUUGUCCUUCCCUUCAAUGCAUAUUCUGUGUAUACAAAUAGCCGAUUUCUCAAUUUGUGCUGUAAAAAGAAUUCUUUCUUGUCUGGGAUUUAUCACAAAAAAGGAGAAUUUUAGUAAUUUUUGGUCUCCUUAGUUGAACUACAAUGAAUUCUGGUUGCCAAGCAACAGCAUAGAUUUUUGAAUUAUACACCAAUUGUUCUUUAAAAAUUAUAGUAGGGAAUACAGUAAUUGUCAGAUUUUUUUUUUAAAUAUCUAUGUGCAUGACGAGAAUACUUUUAUUUUUUUAUUUUUUUUUGUUUUGUUUUUUAUGGAGGGGACAAACCAUAGGGGGACAUAAUGGAAUGAACUUAAAUAACAAAAUAAUUAGAUAUUUAUAUUAGUAUAAUUGAUUCUUUUUUGCAAUUUGUAACAUUUAUUUGUGAGGUUUUUGUUUUGUCUGAAUAUUCUCUAAAGUAAAAAAAAUUGCUUCAAAGGGAAACUGUUAAUUUGUCUGAAUCUCAUCAAUAAAAACUGAACAGCACCUAUAACUCAUGUUAGCCUUUUUAUGAUGCUGUUUUAUUUAAACUUCUUAUUAUAGAUUUAAAUAUUGACAUCACAAUCCAGUUUAAUCCUGGCACUGCCAAGGCACAGAUUGUAUAGGAGGAGAAAAAUAAACUUUGUUUUCGCCUUCUCUCCCUCCACUUACCAAGUAUAAUGACAGAAAUUAGUAUUAUGAUAAGGCACUAUGAAUACAUUUAGUUCCAGGAUAGAGGUUACUACAGCAGUGAGGAAUGGUAUUUGGGAGUUUAAUCACUUUGUUUAUACAGCUUAUAUAACUAAAUAUUAUAUAAGCUGUAUAAACAAAGUGAUUAAACUCCCAAAUACCGUAGAAUUGAACAGUGAGACUCCAGGGCAGUGGCGUACACACAACCCAUGGGGCCCCAGUGCGAAAACGGAUCCGUGGGGCCCCCUCCCCCCUCCGUGCUUACUCUGCGCGGGCCGGGGCCGCAACAUAUGGCUUCGGGCACCUGGUCGCAGGGCUGCGACCCUUGCGACCGCGGUAUGUACGCCAGUGAAUGCAGAUACACAUACACUUAAAGGACCACUACAGACACCCAGAUCACAUCAGCUCAAUGAAGUGGUUUGGGUGCCAGGUCCCUCUACUUUUAACCCUGCAGAUGAAAACAUAGCAGUUGCAGAUAACUGCUAUGUUUCACUGAGGGUUAAUCCAGCCUCUAUUGGCUGUCUCAUUUACAGCCGCUAGAGGAGCUUCCGCGAUUCUCACUGUGAGAAGACGCUGAACGUCCAUAGGAAAGCAUUGAAUAAUGCUUUCCUAUGGGCGGAUUGAAUGCGCGCGCGGCUCUUGACGCGCAUGUGCAUUGGGAGCUAAGAGGCGGAUCGGGGCGGAGAGAUCCCCAGCGCCAAGGGAGUCUGGCGCUGGAGAAAGAUAAGUGCUGAAGACACACAUACACUCUCACGAACAGAUGCAUACACACUAGCUAACAGACACACACAAUCUCACGAACAGACGCAUACACACUAGCUAACACACACACAUUUACUGACAGACACACACUCACUCAGUGACAGACAUACAUACACACUCACUGACAGACACAUACACACUCACAAAACACACACUCACUAACAGACACCAAACAGACUCACUAACAGAUACACACAGUAACACGCUAACACACACACACACUCUAACACACACUCACACUCUAAUACUAACACACACACACACUCUAACACAUACACACUCUAACACACACACUCUAACACUGUAACAUUCACACACACUCUAACACUAACACACACUUUUUAAAAAAUUUAAUCCCCCAGCCUCCCUACCUUUGGGAGUGCUGAGGGAAUUCCCUGGGGUCCAGUGGUAUCAACCGGCAGGCAGGCUGGUGCGCGCGCGCGAUGGAGCACUCUCCCCUGAGUGCUUCCUGUUCAGCUCCCUCACGCGUCGCGUACUGAUACCGGAGCCGGAAGAUGGCUCCGGUAUCAGUGUGGUGCGUGAGGGAGUUGAAGAGGGAGCACUCAGGGGAGCGUGCUCCCUCGCACGUGAUACCAAGGCCAGCCUCAGGGGGCCCUGAGGUGGCCAGCUCCUGGGCCCCCCCAGGAUAAGAGGCUGGCCACAGUGGCAUACAUACCGGGUCGCAGGGCGGGCGGGCCCCCUGGUAGGCCGGGCCCGGUUGCAGCUGCGACCCCGGUAUGUAUGCCACUGCUCCAGGGUCAUGAUCUAUGCACAAAAACUGCUUUAUUAAAGGGAUAAUAUAGGCACCCAGACCAUUGCAGCUCAUUGAUGUGGGCUGGGUGCAGUUUUUGAGAAACAGCCAGCUACUAGAGGCACUUCCGGCUUGCUAGGCAGAUUGUGUUCAGUUUAAUCCCAAUAGGAAAGCAUUGAUUCAAUAGUUUCCUAUGGGGAGGGCUUAGAGCGCUCGUCGCACAUGCCCAUUAGCCCCCCUGUCGGAUGACGUCUGAGAAGGAAAAGUGCCAACCCAGUGCCAAGGGAGAUCGGCGUUGAAAUCGGGUGAGUCCAGUAAGGUUAUUUUAUUUUUUUACCUUUCCAUGCUGGAUGGAGAUGGAGCAGAGGGUGCUAUUUUUACAUACAACAGAUUUGUAUGCCUUACACUGUAGAAUCCCUUUAAGCUAAAGUUGCUUUGGUGCCUGUAAGUCCGUUACAUUUACUAAUUUAAACAUCCAGCUUAAGCAAUGAAUAUAUUGACUUAAAAAAAAAAAAAAGUUUCAUGUUUCAGGGACCUCGUAUAAAUGGUCAAUUGUGACGGAGCUCCCGUACUCAAAUAGAGUAUCUCUGCCCAGUCCGCUUCCUUAAUGCUUUCUGGGACCAUGGAAUGCUUCAGCCCCAGUUGCCCAGUGCUUGACUGGGGGAUCUCAGAAUUUUGUGAAAUCACAUGUAUCCGACACUAGAUGUGCAAAAAAAUUAAUUAACGAAUUGCCCAAAAUUUGGACAAAUUCACAUUAAUUUGAAAUCGAAUGCACAAGUCUAUUAAAGCGGCACUGUCACCCCUCCCUCCCCCUUUAAAAUGAGUGUUACAUGCAUCUAGAAUCUUUAUGUUCAGUUACAAAGGGAUCUUGCACAUUACUGGAAUAGUUUCAAUGUGUAAUACGGACUCCCUAUCAAGGCCAAUAUGCCUUUAAUGCCCUCUCGUUUUUUAAUCUAAUGUGUCUGCUGAAAUUUCGGAAUCUGCAUCAUGUUUCCAGAGUCAGACAGGUAUUUGGUUAAGGUGUAUGACUGGGGUGACCUGAGAGAGCCUCACACAGAAAAUAUAGCUUCUUUAGCAAGAGUAGUCAUGCCAAGGAUCAGAUACCUGCUUAAAUGGUGGCAAUGUUUGGGAAUAGCUUACAUUCCAGGGACCUUUUACAAUUACCAACAUUAAUUAAUCGCAUGGACAAGGUUUUUAGUCUGAUUGGUGGGAACCUUCAAUAAAACUUGGUCAGUGAGCACCUUGUUGAGACUGACUUUCAUUUAAAAUGUGAUUUCAUAUAAUAAUUUUUAUUAAAUUACUGGACCACGUGCUUGCCCUCUACUUUUUACCUAAAAUCACCAGCUCUCGGUCAUUAAAUAUAAUGACUUUAAAAAAUGCAAAGCUUAAUGGAUGUCUGCACAGUGUUCAGAAGAUGCUUUUAAAGGAACACGCACAUACAAAACAUGUUUAGCAAUUAUUGCUAGUUUUAAAUAUCAUAAUGCAUUAUAUAUCAAUAUCUAUAUGUAUAAACCCAUGUCCUUUCUUGAUGGUGGUUUAUUGAACAGAUUUCCAGAGAGUGUUUUUUUUUGUUUGUUUUUUUUUGCUUUCAGUACGUUUCUGGAGAAAUUGUAUAUUGUAAAAACAUGUUCAGAUCUAUAUAUUUUUGUGGUGUAAGGUCAAGAUCGAACAUCUAUGAACUACCAUCACUGGAUAUUUUCCAUAUGCCUUUUUUCAGCCUGCAGUUUUCCAUAUUUGUGAACAUUUUAGCUCAGUAGAUUUCAAAGAAUCCAAAGCAAUAAUGUUACAAUUGUUUGCGGACUGAGCUGGUUUCUUCUGACCCUCCUGUUGUCCUUAAUCAGGCUGCCUGUCAUCCGUGUAAUUUCUUAUUUUAUUUGUUCCUAAAAAAAAUGUAUUCCUUAAAACCUAUGGCACUGUGUGGAGAUAGGAACCAUCCUCCUUUGUAUAUGGAAUAAAACAGAGGUGGUCAGUAGAAAAUAUCAAUGCAAAGAAUACCUUAUAAUAAUCUGUUUAUAUGCGGAAUAUGUUUUUAAGAACUGUCACCUCAAUACAAAUUUUUGAUAGAAUAAUCCAUUCAUCUUGUUUUGUAAGGCAAUAUAUAUAUAUGUAUAUGUAUUUUAAUUUAAUGAAGUACAUGUAAAAAGAGAAAUCCUCAUGCUUGUACCCAUGUAUCAGAUGGUGUUUGUCAUCUUCACUUCUUGGUUUUCAUAGACGAACUGUUGCUUUUCAAACACUGUCCGACCCAAGUGUUUUCUUGAGAUUCUGUUUUUCUCAAUUUUUUUUACAUAUAACACAUUUUACCGUUUCUGUUCAAAACUUGAUGAAGUUGUUAUUAUUAUAUUAAAAUAUAGUUUUGAGGUGACGGUUGUGCUUUAAAUAUACCUGUAAUAAAAUAUAGUAAUUAAAUAAAUACUGUAGUGUUUGGAAUAGUGCCUUGGUAGCCAUCUUGGUACCCAGUCCCCAACUGCAGGGAGCAAAAAAGGUAUUUUGCUGACCUGUACUCCCUCCCAGCGUCUGUCUCCGGUGAUCUCUGUCAAACCAAUGCUUUCCCGUAGGAAAGCAUUGGGAGUCUAGUGUGCAAAGAAUUUUACUCUGCUAUUCCAUCUGAAGUGCCGCUAGUAUGGUCAUUGAGAAGAAGUGGUCUGGGUGCCUAUUGUGUCCCUUUAACCUCUUAAGGACAUAUGACAUGUGUGACAUGUCAUGAUUCCCUUUUAUUCCAGAAGUUUGGUCCUUAAGGGGUUAAUGGCAAACAGAGGUGCAAUUCUCACUAAUCAUGUUUGUCCCAGUGCUGCCCUAAUAUUAAAUUAAUUUUACCACUAACCUUAAUACCAACCUUUGCACUGCUUACAAAAUAGAAAAUCCUCUAUUGAAGUCCGUGGGGAAAUUUGUUACUCGGGAAGUUCAUCCAAAAGUAUAUAAUAUGUUUGUUUCCCCUUUAUACAUAGACCAUGAUUCAGGGAAAAUUUCUUUGUGAAGAGUAUUCCCAUUGCUGAGUCAUCAGAACCAAGUGAGAGCUCCAAACUUGUUGAGGAGUAGCUGAUCUGCAAGUGGCGGCUUUGCAAGCAAACAUCAUUGGUGGCCGGCCAGUAAAAAAAGGGACAAUGGUGGUAAUUUGUAUCUACUGGCUGCUGUUAGUGAUCACUGCCUAAAGGCACACUAUAGGCACCCAGACCAGUUAAUCUCAUUGAAGUGGUCUGAGUGCACUGUCCCUGUCCCCUUAACCCUUCACUUCAGAGAAACCACAAUGUUUAUAUUGCAAUGUUAAGACUUCUUCUAGUGGCAGUCUACCAGACAGCCACUCGAGAGUUUGACUCUGUAAAAUGACUUUGGACGUUCUCACGUUUUGGAUGUGGAUGCCCAGCAUCUUCAAAUUUUCCAUAGGAAAGCUUUGAAUCCAUGUUUUUCUAUGGGAAAGGCCUAAUGUGAUGUGCAUGUUUUAGGUUCCCCCUCUGUGCUGACAUCAGACUAAGAUGUAGCCAGCUUUACCCUUUAUUUUCUAGAGGGGAUCGGGGUGCAGAACACUUUAGUGUUGGGAAUACAGUUUUGUACUCUUAACACUCAAGUGUUUCUUUAAAGCAUCUAUUUAGCAACAAGGUUGGAAUUGGAAAAAAGUGCUCCGUUUUUUUUAGUCUGUUCUUCCAAAUUUGUGAACUUUCUGGAGAAUUUGGUUGCACAUGCUGACCAGGUUGCUCACUGCCGAACCAUUUUAUUUUAUUUUUUUAUCUUUGAGCAUGUGUGCCACGCUGACAUCCUUCCUACAUUAUGCACCAUCUUUUCAGUGCAGACAUACAAACAAGUCCGCAAACAGACAACCUCCCUUGGACACAACUCCAAGAUUUGUAGGGAGAUGUUUGGUAUGCAGUUAAUGGUAACCGUUUUAAUCACAGCAUUAGCUUUAUUCACUGUUAUUAUACUUCCUUGUUUUCUUUUUCUUUAAGGUACAGACAUCCUUGUAGCUGUUUCACAUUAAAAUGCAUGUACACACAUCAAUGAGAAUACAUGUUCUUUAGUUUACAAAUAUUAUUUAUUGGGCAAUGUUGACAAUUCUUACAUCAAUGUAUAUAAUAAUGUCAAAAGCCACAGCUUUUCAAAUUGGUGAGAUUGCUAUUGCCAAGAGUUAAAGCCUCUUUUAUAACCCCAUUUUCUAUCCAUGUGAUAGUUUUGAGAUUCUAUAUAACAUACCUCUCAACUGUCCCUAUUUUGGGUCCUUUGUCCCUCUUUUCUAGGAGCUCAUAUUGUUGGUGUGUGUAUAAGAGAACUCCACAGCAAUAACACUUUUCUAUAGACGUAUAACACCAGAAAUACGUCUUAAUAUCACAAUAAAGGCGUUUAUAAAGCAGUCUGUGUAUGUGAAAAAAAAAAACACUGUUCUUGUUCUAAAUUACAUAUUCGUUGCAUACAUUUUAUUAGUAAGUCACCUACAACCUACAAUUUCUCAAAAGAGCCCUGCUCCUGGCCACACCUCCACUCACACCCCUAAAAUAUCCCUCUUUGUCUAUUUGAAAUAUGAGAGGAGAUAAUGUAUGUAACCAUUAUUAUACACACACACAUUUACACACUCAAUGUGUUUGUUAAUACAUUGUAAAAGUCCAGUGACCCGCUUUAAAGGACCACUAUAGGCACCCAGACCACUUCAGCUCAAUGAAGUGGUCUGGUUGCCAGGUCCAUCUAGGAUUAACCCUGCUUGCUGUAAACUGCUAUGUUUACUUUAGGGUUAAUCCAGCCUCUAGUGGCCGUCUCAUUGACAGCCGCUAGAGGCGCUUCUCACUGUGAUUUUCACAGUGAGAAGACGCCAGCGUCCAUAGGAAAGCAUUGUGAAUGCUUUCCUAUGGACUGGCUGAAUGCGCAUUCAGCUGAUGACAUCAGAAGAGGGAGGAGAUUUCCCAGCGCCGAGGGAGCCCGGCACUGGAGAAAGGUGAGUGUUUAACCCCUUUCCUCCCCCUUCAGCCCAGCGGGAGUGGGACCCUGAGGGUGGGGGCACCCUCAGGGCACUAUAGUGCCAGGAAAACAAGUUUGUUUUCCUGGCACUAUAGUGGUCCUUUAAUAAUUUAAAAAAUAAAUAAAAGCAUUUUAGUUUAAUUUCCUCUACUUGUGCCCUUUUCACUUUACUCUUUUUGUCCGUUUAAAAAAAAUCUUAUUUAUCUUGUUAACAGUGUGUGUUAGCACCAAAGGUGUUUAUUUUAUUUUAUACUUUCUAUAAAAUUAUGGCCAUUGGCACAUUCUUAUUGUUCAUAUGGCUAUUGCACUAUUUGUGGUUUCACCUCUUAUUGUUUCACCUGACUGCACAUAUAUACGAAUAAAAAAAAAACAACCUAACAACUCAACUAUUUUCUAAUAUACUAAUACUUUUAUUGAAGUUGUUAAAAAAAAAAAAAAAUAAGGAUUUCUUUUAAAUGAAAUAUAUGAGAAAAUCCAUCCCUGCAUUUAGCAUAUAAAAGUAUCCUUCAGCCAAGUACAUGCACUUUAGGUUGAACUAUGUUUGAAGACCGUAAGUUACUCUCUGAUCUUCCCUGCUUCACUCACUGCAUAGAAGUAGAGAAGACCAUAGAGACCAACUGUUGGUUUUCAAACACUGUCUGACCCAAGGUGCAUGUAUAUGGUUGUAGAAUCCUGUCCUAUACGAACUGUAGCUUUUCUCAUUUUCUAUUUCUUUUCAAAACUUGAUGAAAGGAUAUAUUAAAAAUAAUUUGUUGCCAGCCAACCAAUGAUAUCCCUCCUUAACCUUAUGCACCUGAUAACUGAAUAUGGAACACACUCCUACUAUAAAUUGAACAUAGCCAAGACCCAGGUUAAGGGGGUCAACAUAGAUUCUAACCUUCUCGGAAGACUCCGAGAGGCUUUCCCUCUAGACUGGCGCUCAGACAAUAUCACCUUCAUGGGCCUGACACUUACCAAAAAUAUGGCGCACCUUUUUAGAGACAACUAUGUUCGGCUACUACACAAAUUUAGUGAGACGCUCAAGGUAUGGAAAGGGAGGUUUCUUUCCUGGGUGGGAUGGAUAGCAGCAAUAAAGAUGGUGCUCCUGCCAAAAAUCCAAUACUUGUUCAGGACAUUACAAAUACCCCUACUGAAACAUUACUUAAAUACUGUCCAAAACCUAUUUGUGAAAUUUAUCUGGGAUGGGGCAGACCUAGAGUAGCAACACAAAUACUUCAACAAUCAAUGGAGAACGGGGGGCUGGGGUUGCCAAACCUUGUUGCUUACUACAGAGCUGCUACCCUACACAACAUCACACAACUCAACACGGGAACAAAAACACACCAGUAGGUUGAGUUUGAGACCCUAUUGGAUGCUCCAAAGGGAACUUAGAGCACUUUUAUGGGUAUUGAAAACACUACGCCAACCCAUGCACAAUAUUCUCCCAAUCACUAAGCAAAUGCUCCAUAUAUGGGAUCAAAUCAGGGAUCAGGUAACUUCGGGUCCACGCAGGUCACUAGCCACACCAAUGAAGACUGAGCUUCAUCAUACCUACCUUCAGCAGUGAGAUUUGGAUAAGUGAAGGGAUAUCUCACCUACACUAAAUAUGCAAGGGAGAUCAUUACUCCCAUUCCCGGUCAGCCCUGCUGAACAAAACUGAGACCGAUGCAACCCAGAAAUGUAGAGACCAAUGGCAAAAAGAGUUGGGUUACACAAUAAAUAAGAAAUGGGAAACUGCCUUACUGACACAUAAGGGCCUGACCUCAUGCGCAACACAUAUUAAACUGCAACGUAAGAUCCUCUACAGGUCCCGGGAAAAACUUCAUAGGAUAUGGCCCUCUCCAUCCAAAACCUGCUGGAGAUGCAAAGAGGAGGUGGGCUCCAUGCUUCACAUCUGGUGGUCAUGCAGGGCGCUUUGACCCUUUUGGUUGCAGGUGGUCGGAUUGCUCACCAAAAUCACAGGACACAGCAGACUAGACAACCCAGAUACAUGUUUGCUAUUCAUUCUCCCGGCAGAGUUGCUGGUACACAAACGAGACAUCCUAUACCAGGUCUUGAUUUCUGCAAACCUGUUAAUCUCCAGGCACUGGAAACAUACACUUCUCCCCUGUUGGGCAGGCUUAAUUUCACAGGUUGAGUUGUAUUUGCGCUACAAAUCCAUGGCCAAGCAACAAUUCGGUCCCAGUAAGGUGAUCACGAAAGCCAGACAGACAUGGGCCACAUUUAUAAAAACAGAACCAUGUAGUUGAACAAAAGAAACAAAAACAAAACCUGCCAUGGAGAACAGUGGGAAAGCACCCAAGUAACCCAUCUUAACCCCCUCUCCCCUUCUCUCCUAUUGUCUUUCGAUCUCCCUCCCCACACACCCAAGUUACACCACUUGCAACAACGCUGUUACCUAUCCCCCACCCUAUUACUUUCUACCGUUAUGUUAAAAGGUUGUGGGAAUUCAAAUGUUGCUACUGCAGGUAUAUUCAAGGAAAAACUUAUGUUACCAUGCCUGUAACCUGUAAAUAAAUUAUACUAUGUCCUGAUGGUCCCUGUGUGGAAUUCCAGAUUAUGUUGUUAGGUAAUGGCUACAUUUCAUAACCUUGCAAUGACUACUCAAUGUGAUUCUGAAUGUUUACAAUAAAAAUUGUCAAAUUGAAAAAAAAAAUGAAUUUGGUGGUGACCGUUGUCUUUUAAUAUUUUUGUCAUUGAUCAACCUGUGCUUGAUAUGUCCUUAUCCGGUUGAUCUAACAUGAAAUCGACUAUACUGCUAGAUUAUUAUGGGUACAUUGUUUUCGGUGGAAAUCAUGAAACUAUAUUGACUUGCAAAACACAACAUAUUACAGUAUAAUACACAAACAGUGACUGCAUUGACAUUUGGAGUUUGUGUAAUAUGUAAUUUCCAAACACGUGUCUAGAAAAACCCACACAAUUUGGGAAAGAAUGCGGACACCUAUCAGCCAGAGAGCAAACGCCAUAUGUGAAAGGGUGUUGAACGCGAACAUCUAUGCACAUCUGGGAACACUAAACUUGAGACGGAUGACAGAAUGAGCUUAUUUCAUUUUUUUUCUCAAUAAUAGGAAUUGACCAAUUAAAGAUGGUGCUAGGAUGCCGAGGAUAGAUGUUAAUGUGUUAGCUGCUGCAGAAAAUGGUACAUAUCUUCACAGCAUGCAUUGCUAGAAGUACCCCGACCUACUCUGAUAAUGUGUUUUUAAUGCAACCUUGAGCAAGGUCACGUUUGAUCCUAGUGAUGUAGUUAAGCCAGAUUUAAAGCUCUCUCAGGUGGUAGAAGAUGUGAACAGCAUUAAGUACUUUAACACACAGAUGGGAGGUGGAGGGGAUGCACCCAUACAAAGCACCACUCUACCCUUGUAGUAAAUCGUGGUCCUGUGCAUGCAACAAAAAAUAAAUGGCUACAUAUCACAAUAAAGCAAGUGAUAUGCUUAGUUGUUUAAAAGGAUUCUCUCUCUCUCUUCUUAAUCUGAGCAGUUUAAAAAAAUUAUAUAUAUAAUAUCUUAAAUGAAUACCGCAAGAUUCACGUAGUAGUUGUUUGCAGUCUGUGAGGGGAUAUUGCUUUAAAUGUGAUAGUUGCAAUAUCUAAAAUCACUAAGACCAUAAAUAUAGAGCUUCGCCUUUUGACAUUUGUUUUAUUUUUAUUUUUUUAUCUUGGAUGGCAGGUAUCCAAUAAAACACCCACAAAAUACGAUAUACAAAAUGUAAUGUUUUUUAUUUCUUUCAUACAGCUGGCGAUUUGUUUCAAACUCUAUGGUGUUCAUAAUAACCUUUUAAGUAGAGAUUCUUAUAAAUGAUGAUUCCUGUUGAAAUACAAUCACUCUUGUUAUAUCAUAAUCACUGGGAAGAAACAAACUCAAUGGCUUGCCCUGUGGGUGGCUCAGAUUCAGAGGGCCAUUACAAGUGUGCCAUCAAAAAGGAAACCUAUACCAUUAUUAUAUCACAGUGUUCUUAGCUAUAAAUGCAGUUAGUACAUGUCAAAAUGCCAAUAAUUAUAGUAUACCAGCUAUAGAAUGAGUGAUUACUGUUCCCUUUUUGUAUUAUGGUUCCAGAAUUGUUUACAGCUCUCGACCUUUUAGAGGGUCCUUUCAAAUAAAAGUGCUUUAAUUCUACAUUGCAAUAUCAGGACACAUGUUGUCUUUUGUUCCAUUUGUAUUGGUAUGCCAUACUUUAUGGAUUACUGUUUCUGUCACCAUGUACAUUUUAUAACGCUGUUUACGUUUGUGUAACUUUUUUGAUGAAAAUCUUCACAACAUAUUUAGAACUUUAAUAUUAUUCUUUGUUCCCACCAGGAAUAGCAAGAUCUCAAGCUCUCUCUCUACGAUAGGUUAGCAGCACAACAUAACUGGGAAAAAAAGGUAAGUGUACAUUACUUAAUAUGGCAGUUUAUUUAGGAAAGAGUGACAUAGUUUAGUGUUGGCCAACUUGGUCUUCCAGGCACUUGAAUUGUGCAGAUUUUACCAGACUCCACAAAGGAUCAGCACAAAUAUCUACAUGGUGGUUUGCUGGUAUUCCUUGUUUUUUACAUUAUGACUGGCUGAGCAUUCUGGUAAAUGUAGAUCCCAAAAUGGUUAUGGAAAGGAUGGCAAUCACUGCUAUGCAACAAAAUUCAUUAUAUUAAUGAUUUGUAGUAUUGUUCAUUGAGACGUAUGUAUAUUUACCUUUCAGAUGUUUUUUUGGGGGGGGUUUUCUUGCACACAUCGUUUGAUCUUGAAAUGUAUAAUGAAUGCAAAUCUGCGCACAGUAAGGCAGGAGAAUGUCAUGGUACCCUUUUAAAAGAUUACAAGUGCUUGGAUGUUUUAGAUGGUUACAGAUAUAAACACAAAGAAAGCACAUCUGCAUUCUUCUCAUAAUGCAUCGAUCAAUAACCUCAUGGCCAAGGUGACACAGUUUCUAUGAUAGUACAGGCACAUUAACGUUGUGUCUAAAACAAAUAUACGCCGUAUUACAUUUUAUAGUAUAACACUGAAAUACAAAUGUGUAUGUGUAGAUCCUUGGUCAUCUCAACCAUUGUUCUUUAUUUAGAUUGUCAAUAUAAAGUACCUUUAGAACAUCUCAAGAAUACAGAAGCAGCAGGAUGUUAAAGGGAAAAUACUCUUAAUAUUUAUCAGAUUGUAUGUGCUAAAAAAAAAAAAAAAAAUGGAUAUUCUGGAGAUGUGCUUGGAGCAUGGUUAUUAUUAAGCUGACAUUUAAAUUAAUGUAUUGUAUUUAUAAAAAUGCUAUAAGGUAGUGAGCCUGUUUAAGCCUUGGAGUUAGAGUUUUGUAUUUCCUUAAGAGUAAUACACAGCAUCUACAUAUUGGAAUAAAAAUGUAAAAACCUGUGCAUGGCACAAAUUUUCUGAAACUCUGUUUCCACCAGUCUCCCAGAAUGCCGUACAAAAUCUGCAAAUAAGAACAGACAUAAUAACACUCACUCUUUUUAGAUUUUGACUUUUUUUGUAGGCUGUUUAUGCACUGACCUUUUUUUAAACACAUAUUCUCAGGACAGUGUAUGGGUUAGGAUUUUAAUGAACUAAAUCUAGCCAACAUUGUUUUCACGCUUUUGGGACUCGUCAGCGUGGCGCUGGUUUUGUUUCAAUGCUGGAAAUUGUCUUGACAAUAUCAAACUAUAAGUUAAGUUCUGAUGAGUUCCAAAGAAACAAUAUCUGUAUUCUUUAAAAGUGAAUUAGAGGACACACCUUUUAAACUGUUUGAUGUUAAGAUAAAUUUCAACAUAAGGCAUAAUGUUCACCUUCUAUAAAAAUAAUUUAUCCUCGAUACAUGGUAUAUACAGCACAAAAGCCUUCCAAAAAAGCCUUGGGUGAGAGCAAAACAUCAAGUCAGAUACAUUGAAAAAUACACAAAAAGAGUGCCUCUCAAUGGAAUCUUUAUUUUAAUAAGCAUCCCCGUGAUGUGGAUUAGCCGUUGCUCGGGUGUCUUCACUGUUGGUUGAGCUUAUUUAAAGAGCUUUUCUUGUCACCUUUGAACUUAAACGAUUUCUCCAGAUGUACAAAAGUGAACAAUGUAUAAAAUCUUGCUGUUUCAGCAGAACAGGAUCCAGCUGGCAGGGAACUAGACCUGCAAGUCAUUGGUUACAGCUGUGGUUCGAUUUAUGUGUUGGUUGAAAAAAUAAAUUAGCAGAUUAAAUGGCCAGAAAGAGGACUCUUUGUUUAGCUGUUCUGCAAGGACUGUGUUCUUUGCAAACUACACUCUGUAAGCAGACGUACACAGAUCUUCAAUUCUCUAUAAUGAGCUCUGAAUUAAAAUUUUUUUUAUUUUUUUCGAGAUAAAAUUAGGUAGAAUGCUGUCUUCACUAAUACGGAUAAGAUACACAGCAAGACAAAUUAAAGCUAGAAUUGUGUCAUGGCAAGAAUAUUUUGAGGUUGUUUUUUUUUUUUUUUUUUAAAUGGUUUACAGCUGCUUCAAGGUCUAUUGGUUGGCAACCGAUUGAGUAUUCUUUUGAGCCGUUUAUUGCUGUUGUAUUUUAAGAAAUAUUUGCAUGGGAAGUUCAAAUUCCCCCUUCCAUUUUGGAACACACACACCGCUAUAGAGCAGUCUUCCUUCUUUUACUACCGCAAUUCUCUUAACACGUGCUCCCGUCCUGUUGCUACCCAUUUUGAUAGAUAGGGGAGGGAGGCAGGGGAAUUUAUUAUUUUGCCUACUGUGGUGCACCAGCAGGUGCAAAAUCAGUGGCUGCAUCUGUAUCUAAUUUAUACGGUUAUACAAAAGUGGCACAUUUUCUAGACACAUUUAAUAUGCCGUUUCUGUAUGUCUGCUGUUUCAUACACAUCGAACAAUUCCUAGUGUCAGACAUAUCUUUGUGUUUAUUGAGAAACAGAGGUGAUCUACAUGUGUUUGUGUGUUGAUACAUUAAUGUAUGUCAUGUUCUUUACAAAGAGUGCAGUUUAUACUAGAACUGAUAAGCAGUUCCACAGUAAAUUGCAAUUAUUUGUACACUACUUGCCGGGAAUUCUCAUUAUUAUGCUCUGAAUUUUGCAAAGCCAACACUUAAUUAAUUUGGUUGAUUGCAAUUAUAUCCUGUCUGAAUUUAUCAGAAAAAAUACCUCUUACUUUUUCCAGAUAGCUAAAAUAUUACCCUUUACUAGCUUCGUAGUAAAUAUUUUAAAUAAACAGGCCUAUUAGCGGAUCAAGUAAAUAUUAAAAUAUAAUCAAUCUUUAUAAUAAGAAAAAAAAAAGCUAAAAACAAAACAUGGAUUCCCAUAUCCAAUUAUAACCACGAGGGGGCUUCAGAACCCCCCUUCUUUCAUGCCAGGGCUAACCGCUUGAUGAACUGAGAGAGUAAGCAAAAAAACAUCUGACCCAUUGUUCUUAAUUGUCAUGCUGUGUGAUGGGGCUAAUCAAAUAAAAGGAGGAUGCCUUCAAACAAGAGAAGUAAACUAAUAUGGUGACCUGCACACUACUCCAUGAUAUAGAGCACUCCUCUACCAAAGUUUUUGCCAUAUCUGUCCUUCAAAGAUUUGGAUAUUGAUAUAUUUAGGAUCCAUAUUAACCAGGAGUUAUUAAUUUAACAAACAUGUGAGGUUUACUGUAAAUGUAAAUAAUUGGAGGCAAUUGUGUCAAGUGAUAUGAUACUCUUGGUUUAUGUAUCAAGGUGCGGUUUUAUGGGCAUAGAUCUAAACAAAAUGUAGCAAUCUCUCAGGUCUCCACAACUGUCCACAUCUAUGCAGUGAGGUACCGUAGCUGCUAACACCCGUGCAUUGUUUUAGCACAGCUAUAGUAAAAAAAAAAAAUACCAAUGAUUUCUCUUCCCCUUGGUCACAACAUCAGACAAAUCCCUAAAAACAAGACUCAUAAUUCAGCUGUCGGUAGAUUUGGGGACAUACUAGCAAUGAUAAUAAAGUAAUUUAUACUUAAGUGACAGUUGAAACUGCACUAGAACUACAUUAAGACACUAGUGAUUAACCCUAAUCAGGGCUGGUGCAAGGAUGUUUGGGUACAGAGGCGACAAUGCAUUUUCCAACGCCCACACUCCCCCCCCAAAAAAAAACAUUUCACCUGUGUGCCUCUUAUCCUUCCUUUUAUGUUUUUUAUCCCCUCUUUUAAAUUUCUUACCCCCUUAGUGCAUCUUAUCUCCUAUUUUUUCCCAUUGUGUGUCUUACACCUCGCUUGUGUAUCUCUUACAUCCCCCUUGUGUGUCUCUUAUCUCCCCUAUUUUUAUGACUUUUACAUCCUCCCACAAUGUGUCUGUAUCCUCCCAGCCCCUUUGUGUAUUUUACUCUUCCAGCUCCUUUGCAUGUGUCUCUUUCACCCCAGCCCAUCUGUCUCCCCCCCAGCCCCUCCGUAUGUCUUUCUCCUCUUCUGAAGCCCCGAUAUGUGUUUCUUUCACAUCCAGCUCCUCUCCCCUUCCUGUCCCUUACUGGUUUCCUCCCUUCUCUGUCCCUAAGUGUUCCUCUCCCCUCCUUUCCCUGUCCUUUAGGAUUUCUCACCCUCCCUACCCUGUCCCUUGGUGCAACCCCCUCCCCCUUAGUGGUCCCCUCCCCUUCCGAGUGUGCCUCUUGUAGCGCGACCGAGCAGACUUUCUGUUAGUCCGGCCGGGUACAGGAAACAGAAGCUCCUGUACCGCGGUCCUCUCCGCUCGACCAUGCUACACUCAGUGGUGUAAACACACUGACAGUUACACACAGUCAAUGACAAACACACAGACUCACUGAUCUGACACACACUCAUUCAUUGACGGACACUCACAAACACACAUUGACAGACACACUCAUACAGACACACUCAAUUAUUAAUAUUAUAAUUAAAAAUAUUCCACCCAGCCUCCCUACAUGGAGAUCUUGCAUGGGUAUGUCAUUAAGGGUCCAAUGGGGCUGCUGUGAGGCGUGCAGCUGUAUUGGCAUCCGAGGCCGCGAGGGAUCUCUAAAGAUAUGAAAUACUGAUCAAGACUACGUUGGAAUUUCAAUAAAAAUGAAUGUAGAGACUUUGUCUUAUGGGCAAGCCUGAGGUAGACAAUAUAUGACAAAAGGAGGAGCUUACAUCCCAACAGCCAUCACAAGACAUGGCUGUGUAAAGGAAAGGGAGGACCAUGUGUAAGUGGGUUCUCCUGCUCUCCACUAUCUCACAGUCAUUAUAGACCUCGGUGUCUCAGAGAAUGAAUGAAAACCUGUACAUGGGGAUACUGUUUUACUCCGUAGACUUCGCUGAACACAAAUAUUAGUGUUUCAAAACUGUAAAACAUAUGCCAGCGAUGAUAUUGUCAAAGUGAUAUAUUUUAUGCAUUUUUCACACACAAACGGCACUUUCACUGAUGAUAUCAUUGUUGUGAUAUGUUUUACUGUUUUGAAACACUAAUAUUUGUAUUCAGCGAAGUCUCCCGAGUAUAACAGUACCCCCCAUGUACAGGUAUUAUAGGGUUUUUGAAAGUCCCAGGACAUACCUGAAAAUGAGAGAAAUCUCAAUGUAUCUUUCCUGGUAAAAUAUUUUAUAAAUAAAUAUAAGGCUUGAUUUUCAGUUUUUUCACAUUGAAAUUUGCCAGAUUGGUUAUGUUGCCUUUGAGAGUGUAUGGUAGCCCAGGAGUGAGAAUUCCCCCCAUGAUGGCAUACCAUUUGCAAAAGAAGACAACACAAGGUAUAGCAAAUGGGGUAUGUCCAGUCUUUUUUAGUAGCCACUGAGUCACAAACACUGGCCAAAGUUAGUGUCCAUAAUUGUUUUUUGCAUUUUUAACACACAAACAAAUAUUAAUGCUAACUUUGACCAGUGUUUGUGACUAAGUGGCUACUAAAAAAGACUGGACAUACCCCAUAUUGAAUACCCUGGGUUGUCUACUUUAAAAAUUAUGUACAUGUGAGGUGUAAUUCAGAGAUUUAUGACAGAUAACAGUGUUACAAUGUCACUAUUGAUAAACUUUAAAAAUGUAUAUUUUGAAACCGCAAUGUCCUACCUGUACUUAUAGCCCUAUAAUUUUCCCAAAAAAGCUAAGAACAUGGUUAACAUCGGGUAUUUCUAAACUCAAGACAAAAUUUUGAAACUAUUUAGCACACGUUUUUUGGCGGUUGUUGAUGCGUAACAGACUUUGGGGGUCAAAGUUAGAAAAAGUGGGAUUAAAAAUAAAUAAAUAUCAUAUUUUAUAAUUUUAUUUAUAGUAAAUUAUAAGAUAUGAUUAAAAUAAUGGUAUCUUUAGAAAGCACAUUUAAUUGCGAGAAAAACAGUAUAUAAUAUGUGUGGGUACCAGGGCCGGACUGGGAAAAAAAUUCGGCCCGGGCAUUUUUUUAUCACAGCGGCCCACUAAGAAGGGGGCAGGGCAGAGAAGGUGUGUUUUGUCAUCACUCAUGACAAACACGCCCCCUCUCAAAGUGAGCAUGUUGGUUCAAUGCUCUCCCAGGGUAGACCAUGCGCAGAGCUCUGCUGAAGAGCUCUAGCAUGAGAAAAAAGCCCUGUAUUUGUUCUGCACAGUGCAAGCAAAUUUAAUAACAUGCUUGCACUUUUUCCUUGCAACUUGUCUCUGGUGUCUCUAUAAAUGGAUACCAGGAGACAAAAGGGCCAGGAAAGAGUAUUGUGCAUGUGUUUGGAGCCUGCUUGGGGUAUUGCGUGUGUGCAGAGUGAGCUGGUCGUGGUGUGGUAUUGUGUAAUAAGGUUGGUUUUAGUCGUGUUGUGUUUGUGGUGUAAUGUAAUGCAUAUAUGGCUAGGGGCUUUAGAGAAUGUGUGUUUAGGGGAUGUAGCAAGUGUGUAUAUACAGGCUAUAGUGUGUGUGUGUGUACAUGAUGUAGUGUUUGUAGAGUGUGUGUGUUCAGGGAAUGUAGUAUGUGUUUGCUUACAAGGAAUCUAGUGUGCGUAUAGGGGAUCGAGAGUGUGUGUGUUUGAAGGACCCAGAAUAUGUAUAGGAGAUCUAGUGAGCGUGCGUAUAUAAUGGAUUCAGAGUGUAUAUAGGGAUCUAGUGUGUGUAUGUGUGUAGAUGAUCCAGAGUUGGGUAGAGGAUCUAGUGUGUGUCUGGAAUGAAAUGUGUUUAGGGGUGCUGUGUGUGUGUGUGUGUGAGGAGUGCUGUGUGUAUAUUUAUAUGUGUAUAUAUAUUAUAUAAAUAUGUUUGGAAGUAUUGUGUAUGUGUGUGAUGCAGUGUAUCGGGGGGUUGUGUGUGUAUGUGAGGGGUGCAGUAUGUGUGUGUGAUGGAUCCUGUGUGUGAGGUGUGGGUGCUGUGUGAGGGUGCUGUAUGUGUGGGUGCUGUAUGUGAUUGAUUUGUGUGAGGGUGCUGUGUGUGUGGGUGCUGUGUAUGAUGUGUGUGAGAGUGUUGUGAGUGCUGAGUGUGAGUGCUGAGUGUUAUGUGUUUGAGAGUGAUGUGUGAGAGUGCUGAGUGCUGUAUGUGAGAGUGUUGUGUGUGAUAGUGCUGUGUAUGUGUGUGAUAGUGCUGUGUAUGUGUGUGAGAGUGCCGAGUGUGAUGUGUGUGAGAGUGCUGAGUGUGAGAGUGCUGUGUAUGAUGUGUGUGAGUGUGCUGUGUAUGAUGUGUGUGAGAGUGCUGAGUGUGAUGAGUGUGAGAGUGCAGAGUGUGAUGUGUGUGAGAGUGCUGUGUAUGAUGUGUGUGAGAGUGCUGUGUAUGAUGUGUGUGAGAGUGCUGAGUGUGAUGAGUGUGAGAGUGCUGUGUAUGAUGUGUGUGAGAGUGCUGUGUAUGAUGUGUGUGAGAGUGCUGUGUAUAAUGUGUGUGAGAGUGCUGUGUAUGAUGUAUGUGAGAGUGCUGUGUAUGAUGUGUGUGAGAGUGCUGUGUAUGAUGUGUGUGAGAGUGCUGUGUAUGAUGUGUGUGAGAGUGCAGAGUGUGAUGUGUGAGAGUGCUGUGUAUAAAUGUGUGUGUUGGGGGGGGUAAAUAAACAAAUAAAAAGCUAUGGGGGGGGUAAAUAAAGAAAUAAAAAAAAUAAAAAACUAAGUAGGCAUUAAAUCCCCCCUCCCUCUUACCUUUAGCCUGGGAGGGGGGGACAGGCACGUGGUAGCUGGGAGGAGGGGGACCGGCACGGUGACAUCAUCCCUGGUGGUCCAGUGGUGAGUGAACUCUCGCGAGAUCGGGGCGUUGCCAUGGCAACGCGCCGGAUCUCGCAAGAGGAACCGGGCGGAGCUACAACAUAGAGCUCCGCCGGGUCCUCUCCCUCCCUCCCCAGCCGCAGGUCUAUUGAAAUGGGCCGGUGAGGGAGAUCUUUGAUCUCCCCACCGGCCCUCGGAUAGCGCCGGUCCUGCAUAGACCGGCAGGGGAGAUUCUGGGACCUCCCCUGCCGGCCUCGGCCCAUGGCCACCGCGGCCCACCGGGCAUUUGCCCGGUGUGCCCGAUGGCCAGUCCGGGCCUGGUGGGUACAGUAAAUGAGUAAAAGGAAAAUUACAGCUAAACACAAACACCGCAGAAAUUUUAAAACAGCCCUGGUCCCAAACGGUAAGAAAAUUCAAAAGCGGUCAUAGGCGUUUGCAGCCUAUUGCAUAAGGGUGUGCACCCUAAAGCACAAACACACAUGCCACGUGUAUGUAUGUAUAUAAAUAUAUAUACACACACACACACUGCUGUGUGUGAGAGUGAGGGUGCUGUGGGUGUGUGUGAUGGCGCUGUCCUCUCCUGCCUCCCUCCUGCCUGUGGGCCCGUGAGGGAGUUAUUUGAUCUUCCUCACCGGCCCAUGGAAGCACAUGGCGCAGGUACACCCGGCGCACCCCGUGCGCACACCUACGAAAGCGGUCACGAAGGGAUUAAAAUCAACCUAGCUCGAUUGCCAGGAGGGAGCCGGGGGGGGGGGUGUCUCUGGCUCCCCCUUUCCUUUACCACAAUCCAGUAACAAGACAGGGAUUGAAUUAAACAGGGAGCUAUGCAAAUGUGUACCUCCCGCAACAAUCUCAGACAGACGGAGACAUAGAUACACUUUGCAAUUAAAGAUUUGUGAGAAUCAUACUCCUGUUCUACAGGUAGAAUUUGCAACUACCACCAUUAAUAUAGCCAUACUGUAGAUCAUUAUAUACCAGGAGAGCAGAUCCUCAGCUCCUCACCCACCACAUCAUUAUUGGAAAAAUAACCUCUGCUACCUAGGAGUAAAAUUCUUACUAAUCUCACGUAGACCAGCCCUAUGAAUUAGGGACCUUUAAUAUUUGGAGCUGUGUGAGAUUGGAAAACAUGCACUUAAAAAUCAUAUGAAUCUAUUUAUUUCAUGGCUCACUAAUUUCAUAUAUAAAAGCUGUAAAAAAAAAAAUAUAAAAAAAUAAAUAAAAACCCAUUCAUAUAAAGAAAAAAAAUAUGUAAUGGAGUCUUUGAAAUACCACCAUAGGAUAUAGCCAAUACUGCUCUGCUAAUUAAGUUAUUAAUUUUCUAGGAACAGAACGGAUGUUGCUAGAUGAGAUUGAUUUCAGAAAAAGUACAUUAUUAAGUGAAAACAGAUUUAAGAAUGCUGUAAUUAGCAUGAAAAGGCAAGUUCACUGUAGGAAGAAUCUUUAUUAUUAUACAGCAAUCUUUUCCCUAAAAAGGCAUAUUUUAAUUUUCAGAAAACUUCAGAUAACUUAUGAUUCUGCAACAGCUGCCUUGAGAACUUGCAUCUGGUAUUUUCCUGCUAAAGCUGGGUACUUUUGGUUCUGUUGACUUCAUAUAUGUCUGAAAUUGAUGUAGGGUUUGACCUGUUCAUUUUCCUUUAUCAUACCUAUAAUUGUAUUCUAGAUUGUGAUUAAGGCAUUGGGAUAAAAUAGUAGGGUACAUGCACACUAGUACAGGACAGUAAAGCUGGUGUAGACAAGGAGAUGAGGUUGGCAACAUUGUAGCUGACAGGCAAACGGCUCAGUUCUUUAUUUAAAGGCACCAACAUAUUCUGCAGUGUUGUACAAUGGGUAAUUACAUAGACAUGUAAGAUAAUGGGGUUUAUCUAGUAUACAUCACAUUGAAGUGUGAUGUAUACUAGAUUGCGCCAUUACAGUCCAUAAUGAAUGCGGGGCCGAGGCUCAUCUUCCUGUCCACCCGCACCUCCCAUGCCUCACCCUUCUGUCAGUCCCUACAUUGGCUUCCUAUAAGAUAUAGAGCUCAAUUUAAAAUUCUGGUUCUUGCUUUCAAAUCUCUUCAUAAUGCUGCUCCCACCUAUCUGUCCUCCCUUAUACACAAGUAUGUCCCGUCUAGGCCCUUACGAUCUGCUGAAUACUUACGUCUAUCUUCUGUCCGUACUCCCACCUCUGAUGCUCGCCUUCAAGAUUUCUCGAGGGCUGCACCGUUCCUGUGGAACUCGCUUCCCUCCUCCGUUAGAAGCUCACCUAGUCGCCACUCCUUCAAAAAAUCGUUAAACGCACUUCUUCAUAAAAGCGUAUCAAUUAAACUAUUAAUACCUCCUGACUGAUUCCUCUUCUGCAACUGUCACUAGUCUAAUACCAUCCUUACCUUUUUGUGUAAUUUUACCCUACUCCCUCUAGCAUGUAAGCUCAUUGAGCAGGGCCCUCAACCUCUCUGUUCGUGUGUGUCUAACUUGUCUGGUUACAACUACAUGUCUGUUCUUCCACCCAUUGUAAAGUGCUGCGGAAUUUGAUGGCGCUAUAUAAAUAACAUAAUAAUAGUGAAUUGAAGACAGAAUUGUAAAAUAGCCAAGCGGAUUUGGUGAAUACAAUUUUGCAGGAAAAAGUUUUAAACCUGCUCUGAGCCAGAAGUUCAAGACAGCUGCAAUAGCCAUAGUCCACCUUUAUUGUCUAUGGGACAUGUGUAAAGGUCAUCAGAAAAGUCCUCAUAUCUUGGUCUAUGUGCCCGGGAUAUGUGUUCUGAAAGACUAAACACCUUCUCGACCAGUACCAAAAUGUUUCCACUCAAGCAUUGAGAAUGGGGAAUAGAUGGGUGUUCUAUGAUGGCCCCAAACUCCAGAUCAUAAGAUCACGUACUGCCUUGAGUCAACAAUGAGGUAUAUAUUGUUGGGUUAUCACGGAUGUAUCAGGUGUCCCUUACAUCUGUGAGUAGGACAUCUGCAGCUACAUUGCUUUUACCUUUCUAUGUCUCAUCUCACUCCCUUAAAUGACUUUACAUGCUACACUGCUUUCACAAGAAAGGACAUCGUAGGUAACAGUAUUAGAAGAUCUCAAGAAAUGUGGUCUUUACUAGUAAUGAUUACUGACCAUAACAAAACAAGGGCGUGAUAACACUUAUCUCAACUCUUUAUCGCCUUAACAAAGUGGGCCUUUUUAAAGUGUUCAACAGCUGCUGUUCAUUGUAAAAAUAUAUUACUCCUGUGGUUGAAAUAAUGAGUGGGUUACUUUUUUAUUUAAUGUUCCUUUGUUGAGCCAAUCCAUAUGGAACAGAAAGAAAAUCUUAGUCGCUAAAGUGGGAUUCCAUGCUUUCCAUGUCAUAUCAGGUCAUUUCAUUAUUGUAUAUUCACACAGGCACAAAAAGUUUUAUAUAAAAAAGUUAGAACGCUGAACCCAGUUUCAAAUAAAGGAAUUAGAAUCUAAAGUUCACAGAUUAAUAACCCAAACAAGGAGAUGAUAAAAGUAAAUAAAAUUCCUUUAGCUUGACUUCACCACCUAGAGAAGCAUAUAAAAAACAUGUAAAAAAAACACACAAAAAACCUAUAUAUAAAAGCAAUAUUAAUGUACUUUAUUAGAUACUACUUCGAUGUGCGUUAAUAACAAAAUCAUUGCUACUUCUGCAGUUAGUCUAUUGACCUUAUAUGAUAAAAUAUAAAUGUCUUGUAGCUCUCAUUCAGUGUUCCUAACUCAACACCAGAUAGCUAGGCAACCGUGCUUAGAAGAAAACAGCAUUUUGUACAUCUAUGAUGCAGUAACUUAUAUCAAAUCAGAUUAAUGGUCGUAGGGAAGAGACUCCCCUAGAUCUGAAGUACUGAUCGGAAUGGUUUUCCUAUUACCAUUGUUAUGCUGUCAUUUCAUUGUUUUUCCACUAGAGGGAGCUCACAAUUACAAAUGUACACACACACAGAGACACAAAAACACACACACUAACUAAAGCACACGUUGAGCUAUUUUCAAUUUCCUGCAAUUGUUGGCUAUAAUAUAUCCAAAUUUGCUAUGGACUAUUCAAUGAACUCCGAGUAGGAGUGAGCUGAAAUUCAACUGACAAAAUGCAGGCUAAAAUAGUAGAUUUUCGUACUUUGAAAUCACCUUUAUUUUAGUCUAAACUUUAUUGAAAUUCAGUUAGCUACAGUUCAGAAUUUGGCAAAUUAGCUCCUUUGAAUCAGGUGCUUGCUUUUGAUUCAAGCUGUUCCUUUGGUGGCAUAGGAAGUCGAGCACAAAACGGUCUAAUUUAGACUGUUUAGUGGGUGGCUUAUAGUCAUAAGAUUACAAAUCUUACCUGAUUAUCAGAGUAAAAUGAAACGUUGUAAAUCCAAGAUAACUUAAUGGAGCAUAUUUUUACAGCAAAAGCCAUAGAGUUGAAAAUUAUAUGUUGAGACUCAAAUGACUGCUCAGAUUGUUCUCAGAUUGACAGAGCACAAACUGGAGAUGCCCUGACUCUUAAUUUGUCAAUCUUGUUAACGAUGGGGUUCAUUUAUUAACAAACGGUAAAUUGUGGUGAACUGUAAAACGAGUUGUGUCCAAAUAGUUGGGUUGUUAAAAUAUCAACGGCAGCCAUUUUCUAGUUCAGCUCGUUGAGUCAUGUUUUUGCAAUAUAGGUUUCAGUUCACCACAAUUUCACUGUUUUAGUGAAAAAGAUAUAUAAUUAUAAUUAUUAAUGUGUUUAAAAUAUUAACAGGAUAAUUCAUUAAAUACCACAUUUUCAGUGAAAUUGGCCUAAUUCCAAUCAGAAUGGCAAUUCUCAUAUGUACUAAAGGUAAUUCUGGAAUUCGGAAUUAAGUCAACCCAACCAAAUCUGCACCAUUUAGCCAGAUGCAUACGGUGUCCAGACCUUUUUUGCAUUUGAACUCUAUACAAAUCAUAGGAUGCACAAUAUUUUACAACACGUCGGUUUUUUGAAUUCCAGCAAAUUAUUAUUAUUCACUUACUUUUUGCAAUAAUUUGAAGUAUGAUUUUCCUGCUGAUGGCACUAGCAACCAGCUGACAAAAAGUUAAAUGACAGUCCGCAGUAUGAGGGUUAACCAUGUAUCUGCCUACCAGGCUAGCCAGCCUCCAUGUUAAAGUAAAGUAAAAUUACAAAAAAAAAUGUAAAUAAAUAAAUAUAUAUAUAUAUAUAUAUAUAUAUAUAUUUCUCUGGGGUCAAUAUGACUAUUACUACAAAGGAUGUUGUAGACCCCUUUUAGUGCACCCACCUGCUGCAUAGGCAUAUCUACUAAAUAGUGAACAAUCAGAAGCUGAUCAUAAAAAAAAAUGAAAAAAAUUAAAAAGCAACUGGGCAGCCAUUGCUGAACACAGUAUCGAUGUGGUAUAUGUAGAGAUAAAUAUUGACUUACAGAGAAUUUUCGAAACGUCCAAUACUGUGAGGAUUAACAUCUAAAUGAGUGGUUCCAUAGACCUCUCGAUGGUUGGUUUGAUUUAGAGGGCAAUCAAUUAGCUAAUAAUUCUGAAGAUUUUUUGUCAGACCAUAGGUUCCACAUGACCUACAAUAAAGAGAGCUUUGCAUGUUUAUCGGCAUCCUCUCGUUUUCCACCCCACUGAGAUCAUUGCCUGAGAUCUUCUCCAAGGAAGACCAAGUUAUGAAGGGCAUAGGGCUACACAUAGAAAGGGUGUGGCCCUCUGGAAAAAAGACCAACAAUACCCCAAAACUGGGUGUACACCUUAAUUUAUUCAAUAGAGGUGUCCAGAAAUCCCCAAAAUAGCAAGAGUUAAAUAUCACAAUUCCUAGCUGAAGAAUAUGAGCUUGAGCUUGGCUUGGUUCAUUUAUACAUACUUUUCACCUUGCUGUUUGAAUGAAGCAUUGGUAACUAAUAAAUUUUUUCAAUGAACACAACACAAAAAAUACAAAAAUGCAUUUAACAAACAAAAAGAAGUGGUGACUGCAACAUUGACCAUUGAGUUGUUAUUGCAUUACAGUUCCCAAUUUUUUUGUUACAGCUUAGCAGACAAUUACAGGAAAUGUAGUUCAACGAUGAUCCUCAUCGUGUAACAUGAAAUUCCCUUUCUUAUAUAUGUGUUUAUAAAUAAGAAAUCGAUGAUACCAAAUGGUAACUAAUCUUAGAAUUUCAAUAUAAGACCAUGGUCUCUACAAAGGAUCUCUAUGGAUCGAGAGGAUUUUCAUCCAUAUCAAAAUUGUUUCUCCGAUCAAGCUAUACCCCUUAACCCUUGAAAAUAUCUGCUUUAUUGAUUGCGUAAACAUGAAGAAUUUUGGGUAACAAUAUGGAACUUAGUUAAAGCAGAAAAAUAAAUAAUUUUAGAAGUUCAGCACAACUAGCCCCUGGUAGACUCAACAAAAAUAACUGAAAUAAACUGCAUCAUGCAUUUUUCCAGAGUUUGUUUUCAAUCUAUAUUUGGAACAUUGCAAAACAUAUUUCCAAAAAUAGCUUCAUGAGGGGAAGAGAAUGUGUUUUGUGGCCAAACAGAUUAUGAGCAAUUUAUACCUAAGCCCUUAGCUCUGUGUAUCCAGCGGAAGGCAAAAUAACUAUGCAAAUCCCGCAAUGGUGCAAGAGAUGACUGAAAUUCUAGUACAGGAAAUUGAAACCUCAGCCACAGCCUGGCAUAGCUUCUUUUGAAAUAAACUUUUUUUCCACUUACCUUGAAUAUAUUUUUAGCAUAUUAUAUGUAAUAAACAGAAAAACAUUCUGAAGAUCAUUGAAUGAAAGCUCUGAAAAUAGGUUUGCUAGUCUUGUAAUGAUCGUGCAUACAUAUGUCACCUCUAUAUUGUAUUUUGUACACAAUAGUUCACUUAGAGGGAGGUGGAAUUUAAAAAAAAUAAAAAAAAAAUAAAUAGAGCCUAUUUCUAUAUAUAGAAAAUGCAUGUAUUCAAAUUCCACAGUGCUUAACCACUUCACUCUCAAUCUCCCCCCCUCAUAAUUUCUGAUACACAUAUGUUUUAGUUCGGACAAAGUACAUGCCCUAACCAUGAAAAUUCUCCUUUAUAUCCACAAACGCACCUCUGCAAAGACUGACUGGCCUUCACAGAGGCCUGAUAACAAAGGUGUUUGAGAGAAUUUGAUUUGGAAUCUAGAAUUCUGGAUAAAAUAAAAGGUGUCAGUGGGCAGCUCCUAUUGGCUCAGGCAGCACUUUCACUCAUUUUUAUCGCCACUCAUAUUCCUGACACAUUUAUGGUCAACUGACCUCUUUUUGGCUGUCCAUCUUUUUUUAGGCUGGGGUUGCCUCCAGUUGCCCUGGACAAUCCUUAUGUUGCCCAGUGGAAACAGGAAAGUCCCAUGGCAAUAAGAGAUACAAUGUCCAAGUUAUGACAAAAUAAAAAACUGUUUUUGGUUUAGUGAUUUAUUCAGUUAGUUAAAGGGACACUAUAGUCACCUGAACAACUUCAGCUUAAUGGGGUUGUUCAGGUGAGAACAUCUCCAGUGACAGUCACUCAGACGGCAACCAGGACGACUUCCGAGUUAAGUGCUGCCUAAUUUGCAUUCAUCAUGUUUAGUAACCUGGAGCCUGUCCGCAAUCAGAGCCGACCGUGUGGGAGAUAAUGAUCUCCUGCACACAGCGUCGGCUCGGGCUGACAGGCUGAAGGCAGGAGACCGAUCAAGAGGAUGCAGAGAUAUACUGACUUCAAACCGUAAGUACACUUAUUUUAAAAAUGUGUGAGUGAUAGAUAGAUGAUAGAGUGUGUGUGUGUAUGUUUAACAAUAUUCACAAAGUGUGUGUUUGUAUACAAACACUAUUUAUAGAGAUCUAUAUAGUGUGUUUGCAUACAAACUUUUGGCUUAGGAGGGCUGCGGUAGGAGGGGGCAGGCAUAAACAGCGAGCAGAGCUGUCAGUCAGCUCAGCUUGGAAACGUGCAUACUGUGUACAUGCGCGGUAGAGCGUUAAGUGUUCAUUCAUAGGAUGGUAUUCAAUGCCACUUUAUGAAGAACGUGAUUGGUGCAGCGCAAAACCACGCAGGCGCACCAGAUCGCUAUGACACUUCUCCAAGAGAAGCGUCUAAGCCCUGCUAUUUCCUCAUUUUGAUGGAAAAGGAGGCGUGGCCUGCCGAGGAGCUCGGCGCUGGAACGGAGGUAAGUUUUAGCUAUAAUAAGGACUCAAAUUUUUUUAUUUUUUUUAAGGGGAAAUUAAUACAAAAACAAGAAAGAAGGCUAGUGGACCUGUCUUUCUUGCUUUUAUAUGUUGACUUUAGUGCUCCUUUAAUAUUACAUAUAUUAUUAUUAUAUUUAUAUAGCGCCAGCAAACUCUGUAGCGCUGUACAGUGGGUGGACUGACACGUAAUUGUAACCAGACAAAUGGACGCACAAGAACAGAGGGGUUGAGAGCUUACAUUCUAGAGGUAUAGUGACACAAAGGGUAUUAAGUAGGGGUAAGGAAAUAGGUUGUUAGAAAAGUAUUCAAUGAGAACUUAGUAGGUUAUUUUUGACAGUUGCAGGAGACUCACCGUACCAGAGAAAGUUGUUUGCCACUCUGUGUGUCAAAAUGCCAAAAGUUACCUUUUACUUCGUAAUAAUAAUUUCUAGGCACUUUGCGGGUUUUUUUUUUUUUUUUUUAAUGGCAGUCAAGCAAAGCUCAUGUUUGAAACAUCUGUGUGACAUGAGGGUCAUGGGUUCAAAUCUCAGUGGGGCAUACUCGAUCUUUCAUGCGUUGGAGGUAAACAGCUUGAUUACCAAUUAUAAUUAGAUCAUAAUAUGAAUGAUGCAGUAAUUGCUUGUUUAAUGUGCUUUACUUUAAGGAUGAAAAGAAUACAAUAAUUAUUGUCUGGACAGACUUCCUGACAUUGAUGUUGCCGGCUUGCACUGGAAAACAUUCUGUGAUAGAAUAUCUGUUACAUUGGAAGCAGAGGCAUUUUAAUGGCGUAAUUUCAAGCAAGGAAAAUUGGCUAAAGUGUAUUUGUUUAUGCAAAGUGAUUCAAAAGAUUUGGUAUAUAUAAGAAUGACAAGCAGAUUUAUUUGUUUUAACUUUUCCUCAACUCAAAUAUUAGUUUUUAAACUACUGAUUUAUCCUACGUUCCCAAUGCAGCUGCAUAAAAAUGGCCAAUGUGCCAGAUGAAUGUGGGUAAUUUACGACAUUUAGAAUGAGGUAAAGAACGUGCGCUAUAUUCUAUAUAGUGUUGAAAUGUGAUAGUUGCAUAUGUCUAAACUAUUGUUUUUUGUUUUGAUUUUCUUGGUUAUUGGGGGUGAAGAGCUUCUAUAUAAUUGUAUGGGUUAGUAGAAAUAAGAGUCUUAGUUACUAAACACUAUUUGAUUGUCAUGACUGUUGUGGCCUAAAUCUUAUAAUUUUGUCAACAGUUCCCAGUGCAAGGAAUCAACCCUUUGUCUUGUAUAACAUAGGGCUUUAUUUACGGAUUGUCCACCGAAUUGCAAAAUAUGAGCCAUAAUAACUGUAAUUUAAGAUUACUAGGAUCUUUAUUGUGAGAGAGGAAGUGUGUAAAAACCAUCUUUUAUCUUCACACUUCUUCUCUCACCCAUAAAGAUCCUAGUAAUCUUACAUUUACAGGAAUUGCUAAACUCACCCAACACUGGAGAGGUGGAGAUGAUAUUAUUAAAAUACUUUGCCAAAAGGAAAUGGAAUGGGUUUACUAUUUAGACACCCUCCAUCCCAAUGGACUUAAUGCCUAUUUCAAUUUGUUCAACUUUUUGUAAAGCUUAUCUUAAUUAUGUUUUGGUAUGCACCUUUUAAUUCUUUACACCAGAAUAUAAUUAUUCUUAGGUGGGGAUAAUACCACCAACACUCUCCAUACCAGAGCAGGGCAUUGCUCUGUAUAUUGUAAGUAGGAUAUCACUUAUCUUGUGUAUAGAUAUACUACACCAUAAGACAUCUCUCUGCUUUUUUUUAUCCAUUUAUAUUGGAUGACAAGUACAACAGAGCUACAUACAUCCAUAGACGGGGAUUGUACCGUAUAUAUUUUAAUUACUGUGACAUAUUGCACUAUUUUGUUGUCCUUUUUCUUUUUUGAGGUUACUAAAAACCAAAAAAUACCAGCGCACAUCGAUCCGAUGUAUAUAUGUCUCGCUUCGAAAAAUGAGAUGAAUGAGUUAAAAUCAAUGACACAAAAAUGUAUAUCAAAUAAAAACACAGAUAAAAAGUAACUCCACUUCAUAUAACCUCAGGUAAAAAAAAUAGUUGGAUAUGUCAACAUGAACAUUUGUUUCAUUUUUAUUGUUCGUACUAGUCUAAAAGUAAUAGUAUUUAGUGUAAAAGUAGUAGUACUAGUUUCAAAGUAUAGUAAAAGUACUAGUAUAAAAGUAUAUUUCUAAAAAGCUUUUCAAUUUAUGAUGUACAAACAAAGUGAAGAACCUCAUUAUCAUACUAGUUGUAACAAAUAUUUAGAAAGUUAUAUUUAUGUACCCUUGCACCUGUCCAGUGCCAAGUAUGCUAAUCAAAUCACUAAGCUCCCUACAUCUGUAUUUGAAGUAUUUUACUAGAUUUUAAAAUGUUAUUUUUCAUUGCCUAAAAACCGGAUUUAUAUGUAUUUUUUAAAUUUUGUUAAGGUUUACCAGCAAACUUCUUUUUAAUGCACACAUAGUGGCUGUUUAACUAGAGCCCAUCGUCUGCAUUUUUAUUUCCUUCAUUGAAAAGUUACUCUACCGUGUUAUUUAAUAGCUCUAGCAUCUGUGCCAUGUGAUUUACUAACUGUGAAGAACUAUUAUAUCUAUAAAAACUAUAUCUGAAAAAAAAAAACUACUGUAGCUGAACUCCUUCAGCUCAGUAUUAAAAGUGUGACCGUGGCACCCCUGUUGUGUACAGGUCUGGUGAGUUGCCCUACCUAUUACAUGUACAAAUGGAUGGGGAGAGUAAAAUAUCAAAGGUUACGGUGAACACUCAACACCUUUCUUCUCCCUUACUGAUGGGGUGGAAGGUAAUAGAUGAGCAGAACUGGGGUCUCCCAAGCCCCCUAACACAAUAAUAACCUCACCAUGUGUUACCCAUUACCCUGUUUCUCAUAUGUAAUAUGACCACAUGACAUGAUCAUAUAGUGGUAAUCUCGUAGACCUAAUAAUAUUAAUAUUAUUAAAACACUACCAUUAAUAGGACUACGGGAAUACCCAGGAUCCAGGUCUUAAAUAGUUCAAAAUAACACCACAAUUCCCAAUUUCUAGAGAUCCAAAGCUCUUAUCCUGACAGAACUGUAUUAAAACAAAAAAAAGCCCCUACAUAUCUAUCCAAGUUCUGUUACUGGGCUUAUUGUCUUUAAAAUAAUUUAAAUUUAAAUAUAUUUUGUAUAUAUGUCACUGUCAUAUUUACGAUAGAAUCAUGCUCUUUGCUUUACCAUCAGCUGCAUAUCCUUGAUCCAUUGUACGUGUAAUACAGAUGUAUGAACAGUUAUAAAUUAUUAAAGAGUGCAAAAAUGAUCAUUAAGAAACAAAAUGAGGGGGGGGAAAAGAAACGUGAUAAAAAUAUUCAUGGCUCUCCAGUUCAUUAGUUUUUCAAACAGUGAGUACCUUGGACCGAAAAGCUAGCUCAACAAGGCAAUUUCUAUACAGUGUCUAAAAGGCUGGAUCAACCUGACAAUUUUCUGCACCAAGACUCAAAGGGUGAUUCAUCAUGGCAAGCAAAAAACGGGUCGCAAGAGUAUUCUGAGAACGGACAGCAGCUAGAAUAGCCUGCCCUUCGGUGGGUCCCCGCUCAGAACUCAAGCUGGUUUUAGCUCAUCUUGUGCCAUUACAGAGAGAACAUAUCUGAAGCAUAUCAGACUGGUCCCACCCAUACGGGCAGUCCAGAUCCGAAAUGAAUCUUGAAAACUUUUAUUGAAGACUUAUAGGGAAGCACAGUGCUAAAUUGAUUUUUAGUGGAGGCAUGUAAUUGGCCAAAGAGUGGACAGAAAGCUGGCUAGGGUAAUUCCUUACAGACUUGAAAUAUCUUGGAUGAAAAACUAGAUCAAAUGAUGAAUUUUGUUGGUGGUAUAUGACUUCUGUCUUGACUUGCUUUUGAUGUUGUGUUUUUUUUGUUUUGUUUUGUUUUUUAAAUUGUGGCAAAACAAAAAUCCAGACCGUCUUGUCCAAUAGCUGGUGGAUUAAAAAUAAAUAGUUGUCAGAAACUUUUGCUGUUCGAUCAACCUGGCAACUUUCUAUAACCUGUCUGAAGGGCUGGAUUUGCUUGGAAACUUUAUGUAUCUGGAGUAAAAAGACUCCAUCAACCUGGUAACCAGCUACAUUCUGUCUGAAAGGUUCGCUCAAGCUGACUGUUUUCUACAUCCAGAUUCAAAGGCUGGAUCGUAUAACAAUUUAGUGUUUUUCCUGAUUAAUGCUUUUUUAUUUGUUGGGAACAUUUCCUUUGUGAUUAUGAGUAUGUUGUGAAAUUCAAAUAUUCUAAAAUGUUUCAAUUUUUAAAAAAAAUUUUUUUUCUUUUAGCACUAAUGUACUUUUCUCUGUAUUGUUUGUUACAUGUCAGUAAAGCUUUAUUGGAAAAAAAACAAAACGAAGAACUGCUCACCCCAUCUGACAUCACAGCACGUGUUAUGAGACCCAAACAAAGGAUUCUAAGAGCGGUCAGCUGACUCUCUUAUCCAAUUAGUGACCCCAGAUUCACAAAACUGGCUCAGAAAAAAAUUGUUUCUUCCCAAGCCAGUUUAGUGAAUGGGAAGUCAGUGAUUGGCUGAGAGCAUCCGCUGUUGACAUUUUCAGAACAGCCAUUCAAUUGUAGUUUCGGCCAUUGGUGUUGCUAGAGUCUGACCUGAGCUGGGGCCCCAAGUGUAAUUUAGAAAAGCUUUGGAUGAUUAGCACCAUUUGAAUUUUAGCCCUGACUCUCCUAAAAAGAGCAAUUAGAUGUGUUUUGUUUGUUUGUGAAUUUUGAUGCUCUGGCCUUUGUUUAAUUUCAGACCAGUUUGUUGAGCAGUUCACCAUUUGAAACUGGUGUAGUGUUGAACAUUUUGUUUAAGAAAAAAAAGCUGUCAUGUUCCAAAUGUACCCCCUAUAUCAUUCACAGUGAUUUGGUUGUGUGAAGGCCAUAGCCUCUUUCAACAUCACGUUUAUCCUAUAUAAAAAAACUUUCAAUAGUAUACCUUUACACCCCUAGUCUUGUGAUAUCAUCAAUUUACUGCAUCACUUUAAUGCAUGGAUGACAAAUUGUUCUUGCUAGUAAAAAUGCAUGCCCCAUUACUGCAGUACAUAACAGAGUUUUUAUUUAUUUUACAUAUCUGAUUUUAUUUUAUAAAACCUACUGAUAAGAUGUGCCUUUGACAACACAGCAGUCCCAUUUCCUAGUAGUGUAUAGCUUAGCGCCAAUAUCUCUAGCUCGUUUUAAAUGAACAUGUCAAUUGACAAUCUUAACUAUUACCAUUUCAAGUGUUUGGUUUUUGUUUGAGGUGUAACGGGAUAUAUUAACUUUAAUUCACUGCUAGUUUAUACUCUAAAAAAAGGGAGAGUCUUUGCAAAUUUUUGUGACCCAGCAGAACCUAUAUAAAGCUAUAACUUUUAUUGUAAUGGUUUUCAGCUGUUUUAACAGAGGCCUCAAUAAAAACAUUAAAUAAAAAAAGUUUACAUAUUGUAGAUGGACCUCUGCUUUUUUUUUUUUUUUUUACUUUUAUUUUGUCUGACAUUACACUUGUCAGCAGUUCAUGCUCAUCUGUGCACUUACGACCUAUUGACCAUGAUUUCAAUUCCAUCGGUGUUCAGAUGAGUGACAACUCAUCAUUUUUCAUAAGCCUAUCUAGAGGGUAUUUUUGUAUAAAAGUGUUUUGUUUAGGCAUACUUGCUGUGCUUCGUAGGUGUCAUUAAUGGUUGUAGUAGCACUGUCCAGAGUCAUUCUGGAUUUGCAAUUAAUAAAUCUGUAGACGGAACUGGGCAUUACUGUAUAAAUACAACUGGAGUUUGUUUAAGCUUGCGGCUCUUAAAGACUCUAUUUUUGGACAUUCCCAUUGGUUUGAACAGGCAGUUGAAGAAUGGGUUUCUGUGUUCAUGUAAUGGACAUCAUUUGAGGCCCUAAAUACAAAUGUACCAGGAAAUCUGGAAAGUAUUAGGGCUCCUUCCAAGCUGUCGGUGCUCCGUAAAAAGGACCUGCAGUCAAAGUAACAGAAAUGGAACUGGGCUACAUGUUCAGUGUCAAAAAAACCAAAACAAAAAAAACAACCUCUAUUAUUGGAGGACAUAAAUUCAGCAUUAUAUUCCUUUCCAGGGUUAAAAACAGGGGGAAGGAGAGGGGAACUUUGAGAUGAAGUGGUCAAGGUUCUCAUAGUAUCCCUUUAACUGUUUGAAGAAUAAAGGUUUUCAAGGGUUUUUCAUGAAGCUAUUACUUUUUGGGAGGAAGGGAUCAAAGUUAAUUCAAAAUUAAGUUUAAUAUUUAGUCCACAAGCUUUCAGUUUGUCUUUUUUGACCUAAAAAUUUUCUCGGCAAAGAAUAAAUUACAAUUUAGCAAAUAACGCUGUCUGUGUUUUGUUUUCUAUGUGCUCAAAAUAAUCUAAAAGUAGUGUUCCUCUUAAAAUAAAAAAAAUUGUAAUUUCAUUAAUAUCAUAUAAAUGUAUCAUGUGUCAUCUCUUUAAAACAGAGCAAAAUAGUUAGUGACAGAUGUGAAAGGUUGCAUUUUAUGGAUUUGAGUCAACAUAUAUUAUUAAUUGUCUUUUAUAUAGCGCUAAGUGCUAUAAUAUAAUUUUAAUGUUAGGGUAUAAUUGUAAGGAACCAACAAUUACAAGAAUGUAAUAAACAAAUUAAUGUGUGGACCCUAUUUAUGUGCAUAGCUAUGUAAAGCAGAGUUGCAGUUUGUCAAACAUCAGAUCAUUGGAUCUUUUUAAAAAUUCAGUUAACAUGGAAUAUAUUUGUAAAAAAACAAAUAUUGCACAAUUUUAUUUAUGAGGAUUGAGUUUCAUUCGUUUCAUUUAUAAACCUCUGGGACAUACUUGUACAGGUUCUCAAUAAGUUUAAGAUACAAAUUUAUUGAUCUCUCUGCCACUUCCUUCACAAUGUCAUGGGGAGGGAGAGAAGGAGAGAGAAUAUAUAUAUAUAUAUAUAUAUAUACAGCCAAAAGUACAAGAUAGCACUCCAGGGACUUCCAAGUUGAAUGAAUAAAACUUAGCUUUUAUUAGCUCAAAAUAAAAAUCAACGUUUCAGUCUGUAUCACAGACUUUCAUCAGGAUUUUUGUUUUAUAUAUAUAUAUAUAUAUAUAUAUAUAUAUAUAUAUAUAUAUAUAUAUAUAUAUAUAUAUAUAUAUAUAUAUAUAUAUAUCUUCUUAAUGCAAAAUCCAUUAUGUGUUCUAUUAACUAAUCUAUUAUUUUAAUUGUCAAUAAGUGUGUUAAAUAAAUAAAAUAAACUAGCUUAAAAAGCAAUACAUUUACAAAAAGCACUAAAGAUAUGUUUGGAGUUUGUGAGUUUCAUUAUUAUGAAAAAUUACUUACCGUAGUUUUCUUUUCCUGAUAAUUAUUCAUGGCAGCAUUUACUCAUGGGUUAGCUCCUCCCCUCACAGCAGAGAAGACAGGAAAUAGAACUCUGAAAUUGGUAUAAAUAAAUCCUCCCCCUUCCCAUCAGGCAGUCUUAGUAACUAGCUUCACAUCUUAUAGUAUAUGGGUGGGAACGUAAUGCUGCCAUGGAUAAUGAUCAGGAAAAGAAAGUUACAGUAAGUAUGAAACAAUUUUCCUUAUUCCUGAUCAAUCAUGGCAGCAUUUACUCAUGGGCAAUACCCAAGGGGGGAGGGGUGUGUGUGUGUGUGUAUAUAUAUAUAUAUAGGACAGAGUUCAAAUACAGCUAAAAGUUAUAAAAAUCAUCACUGAGCUGCAUAAACCUUAGAAGACUUAAGGCCAAACCGUAAUCAAUAGGAUUGUCAACAAUUGUAAAAUCUAUUCAGACAAGUAAAUUUACCUUAGGAGCUGCUAGGUCAGCAGCCUCCUGGUAUUAAAAUGUCAGAAAUAUCCUGGAGAAAUAAAUAGUCAGAUAGGCCAUGAUAACCAAACCUAUUAAAGAAACAAGGUUAGACUAAUACAAGACAGGCUCCUGUAAGAUGAAGACACCCGUCCUGUUAUGGAUAAUAAAAUAAAAAUUAGAUCAACUCCAUAAAACCAAUCACUGUCUAGAAAUUAUCGACCUAUAAUGUCCUUCUCUAAUAUAAAUUAAAUACCAAAUGGAUGGUGGUAUCAAACAGAAACUUUACCAAGACAUAACUUCCAGAUAUCUGAUGGGAACAAUCCAUGAAAUUUUAGAUAUAGUGUUGGGUGAAAACAGUCAUCCCCUGUUUUAUAGCAAGGUGAGAAUUAAACUGAAAAUUCUACUAUUUUCUGGAAUUAUUUAUUGAAGACAAUUCACACCGCUUCGUCUUGCUUAGUGAACUACUUACUUGUAGAUACAGGAAACAAAAUAAUAUCUACCUGUAAGAGAAAUGCAGAGCCUAGUAGAGAAAUAAGAGAGUCUGUUAUUAAAAACACAGCAAUAAUGAUUAUAUAUUGCAAAAAUUAGACUCUCAACAAUACCUCACACUGUGAAUAAAUUGUUUGAUACAGUAAUAAACCGUGACAGGAGAGGUAGAAACCAAUAACACAAAGUAGAUAUUACUAGGCAAGGUCAUGAAGACUCAAAUCAUCCAGAUUAGUUAAAAAAAAAAAAAAAAAAACCAGUAUGAACCAUUUGUGGCAACUACUAAAUUAUAAGUAGGCAAUGUAGGCUAACAACGUCAGAACCUACAUGCAAAGUUAAAAUUAUUGUAAAUGGUACUAAUUAUUUCAAACCGUAGAAUCAAAUUGAUUAGAGACUGUUGUGCAAUGUCAGUAGAAGAAAGGCUAUAGGCAGGACACCAUGGAAGGUGGUAACCAGAGCUACAGCAUUCAUUGUGGCAACAGACACAUAAUAAGCAGGAUAGUAAAGGAUAUUCAGUUAUCCUUAUGAGAACAAGCAACUGCAUACUUACACUGACCUUAUCUUAUCUCAGAUAGUGAUAAAGUACUUACGGUAGAGCCUAUGGUGAUAAAACCAUUCUGCAGUUUGUUUUAGCUGCAAAUAUAUCAACACCAGUCCAAGCAUAUAAUCCACAAGAAUUACAACAAUGCAAUGUUUGGAAUGACCAUCAUAUAUAUGGAUCUAGGUACAGAGACCAUGUGAAACAUAUCAGCCAAAUGUUUGUCACACACAAGUUAUGAUAUUAUAUUAUGCAGGAUGGCUCAACAGCUUAAAGCCAUACAUUGGCUGCGAAGUCCAGAUAGUAGUACGCCCAAAACAAUCUCCAUGAAUAUCAGAACAGAGGUCAGUAAUGGGACCUUAUGUUCAGCGAUUUCCCUUAUUGUUCUGGUAGCAGGUAAAUUUUACCUGAAAUAGUAAACCUGGUAGAAUGGUCUGGUGACUGAAGGACCUUCAAAUGUCAUUUAAAAUACUUGUAAUAACCAGCAUCAAAGUUACAUGGAGUUAUGAGCCCAAAAUAAUACCUUUUAUUGCAGAAAGGAAAUUAUAAUGUUCCCCUUCACAACAGGGGAAUCUGUGGAAAAGUUUGAUACUUAACCCCUUAAGAACCAAACAAAUGCCAGAACGGACAUUAUUAUUAUUAUUAUUAUUAUUGCCAUUUAUAUAGCGCCAACAGAUUCCGUAGCGCUUUACAAUAUUUUGAGAGGGGGGAUGUAACAAUAAAUAGGACAAUUACAAGAAAACUUACAGGAACAAUAGGUUGAAGAGGACCCUGCUCAAAUGAGCUUACAGACUAUAGGAGGUGGGGUAUUUGAAACAUUAGGACGAGAAAUAUCAAGUAGGAGUGAAGCAGAGCUGGAGGAGAGAGCAAAGCACUGUCCCAUAGGAGAGAGCAGGAGACAGGUAUGUAAGGUAGAGAUUACCAUAAGCUUUCCUGAAGAGAUGGGUUUUAAGGCCCUUCUUAAAUGAUUGAAGACUAGGGGAGAGUCUGAUGGCAGUAGGCAAGCUAUUCCAUAGGAGAGGAGCCGCCCGCGAGAGGUCCUGCAAGCGCGAGUUGGCCGUACGGGUGCGAGCAGCGGUCAGGAGGUGGUCACGGGCAGAGCGGAGGGUACGAGGAGGGGCAUAUCUAUGGAUUAGUGAAGAGAUAUAAGUGGGGAUAGAAUUGUUCAGUGCUUUAAAUGUAUGGGUUAGCACUUUGAAUUGACUCCUAUAGCAUACAGGGAGCCAAUGUAAGGACUGGCAGAGGGGUGAGGUGUGAGAGGACCGACUAGAGAGGAAAAUCAGUCUAGCUGCAGCAUUCAUUACAGACUGUAGCGGGGCAAUACGGCUUUUGGGGAGACCAAUCAGGAGAGGGUUACAGUAAUCCAUGCGGGAAAUUACUAGAGCAUGGACAAGCUCCUUGGUAGCAUCUUGCGUAAGAAAGGGGCGAAUGCGGGCUAUGUUUUUGAGUUGGAACCUACAGGACUUGGCAACAAACUGGAUGUGAGACUCAAAGGUGAGACCAGAGUCAAGUAUGACGCCAAGACAGCGCGCUUGCAGGGAUGGACUUAUGUGGAUAUCACUGACUUGAAGGGAGAGCGAGAGAGGAGGAUCAGUAUUAGGAGGAGGAAAGACAAGGAGUUCAGUUUUAGAGAGGUUAAGUUUCAGAAAGCGUGAGGUCAUCCAGUCAGAGAUGGAAGAAAGGCAAGCAGUGACACGUUGCAGGACGGCAGGGGAGAGGUCCGGGGAGGAGAGGUAUAUCUGAGUGUCAUCAGCGUACAGGUGGUAGUGGAAUUCAAAAGAGGCAAUAAGUUUACCAAGAGAGGCAGUAUAAAGAGUAAAUAGAAGGGGACCAAGGACAGACCCUUGGGGAACUCCAACCGAGACAGGAUGAGGGGAGGAGGUAUCCUUGGAAAAGGAGACACUGAAUGAGCGUUGGGAGAGAUAGGAGGAAAACCAAGAGAGGACAGAGUCACAGAGACCGAGCGAUUGAAGAGUUUGAAGGAGGAGAGCAUGAUCCACGGUGUCAAAGGCAGCAGAGAGGUCAAGGAGAAUUAAUAUGGAUUAAAUGGAUUGCCAAACUCAAGGCCCCCAAGGGAUACAAAUUGCAGAAUACUGAAUAUAACAAAUGGCACAUUCUUCAACUUAUAAAGAUUAAGCGUUAAGGAAAUUUACUCCGUUCUAAAGAAUAUUCUAAACCUGAACAUUAAGCUGAAAUCUGAAUAAAAAUAUAAACCAGACCAGGGUGAGUGAAUUUUUCAAAGUAGAAUUGUGCAUAAAAUAAAACAUGAUCACUAAAGUUGUGACCAGGUAAAACAAAAGGCCAAUAUCAACAGAUUUAAAAUUAGAUUAGAGACAGUAAAGCAUACUAGCGAAAACAGUUGGGUAAUUGCUUCAAAGUUACCAACUCAUGGUAGCAAUAUAUAGCCAAGAAGUGUACUUGCAAACAGGAUCUACUAAGCUGUGCAUCUUAAGUCAGCAAUACAUAUUAAGGUUAAACAAUGCAACCAAACGAAAAAACAUUUAAUAUCAUGAUCAGUGGUACCUGGCAAGAGAAACACAUUGGCAACACCAUAUCUCUUAUAUGCACUAUUAACUGUUAUUGAACAUUACCAGCCACCAUUUUGGAAAUCUUGACUGGUUAUCUCCAGUGGGAGGGAUAUUCAGACAGGUUCAGUAACACCUGCAGUCCAACUAAAAUGGUUUAUUACUAAUCCUCAAACACGUGUGUGGGAGGAGAACACUAAUGCAAAGGCAAAAAGUAGCAUGUUUCUCUUAUCUCCUUCAUUCAGAAAACUGAAGUAGAAAAAACAGUUUGUAAUAGGUAGUUUUGUUUUGGUGGAACUGGGCAAAAUUACUCAGUUUAAACACAGGUCUUAGAUCCAAUGCAUAUAUUAACCCCUUAAGACCGCAGGGCGUACUAUUACGUCCUCUAAUAGGCGGCUCUAAACGCCGCCGGGCGUAAUAGUACGCCCUCCGGUCUUUCUGUACUUACCCGGUCGCCGGCGGUCCCACGCCGGCGAUCGCGGUGGGGGGGACUCCCAGGGAGCCCCCCGCGGCGCGACCGUCCUCCAGGAAGCCCCCCGGCCGUGUGAGAGUGGGGUCCUAGCGAGGACCCCACAAUCACAUGGCCGGGGAUAGCUGGCUUCUGUAUUGCCAGCAGGGGGGCUGCCUGUAAUGACAGGUGGUCCCCCUGCUGGCUGAAAAUAAAAGUAAAAUAAGUUAAAAGUGUAAAAAAAUAAAAUUAUAUAUACUUAGAUCAUAUAUAUAUAUUAUAUAUAUAUGAUCUAAGUAUAUAUAUACACAUAUACAUACACACAUGUACAGCGUCUAGGUGUAUUUUACUAUUAAUAUAUACACGUAGACUGAUACUGAUUAAAUAUAUAUAUAAUUAUUGUUAUAUAUAUAUUUAUAUAUAUUAUAAAAAAAAUUAAAAUGUAAAUACGUUAAAAAAUAAAAUUACAAAAAUAAUUAAAAAUAAAUAAUUAAAAAAUAUAUAGAUGUGUUAUUUCGUUCUAACUGUAUUGUGAAAUUAAUAUAUAUAUAUAUAUAUCAAAAUACACAUAGAACGAAAUAAUAUAUAUAUUUAUACACAUAAAUAUAUGCGUAUAUAUCACUAUAUAUAUACCUAUAUAUAAAUAAAAAUAUUUUAAAAAAAUUAUAUAGAUAUAUACAUAUAUAUAUACACAUACGUAUAUAUAUAUACAUAUAUUGAUUCUACAUAUAUAUUUAUGUAAUAUUUUUACAUAAUUAGGUAUCUUAAUUAAUUACAAUUAGCAGGACCUGCCUGACAACCCAUGCCGAAAGUAUAGGGAAUUUAAUUUGCUAGCACUAUAUUUAACCCUAUAACUUUCCAAGACACCGUAAAACCUGUACAUGGGGGGUACUGUUCUACUCGGGAGACUUCGCUGAACACAAAUAUUGGUGUUUCAAAACAGUAAAAUGUAUUACAACGAUGAUAUCGCCAGUAAAAGUGACGUUUUUUGCAUUUUUCACGCACAAACAGCAUUAAACGGACAAUAUUAUUGCUAUGAUACUUUUUACUGUUUUGAAACACAAAUAUUUGUGUUCAGUGAAGUCUCCCGAGUACAACAGUACCCCUCAUGUACAGGUUUUAUGGUGUUUUCAAAAGUUACAGCGUCAAAUAUAAGGCUUGCGUUUCAUUUUUUUCACAUUAAAAUUCGCCAGAUUGGUUACGUUGCCUUUGAGACCCUAUGGUAGCCCAAGAAUGAAAAUUACCCCUAUGAUGGCAUGCCAUUUGCAAUAGUAGACAACCCAAGGUAUUGCAAACGGGGUAUGUCCAGUCUUUUUUAGUAGCCACUUAGUCACAAACACUGGCCAAAAUUGGCAUUUUUUGCAUUUUCACACACAAACAAAUACUAACGCUAACUUUGGCCAGUGUUUGUGACCAAAUGGCUACUAAAAAAGACUGGACAUACCCCAUUUGCAAUACCUUGGGUUGUCUACUAUUGCAAAUGGUAUGCCAUUAUGAGUGUAAAUUUCAUUCCCGGGCUACUAUACAGUCUCAAAGGCAACGUAACCAAUCUGGCGAAUUUCAAUUUCAAAUGUAACGUGCUAUAUUUGACCCUGUAACUUCCCAAAACGCCAUAAAACCUGUACAUAGGGGGUACUGUUUUACGCGUGAGACUUUGCUGAAUACAAAUAUGUGUAUUUUAUUGCAGUAAAAGCAAACAGUAUUAUGACACUGACCGUUAAAAUGUCAUGUAGAACUAAAAAAAUCCAAAAAAAUCGUAUUUUCUCCCAUUUUUUUCAUAUUAAAUUAUGUUUCAUAGCUAAAUAUUUGAUAUUAAAAGAAAGCCCUGUUUCCCCUGAAUAAAAUGAUAUAUAAUAAGGGUGGGUGCAUUUACUAUGAAAGAGGUGUAUUACGGUUGGACAGACAUGUAGCGCAAAUGCCAGGUUUUGUUUACAUUUUGUUUUGUUCACAACGUGUACAUUUGGCUCCGUCCUUAAGGGGUUAAAUAUACUAAGCAUGUGUAUAUAUUGGGGUUGCACAAUAACAACAACAACUUGCAUACAGAGGUUGUGUCUUUUAUAUCAUUCAAAUAUGUUUCACACUAACAUUCAAUGCAUGAAUGCAUACUGAGGUGGCGUCUUCACAGGACUUAUACACAGAGCAUAUAGUGGAUAAUAUAUAUAUAUAUAUAUAUAUACACACACACACACACACACACACACACACACAUUUAUAUAUAUAUAUACACAUACAUACACACACACACAUAUAUAUAUACACAUACAUACACACACACACACACAGGCUGUGUCCUCACAAUAAUUCAUACAUAGAGCAUUUAUUGGAUAUAUAUACACACACACACUCACUGAGGCUGUGUCCUCAUAGUAACUCAUACAUAGAGCAUAUAGUGGACAAAUAUACUGAGGUUGAGUGUUCAGACUAACUCAUACAUAGAACGUGUACACACUGAGGCUGUGCGUCACACGGAGAUUAUGCUCCUUAUACCAGCUCAUAUACAGAGAUAAUAUCGGUAACACAUACUGAGGCUGUAUGAUAACCAACCUAUAAAAGGUCUUCCCACCAGUUCAUUCAGAGGAAAUCUUGGUCUCAUAUGCUGAUUUAGAGAAGCAGGAGGAUCCAAACAAUAUAUUAAAGUCCACUCUGAAAACGCCUGCUUAUGUGCUACAAAGCACAGAUAACAGCAAUCAUUGUCUCAUGCCUUGAUAGGAACAAGUCUCUGCAUGGACCAUGCGUCAGGUUGUAAAAUCCAUGACACAUACAUUUUGUGUUAUUCAAUCAUUCAGUUAGGAAAGCCUUCUCUUACCAUGUGUCUUCACAUACUUCAGGAUUGUGGGGUUCAGGCAGAUUUUAUACAGCCAGGAUAUCAUUGUCAAUGCUUCCUUGCAUUAUCCACACUCUUUUAGAAAAUGCAUGAUUGCAUCAUUGCAUUUAUAAAGUUACCUAAUUGCUCACCACACAAACCUCCUAAAUGUGACCAAUUUGUUAAAAGGAAGCCUAAUGUAAGCAACUGGGAGGGACUGAAAGACCCAGGUGCCUCUACUAGUUUUUAGUUUAAAUUACUAAUGCACUCACUUGAGGAGGGAAAACACACUAAACAGCCAUAGAGACAGAUGAACAGCUGCAGGCAUAAAUUUGAACAACAUAUGGGGAUUUGAACAACUGACAGCCUAAACUGUUUAAACUGAAGGCUUUUAUCUGUACCCCAUAUGCCAAAAUGAUCAUCACUAGUGGGGGAAGGUUUAAAACAAACCCCGGUUAUGGUGGAAUACAUAGAAGAUGCAUACCCAGGUAGUCACCUUAUUGAAGUGCUGUUUGCUGGGUCUUCAGGGAAAAGAGGCAUAGCCCCAGCUGGGCCUCAUGUAUGCAGUGGACCGCUUUCAUCCCCUGAAGGACUUGAGUCAAACCCCUGGUUGCUAAAGGAGGUACCCAGGCUGGCAACUUAUAGAAAUGUGGAUCUUCAGGGAUUAGAGGCUGCACCCUGGCUGGGCCUCCUGUAGGUGGACAACAUUCAUCCCCUGAGGGAGAGAAUUGGGUCAUACCCCCAGUCACUAAAUGGUUUACCCAGACUGGCACCUCAUAGAGAUGUGUUGUUGCUGGGUCUUCAGGGAUAAGAGGCUGAACCCUGGCAUGAAUGCAGUGGACCGCUUUCAUCUCCUGAGGGAGAGAUUGGGUCCAACUCCUGGUCACUAAAGGGAGUACCCAGGCUGGCGAACUCAUAGAGAUGUGCUGUUGCUGAGUCUUCAGGGAUUAGAGGCUGAACUUUGGCAGGGCCAGAAAUAUAUUGGCCUGGUGAGCAUAAAAAGAAUUCUAGGCUUGCUUAAGCAGACUCCUUCUAAACUGCUGUGAACGACAGGAAAAAGACUGCCUGAUGGGAAGGGGGAGGAUCUAUUUAUACCAGUUUCAGAGUUCUAUUUCCUUUCUGCUGUUAGGGGAGGAGCUAACCCAUAAGUAAAUGGUGCCAUGAUUGAUCAGGAAAUACAUUUUCCUCACCUACUUUCUUCUGUUUUUAACACCAUUGCAAGUUCUUUGAAUCUGUUUUUUUUAUGCAAGAUAUAUAACACUUUUGUGAUUUUCCUCAAUUUGUUUCAAUUUUCGCUGGCUUUGAUUGUAUCAGACUGUGUAGCAAUUCCAUUACCAUAACCAUUUUCUCUCGAUUCAUACAUUGAUAAAACAAACUAUGCUACAAGGGGAAAAAAAUGGCCUCUUCAAAUAACAUUCUUCCUAGCUCCUGUCCAUCUAUGGAAGGGAUAGAUAAAGCAAAUAUAAUCAGUUCUCUUGAUAUUUGAGAGAAAGUUUUGUCCUCAGCUGAACCAUUUCUUCCGAAAACAGAACAUUUUUCACGAUAUGCCUGAUUUUCAGUCUGUGUGGCUCAGCAGAAUUUUGGUACUAAAAACCCAGUUUGGGAAUGGAAUCAGACGUAAAAAAAGGGCACACAAGUAGGCCAAUCAGUGUACUGCUAAAUAUAUACAUAAUAAUAUUAUAAUGCACCCUAAUAGAGAAAAACAGGAGGAACAGUUAAACAAUCUAUAUUUAUAUAUUCAUAUAUUAAAUAGAUUAGAUUUUCUCACCCCUCCUGGGUGGUAUAUUUAUUACUCAUUCUCAGGUUCUCUAACAGAGGCCUGGGAGUCUGAUGGUUGUCUUAGCUGUUCCUAGAAGACAGUCACGGAUCUCAGAUAGAACUAUAGUAAUCCUUAUGUUUUUGUUUUUUAUUAUUCUAAAAUUUGCAGACAAACCAUGAAUAAAAUAACCUUUUAUUUUUUCAAAAAUACUGGCCGUCUUUCUAAGUGACAGUAUUUACUAAUGGUGCUUGCACAAAAUACAUACGACUCCAUGUUUUUAGUAGUACGUAGAGUAGUGUAGCUUAGAACAUAGAAUGCAUGAACAAAUGAGUAUCGUUUUGAAUGUUCUCUUUGUAAUGAUAGUAACAGAAGGAAUGGGUUCACAGAACGAAUAAACUUCGUAGCAAAUAUUGUGUUAAAUUGCAUUUUAGUGGGUUUUGUUGAGGGCUGGUGUUAGACUUUUUAGAUUGAAUGAAAACGAAAAAAAAUGCUCACCUUUCCUGCACUGCAGAGUCUUAUUCUGUGAUGCUGCAGCUUCUCCUUUCCUGAUGUCACAUUGAGAGCAUGUGUGCAGGAUGACUGACCAAACCGAUGAGCCUCAUAGAGGACCUUAGGCGCAUGCACGAUACUUGCUUUGAUGCGCCUAUAAUUAUACCAUGAUGUCAGGGUAUGCUAAGGCAUUAGAGGGAGGAGGUAACAGUCAUGGCUGUCAUAUCCAGAUGGCUUGGAGACGUGGCUUGAACUCAUGUUUCCACGCAUUCUAAUUAAUAAAAUAUUUAGGGCCACUAAGAAGGGGGGAAAACAACUGUAGGCACUAUAACUUCAUUUAGAUGAAGUUGUAGUGACUACAGUAUUUUUAAUCCCCAAAAAAGGUUUUAAUGUAUUUAUUUUGAGAUGGUGAUAUUCUCCACUGAUUUUCAGAACUUUGUUAUAUAUUGGUCAUGAUAGUAACAGUAGGUUAAAGAUUAAAAACUUUGUAACUGUAAUCUGCGUACAUGGACUGUUUUUUACUUUAUUCCAGCUGGAAUUCUACACAAAGUGUCAGAGUGCAUACGGGGGUCUUUGGACUACAAAAUCGAUUGAUUGCAAAAUGUAUCAAUGUCCAAAAUUGUGUCUGCUGCUGGUGGUAAAUAGUCUGAAUUUCUGUAAAUUCACUUACUCCAUAGGAAGUAAGUUUAUUUACUGGAUUUGUGUUUCAAGAUCGAGUUUACAUUAGUUAUUUGUAAAUCAAAACAUAUUUUAUAUAGGAUUUUCAUGCAAAAAUUGAUUUUAAACCAGACACGAAAUGUUGCCUCAGCAAAAACAAUGUGUUGUGCUGCACUCUCUGGGGUUACACAAAGUAAAGUACAGGCAUUACUGCUACAUUCUGGAGAUAUUUUAGGUAGUUGCAUUCUCCAAAAUACCACGAGGUUCCUAACAAAUCUCUGUAACCAAGCUAAAUGAACAUGUUGGUAGAAUAAAUUUAUGACAAAAAAUGCUAUUGCUGCUGCCAUGCUAUAUUUCCUGUCUGAAGGUUUGCAUGAUGGGUCAUACCCCCACCUUUCAUUUUUACAUGUUAGCUCUAAACAACAAUAUUUGUUCUUAAACCAACCAUUAGGUCACUGGUUCCCUCCAUUUCUAUAUAUUUUUCUUGAUAUGAGAUCAUGGUACCUUGUGAACAAGCAACUGUAUUGACAAUUGUAUAACUGUCACCCAAACGCAUAUAUCUGUCUCAUGUAAGAUCCAGAAGAUGCCAAACUCGUAGUGGGUUCAUCGUUACAUAGCGCCAACUAUCACACCACCUUGUUCCAAGUAUCUACAGCAUGGGUAGGAAACCUUUGACACUUGAGAUAUUUUGGACUACAUCUUCUAUAAUGCUUUUACAGCCACAUUGCUGACAAAGCGUCUGGGGAAAUGUCGUCCACCGCACCAGCUUAGCCGAAGGUUGUCUACCUUGAUCUAGGGAUAGUGAGACAGUGGUAUAAACACUGAACGACAAGAGGCACAAAAACUCGCCAUUGGGACUUUUAAAUGAUACUCCUGAAGGGGAUAAAAGAUAAAACACUAGCUUGUAGGUGUAUCCUGGUCUCAAAUCUUUAUUCCUCCAAUAUUUCUUUUAUAUCAAACUGUAGACAAUUUUUUUCAGACUAGGAUAAAAGUUUGCAUGAAGUUUAUUUCCCAAAUUAAUGUAUAGACCUACUGACUUUAUUAGCUGCUAGUGGGCACUAAGUUAAAAUUGGUGGGAAUAAAAUCAAUAAACGGUCUGCAGAACACCCUUAUAGUCAGGAAGGAGUUCAUGAAACGUACAAGAAUCCACAGUUAUGAGUCUCUCCACCUCCCCACCCACUGCGUAGUGAGAAAUUAUGAUGUUUGGGCAGAGCUAAUGUCAUGGACACUGAACAGCCACCUGACACAGAGUCAAUGAUUCACUAUCAAAAUGUGAACGAUGCAUAAAGAUUCUUAGUCUAUGAAAGUUCUGGAGUGACUGGUACUCUUUAAAGUCUUGUAUCGAACACUGUAAAUUGUUGGCUCUGUAUAAAUGUUAAUAUGUUUGAGCUAUUCUGGAUGGAAUUUGUCUGACUUAUCUCAGGGUAUUUCAAAUGGAGAGACCAGAGUACAGAAAGCAUUGACUGAAUAGUUGACAUUCUCUAAAAUCAGCUGUAAAAAGGGACGCAGACAAUGGACUGAAUUUGUGUGCCUUACACAGAGCGCAUUGUGCUAAUACAAAGAUGUGCUAAGUAUUUGUUUCUUGUGUGUGGGUGGAUACAGAUUCAGAAUGACAUUUGCAGUGUUUAUAAACAUACAUCUUUGACUGAAAAGCAUACCUCCCAAGUGUCCGUGUUUAGGAGGGACAGUACCUAUUUUGAUCCCAAAUUCAUAUGUUCCUCUUUCUAUCCUAAUGUCCCUCUUUUCUUGGAGAUCCAUAUUCUUUCUGUGGCUGUGUGUAUAACAGAGCUCCACAUCAAUAAUACUCACAGUAAUGUGUCUUUAAACUUGUCAGGAUUACAGAAUGAUCCAGCACGUAGAAUUGUGUAACACAGAGGACUGAUAGGUAACGUAUACCGGACCUUAGAAUAGUCUGGAAUAGCCGAGGCCAAGGGAUACAGAAAGAGACACAACGAUAAGGAAAAGCCAGGAGUCAGAGAUGCCAGAAAACAGGGAGGUCAAAAACAAUGCCAAAGUCAAAUAACCAGAAUAACCAAAAUCAAUAACGUGCUCUCGGACAACCACAAGGGAAACCACGACAGGGCACUGAGCAGGAUGAGAACUGGGCCUAAAUACCCCUCCUCUAGAUCUGAUAGGCUGUAAACAGCUUUUGACCCCAAAGGCAGUUACCUGGUUCCUAUUUGCAUAAUUGCUGCUCAGCAUUAACCCUUCUGUGGAUUUGGUUGCUGCUCGGCACAACUUUUCAUGUGUGGACAGUAAAUGCCAUUAACCACAUUUUUAUAAGCGGAUGAAUACGUGACAAAACUACAAUAAAUGUGUUCCGAAAUCAGUUUGUGUAUAUAAGAUGCAUUGUUCUGGUUUUAAACUAUAUUUUAGUUACAUAAAUUAUUAGUAAGUUACCGAAACUCUCAGUCCCUGGCCACAACCCCACUCACACCUCUAAAAUAAAAGUGUCCCUUUUUGUCCAUUUGAAAUUUUGGGAGGUAUGGCAAAAGUGAAUAACAUGCAAGAGAAAUAUCCUGUCCUCCAAAAGGGGACCAGGGUAAAUGUGACAAGACACCUACAUUGGUUUUCAGACAUUGGACGUGCCCCCUAUAUUGUUUUUCAGAUUUUGUCACAGCUCUUGACAGGCGCGGUCGCCAUAUUGGCAGGUGGAAUUCCCCCCAAAACUUACCCCAAAAACACACUGACACUGAUGCAUGGGUCAAUAUGUCCACAGCUUUAUUAAUAUUGAUAACAAUAAAUUAAAGUCAUUGCCCAGCCCUCAUCCCGCCAUAUAACAUCAUAUGUCCCCAAAAUAAAAGGCAAUGACCCAUUAUUUCUGUAAAUAUAAAUAACAUCAACAACCAUAAUAACAAACGUCAUCAACAUAAUAUAAGUGCCAAACUUUGCUAAAUAGCCACGGUAGGGGCAUACCUGGAUGCCCCUACCACACACCAGGUUCUGAGCCACCUCCGAGCUUGAAACCUACCAAGGUUCAUAACGAACCGUUUAACCAAGCUCUUCACCAGCAGCCUAACUGCCCUAUUCUAUUUACACUACCCCAGAGCCUUUUUGUCCCCUAACUUUUCUCUCUCUAGCCCCGCCGCUUUGAUCAAACGGGAGCUAACACCCCUUACCCUUACAACUUAGGCCAGGUAAGCAGAUUAAAAGUGCUUGUCACUAAAAUGGCUGCCUAUUUAUACUGGGCCAACCCCCCUUUACACUCUCACUCCACUCCCACAUGGGGCCUUCCCCCUAUGCCCGUCUCCUAGCUCUGUCAACCCCCUAUUCCACUAAGCUGCGCUUGUUCCAUAGGGUUACAUUUUAAUGGCUCCUUUUGCUUGUAUUCCUUAUCUUUAAUAUGAUUUGUUCAGAAUACAGAUCAACUAGGAUGAGGUUGAGCGUUUCCACCCAAUCAAUUUGAAAACACCUGGAUUAUCAUUGCACAUAUGCACGUUUUGGCCCACAGUCAAGUGCUUAUCUCACAGGAACAAACAAGUGAUGCUAAAUUCACUCGAAUCUAAAUAAAUUGCAGCAUUACUGAACCUGCACAAAACAACCGACUAAACUUAUGUGUGAAAUCGGUAAGCAUGUAUUUUCAAAACAAUGUGCACUGACUCAGCAUUUCAUCCUUCCGAGGUAGAUAAAAUGAGUACCAUUAAAUUGGGUAAUAGUAACAACCCCUGGAUGUUGGGCUACGGUAGCAUCCCCAGGAAAUACGUGGUAACCUGGGUAAUCUGAAUGUACGUUCCUUGGUUAAAUAAUUUGUUAUUAUUAUUAUUAUUUACUCAAGACCUGACUAGACCAAUGGCACAGCAUUUGUCUCAUAAUCGGUGUCUAUCAUCAUGUUUAUAAAAAAAAUUUUAAAAAUUAGAAAACCUGGGUCAUAAGAUGCAUGUUUUUAGUUGUGAUUUCCUGAAAAGCUCCCCAUCCCAGCUAUUAUGGUGACAGCAAAUUAUCAUCUCUGGUUAACAUUCAAUCCACUUUUCUGGAAAUUUUUGUAAAAGAGAUUGCGACUGACCGAAAAGAGGUCUUUUCUUACAAGUGGUCAGUGAGGAAGCAAAUGGAGCUAUGCAACAUUUAACCCUGCCCACUGAAUAGAUAUUGUAAACAUGAUCUGGCUGUUCUGUUUCAGGAUGCAUUAGCAGAAAAUGCCAAAAUUAAACUGUGCAGACAUAUUUACUGUGUUGACUUUGUGCUGGAAACAAAUCAACAAGAAUUCAGUUUUAUUUCAAUUGUAACUAAACCAAUUGAAGUUACAUGAAGCUGCGAAGCUGUUUUGAAUUAAAUUGGAUGACUUUUUUUAUGUGUAGUAAUAAGAGAAUAGGUUCAGACUGCCUGACUUUCCAACUGGCAUGCAAAUACCAGACAACAAGCAGACUUCACAUUCCUGCUGUUCGGAUUAACAGGGCUGGAAUAACAAUACAGAGUUAAACACAGAAACUGCAUAUCUGUGGCCCUUAGUUACCAUUUGCCAGGGGAUAUAACCCCAAAAUAGCAUCUCACAUGGCCUACUUCAUGAAAAAUAGAUGUUUAAAUCCAGUCCUAAUAAAGGUAAUUGCUAUUAAAAAGGAAAGGUUGGUAAUACAUUCAUCAGGGCUCAGACUGUCAAGUCCUAUGUUACUAGACAGGCAUAAAAGUUAAUCACAGCCGCAAGCCUGGAAGGUCUAAGGCACACUAAUUAAAAGUAAAGUUCUACUUGCCGAGGCUGAUUUUUCAAGUGCCAGUGUAUACUGGACAAGUGGAAUUUUGGAGUUCUGGUAUUCGUAACAUUAUCACUAAAUACGCUUCUUAUUUGCCCCUAAUGCUCCAAUUAGAAUAGCUUAUCACUGAGCAUCCAAUGCAGUGGAAAGAUCCUUGGCUCAAACUUUAUUUUUGCUCAUUACCUGUCAAUCUCUGCUGCACAAUGAACAUUUUCUGCUCACUUUUGGGACAGUCCUACUUCUUGUGAAUGGCUACCUAGCUCUUCGUGCCUCCCCAGGCAAUCAAAUUACAUGACUUUGAUUAACAGGCUAAUGACCCACUAAUGUUCCCAGGUUACUAUAAGACCAUGCUACUAAUCUACAAGGAAUACCUUCUAAAGUUUCAUUGCGUCAAAAACGGAUUCUAUUUUGGAAAUAUUGAGUGGUAUCACUGUAUUUGUUUUACUCCUUUUUUAGUACUCUGCAUAAUCCAACAUUAACCUUGCUAUUCACACAUGCCACCAGGUAUGAUGGUUCCAUGGUUCAGAGUUAUUUGUCUAGGGGCCUCCUUCUCAUGGACACCAUAGAUAAUCUUCAAAGCACUGCACAAAUAUGCAUUAAAAUGUCUGGUGAAGUGCAUUUCUAAAAUUCAAGGAGCAUUUGGAAAAUUCCCAAAACAGUGGACACAUACACACACUCCCAGAUCUGUCCAUAUUAUGGGGUCCUGUCCCAGGUUGGUUGCCUAGUAUGUCCCGAAGGAACUGUCCCAGUCAGUGCAACGCAACAGCAUCAUUAGGUGUGCUCUCAGUGUGCUGAAUGCUGUCAGGGUACUAGGACAAAUCAGGGGCGCUGCUAGUCAGCUGGCAUGCAUUCACAUCAAAAUGGCAUGCCACCAUUUGUCAGUCCCCAUUUUAUUGACUCUCAGGUGGUUGACCCAUUUCUGGCCCACCCAACCAGGUCCUGAAUUCCCACCUGGCACAACUGAAAGGCAUGGCGCUGGUCAGCACUGCGUACAUAAGCUGAUGCACCUCUUUCCUCUAACAUCCUUCCCAACAUCCCGGCAUCAAGGUGGAGAAUGUUAAGAGGUAUCAUCUACAUAUUGCUAAUGCAUUCAUCCCUUGAAAGAGUAAUAAAGAAUAAAGCUAAUGAGAAUCUGAAAUUCCACACCAAAGCCAAGUUCUACUGACAGCCCAACUUGCUGGAGUGGAAGGGAUUUCAUGGAGGACAGGAUGAGGAGGGAUUUGGGUUAGAUGGAAGGAUAUAGAGCUAUAUCUUUGUAUGUGGAAGGUUUCAUUCCACGCACCAUAAGUACUCCAAAUCACUGAAGUAGUCAUGGUGCUUGGAGUAUCACUUUGAAGUAUAAAUCAAAAUCUGCCUUGAAGGGGGUAGCUAAUUCCAUAAAUAGAUUAUUUUUAAUAAUAACUUUUUAUAACAUACUGUUUGCUCACGUUUUCAUAUAUUUCCACAAACCUGCUUAAAAUAUAGAUUCUAUCAUUGAAACAAUGUGGUUGAAAGUUUGCCUAUAUUAGAUAACAAAACGUAAGGGAUUUGUUAAUCCCUCCUAAUAUACUGCUCCACUGAAACUAUAAAUAAUGUGGGAAUAAGUUAAAGGGACACUGUAGGCACCCAGACCACUUUAGCUAAUUGAAGUGGUCUGGGUGCUGUGACCUUUUUGCACUUAGUGCUGCAAUGUAAAACAUUGCAGUUCCAGAGAAACUGCAAUGUUUACAUUGCAGCUCUAAGUCUGACCUCAGUGACUGUCUACCAGACAGCCACUAGAGGGCUUCCGGAAUCCAAACUGACUUUUGGUCCGUUAUCUAGCAUUGGACGUCCUCACGGACCUCCAGCGUCAGAUUUUCCGCACAGGAAAGCAUAAUAAUGGAUAUGAAUGAUGAAUAAUGCUUUCCUAUAGGGAGGUCUAAUGCCCGCCUUUAUUGUCGCGCAUGCGCAUUACGUCAGACGGCGGGGGAGGAGCAAGGGCGCAGCCUGUCCCAGCGCCAAGGGACAUCAGUGCUGGAUUCAGGUAAGUGGCUGAAGGGGGGGGGGUUUGACCUAUUAAACCUAUAGUGUUGCUAACUAAUGUUUUCCUGGCACUAUAGGGUCCCUUUAACCCCUUAAGGACCAAACUUCUGGAAUAAAAGGGAAUCAUGACAGGAACAAUCAGGAACACCCACUUAACUUAAAGGGACACUCCAGAUCUAUAAAGCUCAUUGUUUAGUGAAAUAAUCCCGCUUGUAUCUUAAAUGUAAAUGCCCCUUAACAGUCCUGAUAUAGGCAGGACAGUCACGAUUUGUUUAAUUUUUUGGGUUAAUUCCCACCUCUUGACUUAGGGAACUCACCACAAAAAGCUUAGCGCGAGUGCAUCAUUAGACACCCUUGCGCUACAUGAAGGGCACUACAGUGCUCACUGCAAGUUCUGCCCUCAGUGGCCUGGCCUGUUUUAUAAUCAGGAUGCCUCUCUCCACACCGGUGGCCCUAUUCUCAGGAUGCUAAUGUUGUUGGGGUGUGUGUAAUAUAUGUGUAUUGUAUUUUAUUGCAUAUCCUACCUUCCAUAGUUUUAAAAAAUAACUUAUACAAGCAGGGUGGCUCAUACGCAGAGUGUCUCUUAAAUGUCCUUUGUGCCGGAAAAUCACAUUAAACUUUUCCCUGAUGUCCUUAGAAAGGAAAAACACCAGGGGCACCAGGAGUGAGGCUCAAGAUGAGGACAAUCUCCGUACAUUUUGCCCUUUUGUUAAUUAUGUACAUGGCCGCAUGCACCCUAAAUCUUUCAAAAGUUUGACACGUAAGGGGUAACUUGCAGGGUUAAUCACUAAAGUUAGAAUUUUUUAAUUUAUUGCCAAAGUAGGCAAAUUUUUUACAGCAGGAUAUUUUUACCUCGAAUUUGAAAUUCUCUUUGAAUUCACUUUAAUUCUCACUUUAGUGAAUGACACUAUUAAUGAUUUCAAAAAGUGCUCUUUAUCUAUUGUAAUGGAAAAAAAAUUAGAGACAGAUAUACUGUAUUUUUAACACGCCCGAAUCUUAACUGCCCUAGACCGCUCAUGAGGGAAAAUGAGCAGUUGGGUACUUAAGACGGGCACAGUUAUUUUUAGAUCUAAUUUUAAUACAAUAAGUAUUUACCUCCUUAAACAUAUACAAUUGAUGAAGUAAUAAGAGAAUGGCAUUGAUAGCAGACCAUCUCAUUCAGGUGCAUCAACCUAUACACUGUACUGUGCAAAUAGCAACACAAGCACAUACACAGACUGGCGUAAUCCAAUGUACUAGACAAAAACAAAAAUGAUCAUCUAGUAAUAUGCCUGGUAGGAAUAAAUGAUGAUCCUCAAAUAUGGUGAGGUGAGAGGAUUGUGCCAAAAAAAUGAGCAUUUUUGUUAUCUUGUGGUGUCCAUUGUAUCUUUAAUGCAAACUCUCAGUAACUGGGCUCAUCGUAAAGAUAACAUGUCCAUCUGCUUCUGGGCCCACAUGCCAUCAGCAGAUGAACAUAUCCCCUGAGUGUGAAAAUCUGAUUUGUCUCAUUUCUCAUUAAUCUCAGAACACUGAGCCAAUCCCUGACUUCCCAUAGUUUUCAAUAGGAACUUAAUGUACAUGCAUGUCUAUAUUUUGUAUCCAUUAGAAAUGUCAUUCACCAUGUCUUUGUUUUAAUCCCUGUCAUUUGUAAAUGAUAAAACAAGAGGUCACGCUUUCCUGAAAAUGCAAGCCAUGGCUAGUAACGUGCUUGCAAUGGAAGAUUUGAAAAUGCGCAUGCAGCUACCUUUAAUAUAUAAAAUUAGGUAAUGAGCAGGGUGGGGUAUGUUAUCAGAUUGGCUUUUUUUUUAAUAUAAAUUCAAAUCUCACAUCUCAUGUUAAGACUCCUACCAUUGUAAAUAUAUUAAACACUGCAGAGGACAUGGUAGGUUACUAUACAUAGAGAAUUAUUAGUUACAUAGUUACACAACCGAAAAGCGACUUUUGUCCAUUAAGUCCAGCCUUCCUCACAUGUGUUUUUGCUGUUGAUCCAAAAGAAGGCAAAAAAAAAACAGUCUGAAGCACUAACAAUUUUGCAACAAACUAGGGAAAAAUUCCUUCUUGACCCCAAAAUGGCAGUCAGAUGUCUCCUUGGAUCAAGCAGCUACUACCCCACUAAUUAGAAAUUAUAUUCCUGUAUGUUAUGUUUUUGGAAGUAUUUAUCGAAUUGCUGUUUAAACAUCUGUAUAGACUCUGAUAAAACCACCUAGUCAGGCAGAGAAUUCCAUACACUUAUAGUUCUUACUGUAAGAACACACAGACUGACACAUACACAGACUGACCCUCCCCCCCACACACACACACACACACACAGAAACUGAGCCACACGCACUGUCUCACACUUACCAGCAGCUGCCUUGAUGCCUCUCUGCAGAGCUGAGCUUCCUCUCCCUGUCUCUCCCCUCACUGCUCUCUGUGACCCGCGAGGAAGUCCUACCAGCACAGUGCCCCCUCUGGCCGCAUGUGUGAAAAUGGUGGAACACAGUUCCACAGUGAUAGUGCUGCUGCAGCUUGUGAAGUGAGUCGCAGUGCUCCUGACUUCAAUUUCAAUUGUGGGGCACAAUUGUGAUGGCACUGAGGAACCGUAUCAAAUGCCUUUGCAAAAUCCAAGUAGAUCACAUCCACUGCACAUCCACUGUAACACCCUGAUCUAUACUUCUACUUACUUGUAUUUACUUCUUUGUAGAAUGCAAUUAGGUUAGUUUGACAUGACCUAUGUUUCAUAAAGCCAUGCUGAUUAUUGCUAAUAACAAAGUUCUUCCCAAUGAAUUCCUGAAUAUUUAAUAGCCCUUCAAAUAUUUUUCCAGUCACAGAAGUUAAGCUCACAGGUCUAUAAUUUCCAGACAAGGAUUUUCAACCCUUUUUAAAUAAAGGAAUUACAUUUGCCUUCCUCCAACCCUCCAGUACAAUACCUAAAACAAAAGAAUCUUGGAAGAUUAAAUACUUAGGUUCACUUAUUUCCACACUAAGCUCCUUAAGUACUCGUGGGUGAAUACGGUCAGGUCCUGGAGCUUUAUUUACAUUAAUUUUCUUUAACUGCUGUAGUACCUUGUCUCGAGUCAUCCAGUCACAAGUUAUCUGUAAGUUAUUUUGCAGCAAUCAUUUGCAUUAAAUACAAUAUUUCUGACAUUAUUAUUAUUGCCAUUUAUAUAGCUCCAACUUAUUCCUCUGCGCUCUACAAAAAUAUGAAGGGUGAAAUUUACACAUUUUGACAGGAACACUAUUUUGAUUGACAUGUUGAACUGUCACAUUUAAUUAUUUGGUGAUUUAAAUCAUGUGGCUAAAUAUUAAAAAUGGCAAAAAAAAAUCUUUGCUUGUGAAAUGCCUCUCUUUGUUUCAAAAUCUUUAUUAAAGUGCAUAUUUUUGACAUCCCGUCUUGAAACAUUUGAUGCCUUGUUGAUCACUAUAUGGGGCUCAACAGACUAUUUUACAUAUUUGGUCAAAACACCGUAGCUGUAAAUAUUAGCGCGUUGGAAUUUAAUUUUGAUAUGUCUAUUUUUGCCUAAUGUGUAAAAAAAUUAAAAAAAAAAUUAAAAAAAUUAAAAAAAAUAUAUAUAUAUAUAUAUUAUUGUAGCCCAGCAAAUAGCAUUUUAGUUAGUAACCCUGAAAAUGUAUUGACAUUUUUAAAUUGUCCGUCAUGUUGAGGUUUCCAUGGCAAUUGAAAUGGAAUAUAAAGCAUUUUACUACUCCAUCAUGGACUUUUUUAUAUAUUUAGAAAAUUGCUGCUUGUAAAUCUUACCCAACAAUAAUGUAAUUAUAAUAGUAUUUUAUAUGUAAUGCGAUUGAUCAUUCAGUUGCAUUAUAGUUAGGCUGCCUAGGCAUUGGGGAAAUAUAAUUUACAGACAGCUGUGUCGCAGUGGCUAACCAUCAAUAAUCUACAUGACAAUGCUAUAUAUACAAACGAUGUAAGGGUUAAUUACAAUUGAAGACUUGCCUAAGAUUCAUACAAGACCUUCAGUCAGAUGCUUGCUACCACAGGUAAUUUACUUGAUUGAUUACAACAUCUCUUAGCAGACGACUAUUGAUUUUAAUGUAACUCCCCAUGGCUCCAAAGAUUCUCCCAAAUAUAAAACCAUUGAUGUGUUUUCAAACAAAAUGGUGCGGUUUCUUUUUAUUUUCAGGUUUGUUUUUUUGUUUUAUAAAUUGCCAUUAGGUGCAUUAAAUCUUCUGUUAUGUGUAGCUGUAGAUUUUCCUGGAAGUACCUGUCUCCCCACGACUAGCAAGAAAUGCGUGUUUGUGGCCAGCACUGAAGGAGUGAAACGGUUCUAGAAUCAUUAGGUUACACAUAGAGAAUUUAACCAGAGACUGGAGUGAAUAGACGUGGCUAGCAUUUGCAUUGGUCGUUUCUGAUUUGUAGAGCAGACGAAAGCUUCUCUCAGAGGCAGCCCACAUAACGCAAGUAUAUCAGUAGGCAGUUUAUCUAAAGGCGCAUGUUCAAUUAUUAAAAUAGGAUAUUCCCCCCCCCCCCUUUUUUUUUCUUCACUCUUAUCUGAUAGGCAUAGCGAGGUCAUGACAUUUAUUUAACCAGGGCAUUGUGGGUAAAAGAGGGGGGAAAGGCACAAUGGACAGGGAAGCUGGAGCAACAAAAUAAGGAUGGUUUCUGAGCUUAAGGAGAUAAAAAGGCGAUGACUCUCUAAUGUACGUAUAAUAUAUUAAAAAGCUUGUAUCUGUUUGUAUAUAUUGAUUUGUAAAAAAAAUAUUGAAGGCUUUGAAAUGUAUAUAGUUCUUUCUUUCCUUUUUAAAAAAAAAAAAAAAUACAUCCAUAAUUGAACAAUGAACGUUGUUGCAAGUGUGUGAAUUUUAAUGUAUUGUCUCUGACAUCAGCGUUUCUAUUAUUGCCUUCUGCGCACGUCCAACUUUUUUUCUGCUGUCUGAGAGGAGAGUCUAGACCAUACCUAUGCACUGCAUCAUAUCUCUAUUGUUCUCCAUGUUCACGUGUUUCUCUAUGUUGUGUCUGAAACGAUGUUGUUGUGGUACCCUCUAAAUUUUUCGCUUGUCGUUGAGAGUACAGACCUUUUUCAAAUGUACACUUUUUUUUUUAUACAUAUAGGUAAAUUAUACUUUGGAUAUAAUUUGUUAUUUUAAUAUAAAGAUACUUAAGGAAGUACCGCAGUAAUGCAGUGCAUGCCGGGAUUAUCCUGUGAAACUAAGCUUGGCAAUUGUGUACUAUGACACAGCAUAUGGCAAAAGCAUAGAAUUUUCUGUCUGUAUGAUAAUCUCUGUAUAAAUGAAUAUGAAUGAGUAUGAGAACAGCAUUGUAUGGAUUUGAAGCUGAAAGCGACUGCUCCCUAUAGGGAAAGGUGUGUCAUACAUUCUAACAGCAGAGGACCAGGAAGGGUAAUACAAGGAUAGGACUGUGCUUUGCAAAUUGCUUUUAAAUAGAAGUGAAACUAAGAUUCAGGUAACAAGAUGUUAAUGGGACUAUUGGCAUGUAUCCAAGCGUACAUUAGAAGAAAUCUUUUAAUAAUAAAUCGAUAGAAAGGAACUAAUUUUACAGGCAGAUAUCCAUACACUUAAGGACAAAUGUAAAAAUCCUGAAAGUAUAAAUAUUGAUUCAAAGACAUCUAUCUUUUUUAUUUUUAUUAUAUAAUGUAAAUUGCAAACUGUGCAUCUGAGAUCUUAGAAACUAAAUAUUGUCGUUAUUUUAAAAUCUAAUACAGUCACCAGAACCGUCUAAAAGCUAUAGUUCAUACAGCUACAAUAAUAAAAUCAAGAAUUUGAUUUUACCUAAUUUUCACCAAUAAAAUUGCUCUAUCCUGGCACUGUCUGGGAGCUGGACUAUAGAAAAAUCAUUGUUUCUACAGGCAUUUGUUCCAUGAGAAGGGAGAAAGAAACGAAGUAGGCGUUAAAUAAACUCGAAGAGUGUAAAAGAAUUGAUGCCAUUAUUUCUUUGAAUCACGUGUGUGCCUGGAUCACUUGCUAUUCAGACAGGGGAUCGAGGAUGAAAGUCUUUAUGUCAGAGACUGUUCUCACAAUAGCAUUUGGACUUUUUUUUUUUAUCAUUAUUGAUUUGGGGAAAAGGUGGGGACAGCAAGGCUUAAGGGUAAGGUGAAGGAAAGACCAGCUGGCAGUAAACAUGUUUAACAUGAUACAUUUCCUUCUGAAAAGAUGAUAUGUAAGCGGAAGAUUAGAACAUCGGAAGUGAGGGAAGUAGAAAUGUUACAGGAUAAUAUUGGAAUAUAAAGAAGGCAGUACUGAUGGGAGGCUACUAUUUUUUCUUUGUCCCCCCUCCAAAUCCCGACGUCUGACCUGUAAGGACUGGGUUGUCGGCGUCAUGCAAAUACUGCAGUCCUGAAGGUCCAAGAGAGGGUGGAAACUAAAAGAGUGAGUUGAUGUUAAUGAUGAGUGGAGAGAAAAUACCAGCCGGUAACUCCCCCUCCACACACACAACUGUUCUGAGUCAGCAUCCGCUGCCUUGCCUUGCUUUUUGUGAGUGUGUGUGUGUGUGCUCGUGCGUGUCUGCAAGUGUGUGUGUGUCUGUCUGUGAGCCUGUCUGUGUGUGUGUGUGUCUAAGGAAGGUAAAAGCCAGUCAGUCAGUUAGAAGCAAAGGUACGUCUGCGAACAGCUAAAAUCUGACUGAUUUCAAUCUUUGGAGCAUCAGAUGUAUUCUCUUAGGAGGAUGGGUCUAUGUGAUGGGGGAUGUAAUUAUGUUAAUACCAUUUUUGUGGAGGGGACUGAUUUUUUUUUCUCAUUCUAAUUGUUCAUCUGCAGACUGUGUUCAAAUAUUGCUUGUGAAAUCAUUUUAAGAUAAGAGACGAGUUGGCAUGGAAAAAGCUACUUUACUUGGUCUCAUUUAAGAGCCUCUUGCUUUUUAAGGAAACAUUAAUAUUGCUAAAUACCUUUUUUAUAACAUAACUAUGUUGAAUAUCUAACGUAAUAGAGGAAUGCACAGUGGUAUGGAAUGUUGUAUUCUUUAGGAAUUCCUGGGUAAAUGGUUAACUAGAUCAACAUUUUUUAUUUUUAACGCACCUCUAUUAUGCUUUUCAAGAUGAUGUCUGUUUUGUUUUUGUGUUUUGUUUUCUAUUAACCAUUUCUUGUUGCAUUCGGAUCUUGCUAACGAUUUCUCUUUUUUUUCCCCCUCUGUUUUUAAUUUCUUUUUAAAGCAGAUGAGAUGGUGAAACGCUGAAGAUAUUCUAAACAAGAUUCUGCUUAUAUCCUCCAGUUGGCAGAAGGACAAGCCGGGCCAAAUUGAUUUUCAUUUUCUGUGAAAGAACGAGGAUUUAAAAAAAAAAAUUAAAUUGGAAAUGGUAUAGCUUCUGUGCCAUUUUCCUGUAUAGAAGCUAUAAGGAAUCAGAGAUCCUGGGAUUGUGGUUUGCCUUCUUAAACCAAAGACAGAUUAAGCCCCCUGGUGAUAGCGAAAUAUUUUUGAGGGUUGACUUUACCUCUUCUUGUGUCAAUAGUAUUUAAACCUGUGUGUGUUUUCUACAUCCCUUCUGCUGUAACACUUACUAGUCAGCUUGUUAGAAAAGGGCUUAUCUAUUGAAAUCUAAACUCUGAUAAAUACUAAUUUUGUUAUUUUCCUCUCGAAACGUUUUAUUACUAUUUUUACAUUCCAAGUAAGCGAAAGACAAGCUGUUAUUACAUGUUAUAGUUUAUGGGGCCCAAGUUAUCAAAAUGGAUUUUUAUGUGGGGGCAAAAAAACAAAAACAGAAAAACACUAUGGGACACUCGAACAAUGUUUGUUGUUUGAUCUUUUGGAAAUGUGUACAAAAAUGCAAAAUUUCAGUUUUGGAUUGAUAUCAAUCGAGGUAACCAUGAAACCAGUUUAACCCUUUGCUUACUGACUGGCGGGAGCAAACCUUUGCUUUCCACUGCAUUGUCUCCCUGUCAUGUCAGCCAAACGGUUAAUCUCCUAGUGUCUUCUACUAAAUAGAUGUUGUUAGACUGUAUGUUGCUGAAUUUGAGCAGAACUUUAAGGAUACCCACAAUAUAUUUUUGGAAGAAGACUUCUCUGGAAUGAUGUUGGACUUUUCCUAGUCCCUGAGACCCUAACUUGUGAGGAUUUUUUAGCAAUGAUCACAAGUUAGGCUCUUGGGACCUAGGCGGAGGGGAACCAGCAACUUUUGGACUGUAAUGAUUGUGUAUCUGCGAUUAUGGAAUGAACCAUGUCACCGAAUCUGAGAUAAGAGCUGUAUUCUAAAAUGCUUUGUCUUUAAUUUUGUUUUGGUAUAAACUGUCCAUUUCCUUGCCUUUCAAACAAAAUAUCCAGACAAUCGAUCAUAUACUCGUAAAGCUACAAAAGACUGUUUCACGUUAUUUUAAUAACAUCUUUUAUUGUGAAUUGCACAUAAAUUGAGAAUUAUAAAAAAUAUUAAAGACUGUUUGGUUAAUCAUGUUACCUGUGAUAACUAGUCAUUUGAUUUCCAAUUUCUCAAAAACAAACAAAAAAAACCUGCAGAAUAAAAUAUAAUGUAUUUCUUAUAUGAUGAAAUAAUUUUGUAGAUGUAAAAUAUUUCUUGUAUAUUCCUAAAUUUUGUUUGCCAUAAUGCUUAAAUUAAAUAUUUUGUAAAAUGUGAAUAAAAUAUGCAAAUACCUGUCUUUUUUUCUAUUCACACUAUUAAUACAUGAUAUUUAAAAUAAUGUUUGUUAUAUGUGAUAUUAACCCUUAAAAAUGUAAAAUAUCAGAAUACAGUUAAAAUAUUUCCUAGCAUAAGCAUAUCAGGUUCUGCUUAACCUUCUCAACAGAGCAUUAAUUAUCAAUAAUGUACAAUAUAUACUACUACGGUUCUCAAAGGUAUUCAUAGCUUAUAUAUUUUAUAUUUAUAAAAAAUGUUUUAAGAAUAUAACUGAACACUGAUGUUCCAUAAAGACAAAUUUAUUUUAUUAAUGCUAAAAUUCACUCAAGUGACUGUGCUCAUUUGGAAAAUAAAUAUUUGUUUGUAUGUUAGAAUGUCUAUAAUUUGUCUAUCUACCUUUAUACAUGUAACAUAUAAAUACACUGUAGCUUGGGG